RNAcentral lists this long non-coding RNA (159394 nucleotides) under Capsicum annuum. The record is from RNAcentral. Lineage: Eukaryota; Viridiplantae; Streptophyta; Magnoliopsida; Solanales; Solanaceae.
GCUUUUUAUCUCAAUGCUGAUUUUGUUUAACGUGUUUGUUCUAAUUUUUAAGAGUUUAUAGUGUCAUUUGUCCAUCACUAUACAAAUAUUUUAUGAGAAAUUGUUCAAUGUGAUAUUCUUUUCUAUGGGUUAAAAAAGGAGUUUAUUCUAGAGAUAGUUGGAGUAGGCUAGUCAAUAAUCAAACAAAUCAAAAAACCGAACCAAACCAAUGGUUAUUUUCUUUUUUGUGGUUUGGUUUGGCUUUAGAAAUUUAAAAACCAACUAAAUUGGUUUUGGUUGUGGUUUUAACCACUAACCGAUCCAAAUCGACCCAUGAACACCCCUACUUAAAAUUUGUUAAUAAGGAAGUAGAAAACAAGUUUGGUGUUGGGAGAAUUUUGAGGAGGAAAAGGGAAUCACGGGAGUGCAAGGAAUGGGUUUGGUGGAUUGGUAAGGUCGGGGUCAGAGAUGAAAAGGGAGCAAAGGUGUAGCUUCAGUACAAUUGGCUGUACUUCUUGAUGUCAGGUUCCACCUCUGUGUUGGCUAUACUUCAUUCAGUGUGUAUUACAACCUGGUUGAUAUUUCAAACAGAAAUUUGUGCUCACUUGGUUGUCUUAUGUACUGCAACCUGACAACUUCUUUUGAAUUUCCUUUUGUUUUCAAUUGUUGACUCAAUAUUGUUAGAUUUGCAAUAUGUUUCCUUUCCUUCUUCAGCUAAAGCCCUGGAUGAGCAUGCUAGCCAUAAGAUUAAGAAAACAUAGUCAAAUGAUGAAGCCACAGAGGUGGAUCCUAGGCUGGCGGCUAUUUUGGAGAGAAUGCUUGAUAAGUAAGUAUAUUUUCAUCUUCUGCUGUGGAAGAAUAUGAAUCUAAACCUAAAAGUCUCACAUUAUAUUCUGGAAGCUCCUUCUGCUUUAUAAUUGCCUUUCUUUUGACUUAGGUGUAUAAAGGAUGGAAAAUAUCAACAAGCCAUUGGCAUGCCAUUAAAUACCGAAGGCUGGAUAAGGUUGCCAAAGCAAUUGUAAGAAGUGAUAGUGUUGAUGCUACUCUAGCAUACUACACUUCACAUUUCUUAAAAAAUGCUUUCUUUUCUCCUAAAUUUUGUAGCAAUGUCGGAAGGGACAAUCAAUUUACUUGAAACUCAGAAUUUAAGAAGAUGAUAUUGUGGACUUAAUGCUCUAAAUUUAACAGCUUGGAGAAGAAAUGAAGCUUAUUUCAGCCCAAGAAGCUGCCAAAGUUAUCAUUUUGGAGAAUAAAAUCAAGAAGUUCAAAAGUUGUCAUUUUUCGUGUCAUGUGUUUUAUUCUUUGUGUAUGUUUUAGGAAUCAUAAAGUGAAUGUAUGUUCCUCUCUAUGAUAGGAGAACAUAUGUUGAAGUAAAUCUAUUUUGUUGGGUGUAAUGAGGUAGAAUUGUUUGUAUUAUGUUGUUAAUGAAGUUGAAGUGUUUCUAAUGAAGUGAAUUACUUGUCUCAUGCAGGCAAUUGACUAAUGAUGCCACAUUGCCCAUGCAUUCUAAAGCAAAGCAAUGGCGAAAAACAAUAAAUGUAAUUGGUAAAAAGAUAGCCUUCGAAAGCUCUCUUUAUGUUGAAAGUGCCUAUGGUAGGAUGCUUGCACGAAGGUAGAGAUUUUGUUUUUGAAAAUUCCAGACAGUACAAUUAUUGCCAUAAGUGUAUCCUAUAAAAAAGAGAGAUCUACUAAAAUGCACUCUAAAUACUUGAAUAACUUCUAGGCAGAAACCUUGCAAUUUCAGCCCACUUGUUCCCGUAUAUUUGUGCCUCAAAUUAUAGAUCAUGGAUUUUUCAUAUAUCUAACCCUUACUACUUUUUAUAACACGAGAAAAUGAGAUAAAAUGAGUUCUCCAGGAAAGGAAAAACUUUGUAAACAGAUUAAUUACAAGUUUGUUGUCCUUAAAGGUCAUUAAAAGAUGUCUAGUCAAAUAAUACCACAUAAAAUGGGAUUAAGGGAGUAGUGUUUUAGGAAGAGCUUACAACUCUUGUAAUUCAGAAUAUGCUACAUGGUACAUAUGGAACUCCUUAUAUACUAUAUAUUUAGCCAUAUUUCUAAAUUUUUUGUCUGCUAAUUCUUGUUUAAUGUACACUUAAACGGUAUAAGGUUAUGCUCGAAUGGGCAUGUAAGAGACAUAAGCAACAAGUCGAUGAUAGCACCUCAAGCAAGGAAUGCCACUAACAAAAAGCAACAACACCGUUAAGAAUACUGGUCCAAGAAUAAUAAGCCAUUCAGCACCCUCCAACACUGGUGUCGAAGCCACAAAUAUUCCCCCACCUACCAUCUCAUCUUCUCCUUUUCCCCUUCCCUAAUCUCCCAGCAUAAUAGGAAAAAGUCAUCUCACUAAACGUUAAAGAUUGAAGCGCAAAGUUCUCAUAUACAUAGAAAAAAGGCAAUACUUGGAGUUGUUGCUCUUUGGUCAAUACUUGCUCGACAUCUUUCAGUUCAUUCACCAUAUUUUUCAUAUGGCGCAGAUGCUUAUGCAUAGUAGGAUCCGAGUGUUUCGUAUAAAUAUCAAACUUAAUAGUAAGAGCCCUUAACUUAGCAAUUGAAGUAUGAUCAAUUUUUUCUUUUAACAUAGAUCACAUGUCCUUAACAUUGUCAUAAUGUCGAAAUUCUCUCAUAAUAUCAUCAUUCACGCUGCUAAAAACAUUAUGCGAGCAAGAGAAUUCUUCUUUUUCCAAACUUGAUAUGCCUCAAGAUCUUUCACAUGUUGGGGGGUAUUUCCAUUUUCAGGAAGUGUCAUAGACAUAUUAAGAACUUCAAGAGCCUCUUGAUCUUUCAGGACAUAUGAUUUUUAUACUCCUAUUUCAUAGUUAUUAUUAUCAUGCUUUAAUUUUACUAAGCUCGGCGAUAAUUUUCGUUGUAGUAGUUAACAUACUGAUUUAAACAAAUAUAAAGUAUCACGAGACAACUAUGUACAUUAUUUUAGCCUAAAUCAUAUACAUAAUAAUUUUAAAAAUAAUCAACUAUGUCAAUAUUCAUCAUCGGGGUUAGAUUUUAAAGUUCACAAAGUUCUCAAUCAUUAUCCGGACAUCAAUAUGUCAUAAGUUUAACAUAAUCGAUCCUAAGAAGUACUUAUCUUAAAUCACAUAAAUUCAAGAUUAAACAAGCAUAAAUUCUAUAACAAUUAUAUAAUUACUCAUAAUAUAACAUAUAUAAUAUAAAUUCAUACAAGUACAAACAUAUGUGGGCUUAUGCAAAUAAAAUGUCACAUCAACAAUUACACAAAGUAAAUAGGACUUCAAUUAUACAUAUAAAUAUACAUAUGUUCUAUUCAACUGCAGAAUCCCAAGGCUUCCAUGAAGUACACUUCAAAUUGUUCUUUCAAAAACCUUCACUUGGAAAUGAAAAGCCAAAAACAAAAAAAAAUCCCUUCUAACAUUCGCUAGUAUAGCUUGGAGGGGGAGUACGAUGAUUUCGUUGUAUAAUAACAAGGGUAAAAAUCAAAAUUACAAUAAGUAUAGGGGUAUCAAGUUGUUGAGUCACAUUAUGAAGGUUUGAGAGAGGGUGGUAGAGUUAAGGUUGCAGAGGAUUAUUACUAUUUUUGAGAAUUUGCUUGGAUUUAUGCCACACCUUGACUACUGAAGCCAUCCAUAUCGUUAGGAGACUAUUGGAGUAGUAAGGGAGAGGAAAAAGGACUUGCACAUGGUGUUUAUCGACUUAGAGAACGCAUAUGAUAGUGUCACGACCCAAAAUAGAGCCUGGCCGUGAUGGGUAUCUCAAGUCCACUAGGGACCCGAGAUCACCCCUUUGUACCUAAUCAAACCACCCAACACCACCCUUGUCAGAUGAAUUAUGAACAUAUAACAAGAUAACAUAAGGGUAAGCUUAAAGAUAUUUAAUUCAUGUCCAUAAUUCAUCAAUUGAAAAUCGGCCAAAACAUCCGACCAACAUAACCCAAGUCUACAGUAAUCCAACAAAGCCUUCUAACAAAGAACCAAAAUUGAAUACCAAUAAAAUGUCGGUACAUGCCCCCGACUAUAGCCAAAAAAAAGUCUAAACAAGUCUAGGACAUAAAAAACCAAAACAUUAAAUAUAUACUUCCGAUGUAUGGAAGCUCACCACUUCAAUGUUAAUUCAUGAGUCGAUCUCGAAUACUAAUCACUAAGCAGGAGAAAUAGAAGUUUGUCCAAAUCCUACAUCGUAUGGGAAUACAACAUCCGAAAGACCGUUAGCAGGAUGAACUCUAGCAUAUAACUCAGGUAUAAGGGUAAUAUAAUGUUAUGAUCAAUAGUUUGAAAUCAUCCAAUUCAAUGCACAUAAUCAAAUGCAUACACACACACACAUACAUAUAUAUAUAUAUCAUAUGUCGAGAUAGGGAACAAGGCUUAACAUAUACUUUAAAAACUUAAACUGGUUUAUGUAUCUCAACCAUCAUAUAGUAGUGCACACGGGCUAUAUAGGACCAAGCUCUCACCCUCUGGUCAGGCCCUAAUGCAUGUAGCUGUAUGAACCAGAGAAAGAUCAUAUAUAUAUUCACGGUGGACUUGAACCCUCCAAUCAUAUACUAAGGUGACUUAAGCACCUGAUCAUGAAAUAUGAUAUGGGGGACUAGAACCCUCCAAUCAUAAUAAUAACAUUAAGGUGGACUCGAACCAUCUGGUCACAAGCAAGGAGACUAAAACCCUCAAGCCAUAACGACCCCCGCACCGGCUAGCGUAAUUUUUAGUGUCGGUCACUCAGACCUCCACUUUUAUAACUCAUCUAUACAACCAUCUUUUAAAACCCAAUUAAAAUAUUUAUCACACAUUCCCAUUCAUUGAACCAUAUUUCACAUUAAGCCAUACAUUAUUGGUAUCAUCAUACCAACUAUACUAGCAAGGUAACAACAAAAUGCCCAAACAAUUACAUCUCUUGGGGGAAUUCACAACCCCCUUGGUUUAAUUAUGCAGUAGCUUGUGAAAACACAAAUCGAUAAGGUUUAAUUCAACAUCAUAAUGCUAUUGAAUAGUUCAAUUCCCACAUUGCUCAUAACUAAAAACUAGUUUUAUAAUAUGGGGUUGAGGUCAGAACCACUUCAAAAGCCACAAGUAUGGGAAAAUCACAAUUCCUUAGUUCAUUCACCAUAUCCAUGCACCCACAAGUUCAAAAUCAUAUUUAAAGCAUGAUUAAUUAUAUAUAAACCAUAGAAAAACAUUGUUCGACAACAAGCAUUCAAACGCCUAGCCCUUGUUUCAAAACUAUCAUAAAUAUCUCAUGAACAAUACUUUAAAUCACAUGUCUUUACAAAAUUAACAAUGAGGGAAGAGUAACAUGCCUGAAAUACCAAGUUCUACUAAAGGAAUCCAACCUUUAAGCCCUUGGAUGACCAAAUUGAUGAAAUCCUGGCUUGACUUUCUUGAGAGAAUUUGAAAGAGAUUUUGAAGUGUUUUAAGUAUGUGAAGGAUGAAUUUUAACCCCCAUGAGUGCUUUAUUGAUAUGGAAUUUUAAUUGUGUUAAAGGGGAAUUAUCCAAAAUGCCCUUAAAUUAAAUGCUACAUUUUGGUCGUCAAUGGCUAUGAGUCAUUAUACGACUUGUACAGUCUCACUAUGGCUCAUAACAAGGAGUCGUAGCUAAGGAAGAACCAUAAAGGCCCCAUACUAGUCUGGCUACGAUUCAUACCACCAACUCGUAACCAUACUUAAUGACUCAUAACCAUUUCUCGUACUCAAAACAACAACAAUUUGACAUAACACACUGGACACCCUAUGAUAGGGACAUAACGACUCCCAAUGAGUCUUUACGACUCAUGGACUCAAGUCGUAAUAAAGACAGUGUCUUGGGCCAAACUUACUGGACACCUUAUGACUUGGUCCUUAUGAUCCGUAAGAACUCUUGACGACUAAUUGAGAGACACUCAUACUUAGAGAAGAAUACUAAGUCACUUGUUUUGAUUACGUUAUGACCAAGUCCCUACGAAAUGUCAAAGCUCCGUACAACUCUUCAGAGGAGUCAUAGUCAGAAAAGUAAGGAUAAAAUUUUAGAAAUUUUUAAGGACCAAAAACUCAGAGUGUUACAAACUCUCCCGAUAAGUUUAUUUCUCCUCGGAUGAUAGGGAAAGGUAUUUAUUAGCACGAUUAGACACCAAACACAACCACUCUUACCUUUAAGAAAGAAAACCAAGAUACCAAGGAAUUUACAAUUUCCUUAUACAAAGACAAAAACUAAAAUGUUAAGUAUUACACAUACCUCAAGCACGAUUAUCAGGAACGGGGAACAAGAAUGAAUACUUGGACUUCAUGUCCUCCUCGGCCUCCCAAGUAGUUUCCUCAACCUUUUGGUUGCGCCAAAGGACCUUUACCCAAGCCACGUCAUUUGUCUGCAACCGAUGAAUUUGCCAAUCCAAAAUCUCAACUGGAGCUUCUUCGUAGGACAAGGAAUCUAAAAUACCCACCUUCUCCAAAGGAACAACCGUCAAAGGAUCACCUAUACACUUUUUUCAACAUCUAAAUAUGAAAAACCAGGUGAAUGGAAUUCAAAAUAGAGGGAAAAUCCAAUUUAUACGCAAGAUUACAAACCCUCUUCACAACCAAGUACAAGCCCACAUAACUGGGACGGAGCUUUCCCUUCUUACUAAACUGAAUUACUCCCUUCAUGGGAGAUAGUUUUAAGAACGCACAAUAACCAACACUGAAUUCCCAAUCCCUUCGCCUCAGAAUUUUGGUGAAUUCGGGCGACCCUAAGUCUAUCCCGAAUCACCUUCACCUUCUCCAUAGCUUGGUAAACCAAAUCAGAGCCAAACAACUUAUUUUUGCCAACUUUAAACCACCCAUUACGAGAUCUACACCUCUUACCAUAUAAGGCCUCAAAUAGAGUAAUACCAAAUAUAGAGUGAUUACUAUCAUUGUAGGCUAAUUCUGCGAGAAGCAAGUGGUCAACCCAACUACCACCAAAAUCAAACACACAAGCCCGAAGCAUAUCUUCCAAGACCUGAAUUAUCCUUUUUACUUACCCAUUCAUCUGCGGGUAGAAAGCAAUACUAAGGGUCACCUUAGUCCCCAAACCUCAUUGAAAAGACUUCCAAAAAUGAGAUGAAAAUUGAUUACUUUGAUCUGAAAUGAUUGAUACUGGAGAUCAUGCAACUUCACGAUCUCUCUAAUGAACAACUUCGCAUAGUCCUAAGAAGAGAAAUUAGUCGUCACUAGCAAGAAGUGUGCGGACUUAGUCAUCCUAUCCACGAUGAACCAAAUCAAAUCAAACUGCUGGCGAGACCGAGAAAGACAAGUAACAAAAUCCAUAUUAAUCACUUCCUAUUUCCACACUAGCAUCUCAAUUUCUUGAGAUAAUCCACUGGGUCUCAAGUGUUCAACCUUUACUUGUUAACACACCAUGCACUUAGCCACAAAAUUGGCCACAUCUCGCUUCAUAUUAUUCUACUAAUAAAUCUCCUUAAGAUCAUGAUACAUUUUUAUUAAACUAGGAUGAAUAGUAUAAUAUGACUCAUAAGCUUCGUCCAAAAUUCUUCCCCGCAACCCAUCAAUAAUGGGAACACAGUCUAAAUUAGUACCUCAAGAUACCAUCACCACCGAUCUUAAAAAUCAUUACCUUCUAUCUACCCACAUCAUUCUUGAUUUGCAUCAAGAAAGGAUCCAGUAUCUAUUUUUCCUUCACUUUAGCACCAAGAGAUGACUUUGCCACCUCUUGAACAAUCACACCACCAUCCCCGAAAUCCAAAACACGAACUCUAAGAUUAGCUAAACGAUUAAUAUUCUUUACUAAAUCCUACUUCUCCUCAUCCACAUGAGAUAAGAUUUCCAUGGAUAACCUACUAUGGGCAUCAGCAACCACGUUAGCUUUACCUAUAUGAUAGAGGAGAGUCAUGUCAUAGUCCUUGAGCAACUCAAGCCAUCUUCUUUGACUGAGAUAUACAUCCUUCUAAGUGAACACAUACUUUAAGCUCUUAUGAUUAGAGUAAAUAUCAACAUGGACCCCAUACAAAUAAUGAUGCCAGAUUUUUUCAUGCAAACACCACAGCUUACAAUUCCAAAAUAUAAGUCAGAUAAUUCUUCUAUGAACCUUUAACUGUAUAGAAGCAUACGUAAUUACCUUGAAAUGUUGCAUCAUCACAAAGACCAAUCCCACCUGGGAUGCAUCACAAUAGACAACCAAACCGUCCAUUCCCUUGGGUAGUGUCAAACUAGAGCUAAAGUUAACUUAUCAUUCAACUUCUCAAAGCUACCCUCACAAGCAUCAGACCACAAAAACUUUACCUUUUUUUGAGUUAACUUGGUCAACGGCACAACUAUCGAAGAAAACCUUUCCACAACUUUCUAUUAUAAUUGGCUAAACUCAAGAAGCUCAAAAUAUCUGUUGGAAUCAUGUGCCUAGGCCACUUCUUAACCACCACAACCUUCUGCAGAUCCACCAUAAUCCCCUCAAUAGAAACAACAUAGCCUAGAUAUGACACAACAUUCAACCAGAACUCAUACUUAUAGAAUUAGCAUACAAAUGUUGAUCCUUUAGGGUCUGCAACACAGGGCGGAGGUGAUCGGCAUGAUCUGCCUUACUCUUGGAAUACACCAACAUAUCAUCAAUAAAUAUAAUCAUGAAAAAUCUAAUAACUAAUGGAAAAAUCUACUCAUAAGGUCCAUAAAUGUUGUUGGAGCAUUAGUCAAGCCAAAAGACAUAACCAAAAACUCAAAAUGACCGUAUCAAGUUUGGAAAGUAGUUUUUGGGAUAUCCACCACCCUAAUCCUCAACUGAUAUACCUCAAUCGAAGAUCAAUCUUAUAAAAAACUUAGCACCCUAAGGGAGAUCAAAGUGAUCAUUAAUCCUCGAAAGUGGAUACUUAUUCUUCAAAGUCACCUUAUUCAAUUGGCAAUAAUCAAUACACAUUCAAAGCAAACCAUCCAUCUUAUGCACAAAGUGCACGGGAGCAUCCCACAUAAACAUACUAGGAUAGGUAAAACCCUUCUCUAGAAGGUCUUCCAACUACUCCUUGAGUUCUUUAAACUCAGAUGGAUUCAUGCUAUAAGAAGGAAUAAAAAUAGGAUGAGUGUUCGAAAGAAGAUCAAUACCAAAAUUAAUUUCCCUAUCGACAGGAAUAUUAGGAAGAUCAUCAGGGAACACCUCGAGAAAUUCACAGAUUAUAGAGACGAUCUUUAAGGAGUGACCUUUGGAUCCAGAAUCCUUAACAUGCACUAAGUAAUAGAGACAUCCUUUAGAAACUAAUUUCAGGGAUCUAAGAUAUGGAAUGAAUCUUUCCUUAGGCACUAGGGAACUACCUUCCUAUUCAAUCACCAUCUCAUUUGGGAAAUGAAAAUUGACCCUACAGGUCCGACAAUCUACAGGCGCAUAAUAUGAAUGCAACUAUUCCAUCCCCUAAAUAAUGUUAAAGUCUACUAUGUCCAACUCUGUUAGAUCCAUCAAGAUCUCCCUACCAUGGACCAAUAUCGCACAACCCCUAUAGACCCUUUUAGACAUAAUGGAGUCACAUACCGAGGUGAAUAUAGAAAAAAGAUCUGAAAUGCACUUAGGAUCUAAACCAAAUUAAAUAACCACAUAAGGGGUCACAUAAUAGAGUGUAGACCCAGGAUCAAGUAGACAAUAUACAUUUUGAGAGAAGAGUUUAAGCAUACCAGUAACAACAUCAUGGGAUGCUUUAGAAUCCUGGCGGGUGGCAAGAGCAUAUAGACGGUUCCAACCCGCGCCAGAGCCAAAAGCAAAACUAGCACUCUUUAGUGUAGGAGCAGAUAAAGUAACAACAGGAAUUUUACUCUCCCUAGAAGAAACCUUAGAAGUACAAUCCCUAUGAAGAUGUCCAAUAUAACAAUAUUUAAAGCACUUAUUCCUCUUUUCUUCAUAAAAACCAUGAUGCACCUGAUCACAAAAUCUACAAAGAGGAUAUAACGAGGCAGACUGUGCCCCACUAGCUUGCAACUAGGUUCCAGGUGCUCAUAACUCACUAUCAUACUGGGUACGAUGAUCACCUAAUGUCUUACGAUAAGAAGAACUAGCCGUAGAGUAGGAACCUAAAUUUUUCCUCUUCUUCUUAGACCACUUUCCACUAUCUCUACCACUUUGUUUCUGACCUACCCCCUGAUUAGAGUAGCUAAACUUCUUACUCUUCCUUUCACUGAUCUCUUCUUGCUUCAUCUUUUUUUCUUCCACUUGCUGCAUAUACACCACAAGCCUAGACAUGUCCAUAUCCUUGUUCAACAAGACAGCCUUGCUGUCAAAGAUCAACUCAUAGGAUAACCCAAAAGUGAACUUCCUCAUUCUAGCCCUUAUGCUAGACACCAACUCAGGAGCAUAUGAGGAUAAUUGUUGGAACUUCAAGGCAUACUCCUUGACUGACAUCAUGCCUUGAUUAAAAUUUACAUACUCCUUCACCUUCACCUCCCUCAACUCCUUAGGAAAGAACCAGUCCAGAAAAGCACUAGAGAAAUUAUCCCACAGGGUUGACUCAGCAUCAUCAUCCCUAGACUAGUCCCAAUCCUCAUACCACUAAUAUGCUACAUCCUUAAACUAGUAAGUAGAAAACUAUAUACCCUCUAUAUUAGUAGCAUGCAUCAAACAAAAGAUCUUUUCCAUCUUAUCAACAAAAUUUUAAGGAUCUUCCUCAACUUUAGAGCCAGUAAAAGUAGGAGUACUCAAUCUCAUAUAUUGGCCAACUUUAGUGACCAUGGAAAAUGGAGAAAUAAAAGUAACCUGCUCAGUCUGAGAAGCUAUAAACUGUGUAAGGAAAUAAAUCAACUGGGGAAACUCUGUGUUAGACACAUCAGCUCGAUGUGAUUGAGGAGGAAUAAGGGGAACUGGUGUAGCUCUAUCUAGGUAAUCAAAAGUAGCAACCCUAGAUUGGAUUUGAACUCCUGGAGUAGGACGACUUCGUCUACCUUCACAUUGUCCUCAAAUGAGACAUAAGAGUUCACAAGGAUAUCAGAUCUUCUUGGAGGAAUAAUAUGAAAUGAGAACAAACCGGAAUUAGAGUUAUUCAAGACCUUAGACUCUACAGCUCGAAAUAGAACAACAAGAAAGAGAAAUAAUUCUAAAUGCCUUAUACCUCUCCUUUAUAAGUGUGCCAUGCUACACAUCCAUAAAAGAGAUAAUACAUGACAAGGCUUUGUUGGACACUCAAUUACACCAAACCUAGAUCUGAUACAAUCUCUGUCAUGGCGUAAACUAGAGCUUCACUAUGACGGGUAUCUCAAAUCUACUGAGGAUCAAAGAGCACCCCCUUAUACCUAGCGAAACAACCCAAUAUCACCCCUGUCGGAUUAAUUCCAAAUAUAUAACAAGAUAACAUAAGGGUAAGCUUACUGAUAUUUAAUUCAUGUCCAUAAUUCAUCAACCAAAAAUCAGAUAAAAAAUCCGACCAACAUAACCCAAAUACACAGUAAACCAACAAAGCCUUCUAAACAAAGAACCAAAACUAAAUACCAAUAAAAUAUUGAGAUAUGACCCCGACUAUAGCCAAAAAUAAGUCUAAACAAGUUUGGGACAUAAGAAACCAAAACAUGAAAUAUAGACAUCCGAUGUAUAGAACCUUACUAAUUUAAUGUCAACUCACGAGUCGAUCCCGAAUCCUAAUCACUGAGCAAGAGAAGUGGAAGUAUGGAUAGAUCACGCAUCGAGCAGGGAUACAGCAUCUAAAGACAUUUAUCGGGGUGAACACUAGCAUGUAACCCAAGGAUAAGGGUAACAUAAUGCCAUGAUCAACAGUUUGAAAUCAUUCAAUUCAAUGCACUUAAUCAAAUGCAUAUACAUAUAUAUAUAUAUAAAUAUAUAUAUAUUUUUCAUGACCUAAUCUAGGCCCUAGCCUCGAUGGGCAUCCCUAACUAUGAAGGUUCGAGAGACCUCUUAGCAUACUAUUAUAAGCAUAAUUCAUACACGAAUCAAUGUGUGGAAGAUAUAAAAAUAUUUAAUAGAAACAUAUAAUCCAAAAUAUGUCAACGAAAUUAUGACAAUGCAAUAUUUAUUUUCGUCUACGAAGCCUCUAAUGAAAACUAACUACCUAGCCGGGACAAAGCCCCUAGCUAGACCAUAAAAUUGACUAAGAUUACAUAUAGAUAGAAUGCCUUUCGAGGCAAGGGUGGCUCACCAAAUUCAAGAAGUCUAGGAACAAUAUAUUACUAUGCUUGACCCUAGGACUGAGCCUCUGAACCUAUAAAGAGGGGGUCAAUACUCAAAAAUACUAGUAUGUAAAAUAAUCCAAAAAAUAACACAUACAUUAAAUAAAAUAAGUAAGAGCAUUACGAAAACAAUUUAUCAUAAUAUAUAUCGAAACAUAUGGGCAUAAUCAAUGAGCUUCAAAACAUUAUUUUAAGUGAUGACUUAACUCUUUCCUUUACUUCUGAGUUAGAUGGUACACCCUACAAGUCUAUAAUCCCACAGGUUAAAUGGAAUCCGUCUUCAACUCAUCGUCCAAGCACUCAAAUCCAACUUUUCUGAAAGGAUCGGGGUUCUACAACUAGUCUAGUAUACCAAUUCCCAUAGGAAAGUAUAUAUUGGUCGUUCAUAUGACUGGAAUGCUAAUCAUACAUCCCGAGUUGGCAAAACUCAGUUUUUAACAAUGAGCCAUUUCACUAAUAUUCUUUAUUUGAGUAACCAUCUAACUCUCUUUAAGCUCAAUUAUUUUCUUUUAAAGCCAUUCUUCAUGCUCAAAUUAUUCAUUUCUUUCAUAUUAAGGACAGUGCAUAAUAGGUAUCAUCAUAACUAGACUUGCAAUCCAAAUCAUAUCAUCUCAAAUCCAUAGCCCUUCUUUUUCAAAAACAUGCAAAUUACCACCAAAAGAUUUAUCAAAUCACAUGAGAGUUCUUAUUUUCAAAAGCAAAUGAAACUUAUGCAAACACACUCUCUUUUUAAAACUCUAACACAUAGUGGUCAAUUCUUUCAUUAAUCACAUGUAGUUUCUUUAUAAGGAAAUCAUAGCAUUUUAAAUAGAAAUCACCUCUUUGAUAAAUACGUGAAAAAACAUCCAUAAUAAGUAAAGGGGUAUUUAAACUCAAUAAUCAUCCUCAUUCGUAAAACAACCUCAACAUUAGUUAUACAUAAAUCUUAUGAACAAAAAAGGGCUUAUAAUUCAUGUCUAAAACCUAAUUCAAAAUUCAUAACAUGCUAAGACCAUAAAUUUCAGCAUGGGAAAGGGAAUUUCCCAGUUCAUGUUCAUAAAUCAAUUUUCAUACUCAGAAACCCAUGACAAAUACACACUUUCAUCAAAUCAGGUUCAUCAUGUAUGUUCUUUAAAAGAUUUUCAAAAACUAAUUUAAUAUACAUAAUUAUAUAUCUUUAAAACUUGUUAAAAGAGUAAACUUAUGCCCAUGAGAUUUAGGAUAGUCCCACAUACCUUUUGGCAUAGAAAAAUCAAAGAGAAGGUAGAGAGAUUUUCCCUUGGAGAUCAAAAUCCUCAAACCCUAGGUGGUUUUCUGCUCUCUUGCUUUAGAGAAGAUAAUUUUGGGAUUUGAGAAGUGAAAUAACAUGUGUUAAGACCUUAAUUUCGUCCGUAUAUGAUUAGGAACAGUUGCAGGAUAUGUAAAGACCCUAACACCCUUAAAUAGAAUAAAAUGGAGCACUUUUUGAUGUUUGGCUUUUGCUUGGCGGAGCAUGGCCAAGGCUAACCUCAGGGUAGGUAGCGCACAACGAAAGACAACUUCAGGGUUGGAGGCACACAUCAAAAGCCAACCCAAUCUAGUGGUGUUUCGUGAUUCCUUCAUGGUGCGGGCCUAAUGCAGACCCUAGACAAUGUCUUACUAAAACACUCAUAACUUUUGACUCCAGACUCGGAUUGAUGAAUGGAUAGUUGCAUUGGAAAAGGGACUCAAAGUUCUUUAAUUUGAUAUAUUAUAGGUCUCGCAAAUCCUUAUAUUUUAGGAUUAAUGUUUGUUGGAAGUUUACCUAAGAAAAUCAUCAACUAAAACUCAACUGGUAAGAACGUGCUCAACUUAACUUCGAGCUUAGAGACUUUUAUGAUGUAUACUCAUAUCCAAACAUGUUCUCAUACUAAAGCAUUUUUUAUUCACAAUUAUUUAUAACUAGAAACCAUUGUAUUUAGGUAUAUAUACAUCAAAAAUAUGUUUUAACUUUAGCCCAAAAAAGCAGGGUGUUACAUUAUCUCCCCCUUGGAACCAUUCAACCUUGAAUGAUGGGUAGGAACUUUUUGAAGCUAUAAAAGUAUGGAAUAAAUACCGUAACCUCACAUUGGAUAUUUUUCCUCAACAAAAUAUUCAUAGGCAUCAAAAGAGAUUCAAGAUAACCCCUAGUGAAUCGUGUAAGCACAAAGCAUGAGCUAAUAAGAAUUGACAUAGAGAUGACCUUGCACAUGAGUUCUGGGGAUCAUGAUCAUCACAACAUAAGGAAUGCAAAUAUUUGGUGACCAUAGGUCUUGAUUUACCUUGAUACUCAACAUGAAAUAAGGUUUUGCGGAAGAUAGGAAUAGAAGCAUCCUCCAUCUUAUAUGAUAUGACCGAUAGACCGUACACUUAGAGACACUAUUCAACUAUUCCCCAACCAAUAAAUAACAUACUUUAUCAUUUCCAACUUACAAUUCCCCUAUAACACACCUAACUACAAAAGUUUGAGUCCCACUACAUAGUACUUCCACAUUGAAGCGUAACCUGGAUUAAAAAGGUGUUAGCUUAAGCUAUGGGACCCCAUACUCUACAUCCCUUUAAUAAUAUUACUUCACCUUAUCACUGUAAUCAAACAGCCUUGGGCAUUAAUUCAAGGGUACUAACCACAUAGCACAUUGUUUUGCAUUUGCCUAAAUCACAACAUUCAAGCCUAUCUUUACUAUACCCACUUUAUGGAUCUCCACAUUAAAACCAACAACUUCACUCACUCUCACAAAGAUUUCACCACAUAUCCCCCUACCUAACUAUUUUACAUAAUAAUUGUUCAUUUUCUUCUUCCCUCUCUAACUCUAACCUUAGCUCAAGUAGUCACACAAAAUUUUAACACCAUAAGAAACAUCUACUCUCUCAUCUAAAAUGUUAUAUGCUUGCAUAACCACUAUUAUUCUAAUAAUCGAAGGGUCAUUGAGGGACCCUAGCAUAAGUAUCAUGAAUGGGAGUAACACAAUUAGAUUUUGACUUAUACUUAUUGUAAUACUCAAGGUGGGGCAUGAGUUGUAAGAUAUGAUACAAUAGGCACGAAGUGCAUUGUAUAUCAAAUUCCUAGAUCAUAAAUGGAGAGUUGUUUAGACAUAAACAUACACAACAUGAGUUCUUAGAGUUGGACACAGUGAGAAAUAUGUGAGCAUAUAUCAUGAGUUAUAUAGCAUAAAGGUGAAAUGAAGUCAACGAUUGAGACAAGGAUUGAUACUUGAAGAUAUUGCUUUUCAUUUUCAUAGAUGGGAUAGUCAUGAGUUUGCAUGAACCUUACCACUUUGGCUAAUACCGACGUAAACUGAAUCAAUAACAUUCAGAAAGCAUAGUUUCUUAGAACCAAGCAUGAUGUGAGACAUGAAUUUAUGGAUCAUGAGAAACACAAUAUAGAAUUUGAAUACUUGGAAUAUUGGAUUAUUGAUGGACAUUAUUGCUUCUAGUUUGUAGGUUGGAACAUGGACAUAAGUGCACAGAGAACUCGAACCUUAGGCAUAUGUAAGAUUUGAAUAGAUAAGACAUUGGUAGAGUGCCUUUUAAAUUGAAAUUAGAGGACUUUACUAGAAUAGGAAUAGAUUUAUCACGACUCUUCCCUAAAACUUGCCACUAUGAGAAAAUUUGGAAACUAGUUUAAUUCAUCAUCUCCCCCCCUCCCCACCCUUAGAUCAAGUCACAAACCUCAACUUUAGGACAAAUCCUCUCACUAAAUCUAUAGACACAACUCUCAACAUAAAAAGAGGUAUCACCAUACACAUAAACGCGAAACCCCCUGAUAAACUAUACUCUGAAGUCUUUGCUUUUCUAGAAUGCUACUCUUAACUUUUACUAGCCUCUAUAGCCAUCGCCCUACGACUCACACUCUCAUGAGCAUAUACAUCCAUACUCCUUAUCACAUAACAAUACAUUCUCCACUACUUAACAUACUGGCAUUAAAUCUCAAAUAUCAUAACCUCAUAACUUAACAAACCUUUUAAAACUACACCAAGGGUUCACAUAGCCUAUCUAUUUCUCCCUCAAUUCAGCUCUACAUAACACCAUAUAACGACUUCCUAUACUUCUCCAUACUAAGAACUUCAAAAACAUGAACUAGGUACACAUGAAACAUAUACCCAUAAAUACUUAUCUGACAACAUGCUAUCUGAGGUUCAACUUAUUCUUAUGCACCUAACACUUUUUUCCACUUAAUGACUCCACCACAAUUCAUCAUUUUAACACUGGUCCUCAUGUGUGUAUAUAUAUUUCAUGAUUAUCCAUCAUUUUUUCCACAAGUCGCCAACUUAGACUAUUGCACACGUCAAACUAAGCCUACUAUUUACUCCCAUAAAACGUGCAUCAUUAAUCUCAAGCUACUAUUCUUACCCCACAAUCCAGGUCUAAAGUUCAAGCCUAUUGUCUAACACCAAUCAUGUACCACUGAUGAUGCAUGCCAUAUAUUUUACUAGUCCGUCAAAUGGGGAAAAUCAACCCAAAUUCCCUAUUUCACCUAACUACAGUCCACAAGUUCAUUCUCUUCAUAAUAUUACUACCAUACCUUAGAAUCUACCACACACCUUCUCAUUUCAGUACUAGUUUACAACUACUAAAGAAAAGACAAUCAAAGGGGUAAAUUCACAUAAUAAGGAUAGUCGAUCUUAAUCGUAUAAUAUAACCCAUUACGAUAUAUUAGUAUAUUCAACCUUCCCACAUCAAAUCUACUUAACCAUGCAUAUAUUUAGACUAGUUUUAAAAUUCCAAAAACGUCUCUAUGUUUUCCCCAAGUUAGUCUAUAUUAUUGACUAAUCUACCCCUUUCCAUUCACGACAUAUAAAUGAUUUCUAUGACUACCAUAACUAUCCAUUCUGAAAUCCUUCCCUAUUUUAAAUAAAUGAUGAUCAUAGUCAAUCACUUCCUCCAAAGACUACCAUACAUUCUACAAGUCUUGCUACAACAUCAGCCAAUCACUAUAAAAGGGCAAACCAUCAUUCAGUCAAGGAUUACACAACUAAAACUAAAUUUGUUUUGCAAAAGUUACCCUUUCUCUGACUUCUAAACUUGUAACUUCAUAUCACUAACUUCUUGACCAUAUUAAUACCAAUAGAUCAUGAUACCUUAACAUAUACUAUUACUCAAGGGGAAAUACUGUUCUAACAUUCUAUGACAUAUCAUUACCCUUAAGUAUGCUAUCUGCAACAAGGAUUUUGAAAGGGACUGAAUACACUUCAUACCUUAGGCUCAAAUGCAUGAUUGAUAUAGAUAGAGGUAUAUUCUUAAAUCAACAUACUUUGAAGAACUAAUAGACUCCUCUCAAGUCCUUAUGCAAUUUUAUAACCUUCGAUGAAUCAACUAGAAAGGACCACAUCAUUUAGACUUUAGUUUUUGCACUUGAAUCGCCUCGACAAUAAGACAGAGCUAAUACAAUUAGAGUAAAUAAGGAAUUUGGAUAAAUUCAUUGUGGAAAUCACAAUGGCACAAUCUAGAGUAUGAAAGAAUGGGAAAAUCUCCUAAAUGCCUCGUAGCUUCCUUCUUAUAAGUAUGGCACACUACACAUCCAUAAAAAAAACUCUACUGAACAUGACUUUGUAGAUACCCUAGGACCAUGAAUCGUGCUUUGAUACCAAGCUUGUCACGACCCGAGUCGAGUCCUUGUCCAGGACAGGCAUCACUAACAACGAAGGCCCAAGAGACCCCUUAGAAUACUAUUAUAAGCAUAAUCCAUACAUGAAUAAAAGUACAGAAGAUAUAAUAAUAUUAAAUUAAAACUUAUAAUCCAAAAUGUGUCAACAAAAUUAUAAUAAUGCAAUACUCAUUUCCAUUUAUGAAGCCUCUAAUGAAAACUGAUUGUCUAGGCCAGAAAAAGACCCCGGCUAGACCAUAAAACUAAUUGAGAUUACAUGUAGAUGGAAUUCCUUUCGGGGUAAGGGAGGCUCAACAAAUUUUGGAAGUCUAGAAAUAAUAUACUACUGAGCUGACCUCGGGACUUAGCCUCUGAAGCUAUAGAGAAGGGGUCAAUACUCAGAAGUACUGGCAUAUAGAACAAUUCCAAAAUAACACAUACUUCAUGUAAAAUAAGUGAGAGCAUUAUGAAAAAAAUUUACCAUAAUAUAUAUAGAAACACAUGGGCAUAAUCAAUGAGCUUUAAAACAUUCUUUUAAGUCAUGACUCAACUCUUUGUUUUACUUCUGAGCUAGAUAACACACCCUAUAAGUCUACAAUCCCAUGGGCUAUAUGGAAUACGUCGUUAACUCAUCGGCCAAGCCCUUAAAUCUAAGUUUGCCACAAGGAUUGAGGUCCUAUAUACUAGUCUCAAAUACCAGUACCCAGAGGCAAGUAUACAUUGGCCAUUCAUAUGAUCGGAAUGCUAAUCAUAUCUCCCGAGUCAAAAAACCUCGAUUUCGCUCAAAUAAUUUCUUCAGGAAACCAUCUAACUCUCUUUAAGCCCAAUUUUAGACUCUUAAAACCACGCUUCAUGCUUAAAUUAUUCAUUUAUUUCAUAUUAAGGACAUUCCAUAAUAGGUACUGUAUACCUAGACUUGCAAUCUAAAUCAUAUCAUAUCAAAUCCAUAGCUCUCUCUUUCAAAAGCAUACAAUGACCACCAAAAAAUUUAUCAAAUCACAUAAGAGUUCUCAUUUCCAAAAGCAUAUGAAACUUAUACAAACACAAUCUAUUUUCAAGACUUUAACACAUGGUGGUCAAUUAUUUUAUUAAUCGCAUGUAGUUUUUUCAUUAAGAAACCAUAGCAUUUUGAAUAGAAAUCACCUCUUUGAAAAAUACAUGAAACAACCAUUCAUAAUAAGUAAAGUGGAAUUUAAACUCAAGAAUCAUCCUUAUUCAUAAAACAACCCCAACAUUCGUUAUACAUAAAUCUCAGGAUAAAAAAAGGAGCUUAUAAUUCAUUCUCUCAAACCUAAUUCACAAUUCAUAACAUGGUAAGACCAUACAUUUCAUCAUGGGGAAGGGAAUUUCGCAAGUCAUGUUCAUAAAUCACUUUUCCAACUUAAAUCAUGUAGGCACAAGAUUAUAAAUCAAGCUCAUGGAAAACCCCCAUGACAAUUAUACACUUUCAUCAAAUCAGGUUCAUGAUGCAUGCUCUUUAAAUAGUUUCCCAAAACUCAUUAGAUAUAUAUAAUUAUAUAUAUUUAAAAUUUGUUAAAACAUUAAAAUUAUGCCCAUGAGAUUUAGGAUAGUACCACAUACCUUUUGAUGAAAAAAACUAAAGAAAACAUAGAGAGAUUUUUCCUUAUAGAUCAAAAUCCUCAAACCCUAGGUGGUUUUCUCCUCUCUUACUUAAGAAAAGAUGAUUUGUGCUAUAAGAAGUGAAAUAACAUGUGUUAAGACCUUAAUUUCAUCCAUAUAUGAUUAGGAAAGGUUAUAGGAGGUGAAAAGACUAUAACACCCUUAAAAAGAAUAAAAUCGAACACUUUUUUAUGCUUGGCUUUUGCUUAGUGGCGCAUGACCAAAGACAAUCUCAAGGUUAGAGGUGUACAGCCAAAGCCAACCAUAGGGUUGGUGGCUCACAUACAAAUCUAACCUAUUCCUAUGGCGUUUAAUGAUUCCAUCGUAGUGCUGGCCUAACGCGGACCCUGGACAGUGUCAUACCAAAACACUUAUAACUUUUGAUUACAAACUCAAAUUGAUGGACCGUCAGUUGCAUUGGAAAGAGGACUCAAAGAUAUUUAAUUUAAUAUAUAAUAGGCCACAUAAAUCCUUAUAUUCUAGGAUUUUUCGUUGGAAGUUGACCCAAGAAAAAUCAUUAACUAAAACUCAAUCGUAAGAGCGUGCUCAACUUAACUUUGAGCUAGAAAACUUUUAUGAUGUAUACUCAUCUCCAAAUAUGUUCUAACAAUAAAUCAUUGUUAUUCACACUUAUUUCUAACUAUACACCAUUUGAUUCGGGUUUAUAUACAUUGAGAAAAUGACCCAACUUUUGCCCGAAAAAGCAGGGUGUUAUAAUAUAUCACAUGUCGGGAUAGGAAACUAGGCUUAAUAUGUUUUUCAUAACUAUAACCUGGAUCGUGUAGCUUAACCAUCAUAUAAUAGUACCAACAGGCUAUAUGGACCCAGCUCACCCCCAGUCGGGCCCCAAUACAUAUAUAGCCACAUAAACUAGAGAAAGAUCAUAUAUAUAUAUGUAUAUAUGUACAAGAGACUCAAAUCCUCCAAUCAUUUACUAAAGUGACUUAAUCACCCGGCCAUAAAAUAUGAUAUGGGAAACUCAAACCCUACAAUCAUAAUAAUAACAAUAAGUUGGAUUCGAACCACCUGUUCACAAGUAAGGGGACUCUAACCCUCAAUCCAUAACGACCCCCAAAUCGGCUAACGUAGUUUCUAGUGUCAGUCACUCGGACGUUAACUUUCAUGACUCAGCUACACAACCCUCUUUUGAAGCCCAAUUAAAAUAUUUAUCACACAUUCCAUUUAUUGAACCAUAUUUCAUAGUAAGGCAUAUAUUGUUGGUAUCCUCAUACCAACCACACUUGUAAGGUAAUAACAAUAUGCCAAAAUAAUUACAUCACUUGAGGGAAAUAAUCCCCUUGGUUCAAUUAUGUAAUAGAUUGUGAAAACACAAAUCCAUAAGGUUCAAUUCAACAUCAUAAUAUAAUAGUUCAAGAAUAGUUCAAUUCCCACAUUUCUUAUAACUAAAAACUAGUUUCACAAUAUAGAUUUAGGGUCAUAACCACUUCAAAAGUCACAAGUUUGGGGAAAAUCACAAUUCCUUAGUUCAUUCACCAUACCAAUGCACCCACAAGUUCAAACCAUAUUUAAAGCAUGAUUAAUCAUAUAUAAAUCAUGGGAAAACAUUGUUCAACAAAAAGCAUUCAAUAACCUCAACCCCUAUUUUAAAACCAUCAUAAAUAUCUCAUGAACAAUACUUUAAAUCACAUGCCUUUACAAAAUUAACAAUGAGGGAAGAAUAACAUGCCUGAAAUACCAAGUUCUAUAGAAGAAAUUGAAUCCUUGAGCGAUUGGAUGACCAAAUUAUUAAAACCUGGAAUGACUUGCUUGAGAGUAUUUAAAAGAGCCUUUGAAUUGUUUUGAGCAUGUGAAAGGUGAAUUUUAACCCCCUUAAGUGUUUUAUGGAAAUGGGGUUUUAAUUGGGUGAAAGGAAAAUUAUCCAAAAUACCCUUAAAUUAAAAGCUAAAUUUUGGUCAUCAAUGGCUACGAGUCACUAUACGACUCAUAUAGUCUCACUACGACUCUUCACAAGGAGUCGUAGCCAAGGCAGAACCACAAAGGUGCCAUAUUGUUCUGGUUACGAUUCAUAUCACCAACUCAUAAGCAUACUUAACGAAUUAUUCUCAAGACAACAACAAUUUAGGAUGACACACUAAAUACCUUAUGAUUGGAAAAUAACGACUCUUCAUGAGUCUUUAUGACUCGUGGCCUCAAGUUAUAAUAAAGAUAGUUUCUUGAGCCAAACUUACUGGACACCUUACAACUCGAUCCUCACAGUCCGUAAGAAGCCUUGACGACUAAUUGAGAGCCACUCGUACUUAGAGCAGAAUACUAAGCCACUUAUUCUAAUUAAGUUGUGAUCGAUUCCUUAAGACCUGUCAAAGAUUCCUAUGACUCAUCAGGAGAGUCGUAGUCAAGACAGUGAGCAUAAAAUUUUAAAAAAUUUCAAGUACCAAAAACCUGAGGCGUUAUUGAUAGAGUCCCCGAGGAGGUCUAUGGAGGUACUUGGAGGCUAGAGGUGUACCUAUGGUGUAUGUUAGGGCUAUUAAGGAUAUGUACGAUGGAUCCAAGACACAAGUUAGGAUUAAGGAAGGGGACUUAGAGCACAUUCCCAUCUUGAUGGGGUACAGUAGGGUACAUCAAGGAUCGAUUCUUAGUCCAUUUCUAUUUUCCUUGGUGAUGUAUAUUAUGAUAUGGAAAAUUCAAGGUGAGGUGCAGUACUAUUUUCUUUGUACAGAUGAUAUAGUCUUGAUCCAUGAGACACAUGGUGGAGUUAAUGCUAAGUUGGAGGUUUGGGGCAAACCCUUUAAUCUAAAGGGUUUAGAUUGAGUAGGUCCAUAACGGAAUAUCUGGAGUGUAUGUUCAGUGAGGUAUCACAUAAGUCCUACGUGGUUGUAAAUCUUAAUAUUCAUUUCAUCCCAAAAGAGAGACAGUUUCAAGUAUCUGGGUCUAUGAUUCAGGAAAAUGGAUAGAUUGAUGAGGAUGUCACUCAUUGGAUUGGGAUAAGGUGGAUAAAUGGAGGAUCACCUCUGAAAUCUUGUGUGACAAAAUAGUACCUCCUAAAGUCAAAGAAAAGUUCUGCAGAAUGGUGAUUAGACCAACUUUGUUGAUAGGGUAGAGUUUUGGACUGUAGAAAAAUCUCACAUCCAAAGGAUGAAGAUGGCGAAGAUAAGAAUGUUUCAGUGGAUAUAUGAAUAUAGUAGGUAAUAUAGGAUUAAAAAUGAGGUUCUUUGAGAUAAGAUGAGAGUGACUUCAGUGGAAGCCAAGAUGAGUGAAGCGAGCUUCAGAUGAUUCAGACAUAUGAUGAGGAGGAGAAUGGAUGCCUCAUUGCGGAAGUGUGGGAGGUUGUCUACGAAUGAAUUCAAGUGAGAUAGAGGUAAACCAAACAAAUAUUGGAGGAAGGUGAUUAGACAUGAUAUAGAGCAACUUCAGCUUACCGGGUACAUGACCCAAGAUAGAAAGUUGUGGAGGAGGCGGAUUAGGUAGAAGGUAAUUAGUAUUAUUUCCGAAUGUUGUAUCAUUUGUUGUAUCACUUGGUGAAUCUUGUCUAUGUUGUUAUUGGUGUGGGAAUUUCUAUUGUAUCUUGUCCUUUUACUAUUCCUUUUCUUGAUUAUUUUAUCUUGAGCUGGGGAUCUAUUGGAAACAACCUCUCUAUCUCACCUCUGAGGUAGUAAUAUGGACGGCGUACACUUACCCACCCCAGAUCCCACUUGGGGGGAUCGAUAUACUGGGUAUGUUGUUGUUGGUAUCCGCAUGUAGUGUACCAUACAAAAUUUACCCUAAAAUCUAAAAACAACAAAGAAUUGAUUAUCGACUCGUUAAUGAAUAAUUAUACAGUUUGUAACCCUAAUUAUAAAUUUGAUACAUACAUAGAGCUAUCUAGAGUGGGAUGAUACACAAUAACCAUGGAUCUGUUAAACUGCCAUUUUGGAGUUGAGUAAAAACACUCGUAUAUCUAAUUAUCUAAUCACAAAAAAAUAGGUUUAUAUGCCUCCGUAUUUUGUCAUUGUUUGCUGUGUGUUUUCUGUGUGAGUGAAGGGGAAAAUUACAUAAGAACAAUAGAGGCUUAUAUGUCAACAAAACUUAGAGUAACUUGGAAUUACUGUUCUAGUAAGCUAUGAAUCAGUUGCCUCCUCAAAUAACUGCAAAAAAAAUGGAUUCUUGUAACUGAGAUGACACAGAAAAUGCGUGCAAUAAUACUUGAAGAUUCAAAGUUAGUUUCAUGUAACUGUAGACAUCGAAUUUUUGUGAAACUCUACUAGACGAGCCCAUUCUCUGUUAGACUUUUUGGAGGCAACUCUACCCUAAUCCUAGCUCACGCUUAUUUAAAAAGUAACAUAUUUCAUUGUAAAGAUAUCUCGAAUAUCCCAUAAACUCUUGAAAUAUUCACAAAGAGAUCAAGACAUCAAAUAACGCCAUCUCAAAAUUGGUCCCGUGUUCCUUGUCAUGAAAUAUAUCGUAAGGUGGUCCAAAAUUAUGUUUAUCAAUAAAAUUACGUUUCUUUUCAAAUAUAUUUUCUAUCACUUUAAAAUUUACAUGCAGUUCAUACUAAUUUUUCCCAUGAUUAAAAGCUAAUCUUCUAAAGAGGUUUCACAUUUACCGCCAUAUGAAUGGCGAUCACAAUUCUCUUUGUUACGAUGUUACAUUCUGCUUUUGUUAUGGUUGUUAAGCCUUUUAAACUUUUCUAAAUAUAAAUAUAUUUACAUUUUUUCACCUACAUUUUCUUUGAAAUAAUGCUUGCUUGAAGGGCAAAACAAUAUGUGGAAAAAAAUAAAAUUGAAGGGCAAAACAAUCAUUUAGCUUUUAAUGGUUAUUUUGGGGCUUCCGCUUAUAAUAUGGUAUAUUGGUACAUGAUGAUAUGAUAGUGACGACAACUAGUUGUACCAAAAAUAUAAUGCUUAAGAAUGCAAAAAUGUUCCGCCAGAGUUCUAUACGAUUUAAAUAGCCAUAAUAUACAAAUAUAUCUUUUAACUUGGCUUCAAAUUAUAUUUAUAUAUUUCACAUAUAGGUAUACAUAAGUAGACACUUAAAUUUGUAUAAAAUUGAACAAAUAGACACCUGCAUUCUAUGUGGCCAAUUCAUGUUCCACAUGGCCUCCUACGUGUACUGUGUCGCAUAGAAUAUGUGUGUCUAUUUAUUCAAUUUUAUACAAUUUUAAAUAUCUAUUUGUGCACAUUCAAAAUUAAAAAUCAUAAAUAUAAAUUGAGGUUAAGUUAAAGAAGAAUGUUUUAUGUAUUAUGCCUUUUAAAAUAUUAACGUAGCUUCCUAUGUCUAUCAUGUUAACUUUAUAUACUUAAAACAAUCAUGCUUCUGUUUAACAACCACCCUUUUUUAAUUAAUUUCAACAACAUUGGGACCCAACAAAACUUUUGAUUAGAAUUCACUAACAAUUUCCCCCGUCGACUAUUACCAAAAAGAACUCCAACGAAUUUUAUAUCAUUAAAUAGAUCUUCUAAGAUCAUUGCUUUGCAUCAUCAAUUCUUCUUUUAGAGAAUAAAUAAAAUCCUGCUUGUCAUAUAAAUUAUGGACAAAACUUGCCAUCUCCUCUUUGCUCUUGCAGUAUUCAUUCUGGUCUAUCAUCAAACUUCACAUGCUACUAUCCUCAAUAUUAACACUUAACACUGAUGAAGCUGCUCUUCUUGCACUGAAAUCAUACACUUGGUCUCAUCCUAACGACAUCUUAGCAAGCAAUUGGUCUUCUUCCAACCCGGUUUGCAGCUGGAUCGGAAUCGCUUAUAGCUUCCGCCACCAUCGAGUCACUGCUUUAAACAUUUCUAGCAUGCAACUUCAUGGUACCAUUCCUCCACACCUUGGAAACCUCUCAUUUCUUGUUUCCCUCGACAUCAGUGUAGACACGUAAAAUUUAUUGGGUCAAAUUCAUAUAAAAAUUAGAUUUGACCCAUAUUUUAUUGAACCUAAAAUUAUUUUGGGUUAUAAAAAUAAUAAGCUCAUUUUAUUCCUCAUCAAAGACUUCAAGGUCCAUCUCACCUUGAGGCCCAAACUUAUGCCACGUGUCAAGUGAUGUGGCAUCCCAGUCAAAUUAAAGAUCAAUUAAGCAAGACCACACAUAUCCAAUGAUGUGGCAAUCCAAGUCAAGUUCAAGAGCCAAUAAAACAUCACCAAGUGUCCCAAAUGACAUGUUUUUGGCCAAUCACAAGCAACCUUGUCACAUAACAUUUGUGAUAAGCUUGAAAAUUAAAUGGAACAAUCAAAAUAAGGCAAAAGAGGUUAUUUACACUUGGAUUGCCUACCCCUAUAACUAUACAUAGAGGGUUACACAAUUUUCUAGGGAGAUUCUGCAAGCAUUGGAGAAAGCUUCUGCAUUGACUAUACAGCUCUUCAACGAAUCGACUAACGGAGUUCUGCCCGAAGGUCAACUCGACAAGACGAAGUGCUGUCAAACAAUUCCUAGAAAUCCAAACAAAUUCCUGGGAGGCUCAAAUCAUCCGAAAGUUCGAGAAUUACGCUACAAAGGUCCUCGAAUUACGUAAAAGCUUAGGGGAGAAGAAUCGAGAGAAUAACAGAAAUGUACCCACAGAAUUACUUUAAGUAAAAUUAUUCUUUUUAUUUAUUUUUAUUUUUACUUGCAGUUAAUUUUCCGUACAACGAAAAUUUGUUGCGAACAAUCAGUAACAACACUUUCCAUGGAGAUUUUCCGAAAGAGUUGGCUCAUCUGCAGAGGUUGAAAGUGAUUAAUGCCACAAGAAAAGACUUCACCGGAGCUGUUCCAUCAUUUUUAAGUUUGUUAUCAAACCUACGCUCAGUAUCUCUCGAGCAACCAAUUUUCGGGGAAAAUUCCUUCUUGCCUUUCGAAUCUUACAAAGCUGGAAGUGUUGAACUUGGAGAGAAAUUUUCUUGAAGGAGAAAUACCUUGGGAACUCGGUGAUCUUCCCUGCCUGAAUUUUUUAAACCUGCAACUAAACCACCUUAGCGGCUCUAUACCUCCAUCGAUAUUUAACAUUAAAACAAUGCAACACAUUGGUUUUACGUAUAACAAUCUUACUGGUAAGCUUCCAUGUGUGACCAUCUUCCGAACUUGGAAGGUUUUUACCUCUCAAGAAACUAUAUAGGUGGCGUUAUUCCACCAAACCUGGAGAAAUGCAUAAAGCUUCAUGAAGUCUUGUCACUGACUCACAAUGAGUUUGCUGGAACUUUUCCAAGAAACCUAUCCAACUUAACAGUUCUUAAAAGAUUAUAUAUUGGAUCUCUGCAUUUGGAAGGUAGUAUGACAUUUUUUAAUCUUUCUUUUGAUAUCUAUCAUUAUCUAUUGUGUUUUGAUUAUUAUAUUAUUAAGUUGCUGUUGUUAUUUAUUUUGUUGGGCUCUAGUGAUGAAAUGUGAAUGGAAAAUGAAGAAAAGAAAAAUGGAGGAAAAGUGAAAUGUUCCUUUACUUUACGGAAGAAUUGUACUGCCACAUAACUGGGAGAAAGAAACUUUUUUAUGCUUGAUAAUAGAAGCAUUCCUCUAAUAAAAUGGCUAACUCCACCACACGUAUUAGGAACCUUGUUCAAAGAAACUACAGUAUGCAUUAAAAUUAAACUAAACUAAACACAAAUGAUAUACUAGGAGGAUUUCAACACCAAUCUCCACUAUCUUCACACCAUAAACACUAGGAGGAUUUCAACACCAAUAUCCUCUAUCUUCACAACAUCAACAUUUCAGAUUAAAACUCAGCAAUCUAAGGGAUUAACUCGAGUACCUCACCUCAACAGUUAACUAUAACAGUUCUAUGCACUAGUUCACCGCUCCAAUAAGUCAAACUCGUUUCUUGUUAUAACGCCUCACAAACACUUCACUUCUAACACUAAACAGAAGUUAUUCUUGAUAUAACGCCUCACAAACACUUCACUUCUAAUCUUGUUAUAACGCCUCACAAACACUUCACUUCUAACACUAAACAGAAGCUAUUACAACUCAGUUAAAACUUCUAAUGCAAAACUAAAAUCGACACCAAAACUGCCACCUAGUAAUAACUUGAUAUUUCCAGUUGCUAGUUUUCAUCGUCUUGCUCUUUCUUUCUUUUAUAGUUUUCCAGAUCUGUGGAUGCGUAAAAAUGUGCUACUCAAUUGCUUACAAUGCUGUGUAUAUAUUGCUUGUUUGCCUCCCUUAGGUUACAACUACCUUUUCCUUGCGCAAACCAAUUCCUGUAAGGAGACCUGCAUGCUAGAAUACACCUCAUUAACAUAAAUAAAAAAAUAAAAAGAUCUCCGUUUAAAUUAGGACUCCUGAUUCUUUUCAAUACAUUAUGAUAAAUAAAUACACUUUUGGCCUAACUCAACCUCAAAAGCUAACUUAUGAGGGGAGGAUUAUCCAAGGCUAAGGAGACCAAGGACCCUUUAAUCCAUUGAUGUGGGACUCCAAAACCCCCCGCACGCCCAGGGCUGGACAUCUGGAGCGUGGACAAUUAUAACGACCCGAAAUCUCCUCCCGGGACGUCACACGGUGCUUAAGGCUAUAAGUAGCCCCAAGCUAACCCUUUGAGCCUGUCACUAUAUAAAAUAACUCAUUUCAAAAAGAAAUAAACAAAAUACUAGCACUGUCAUAUCAAAUGAUAGAAAAUACGAAGAAAAUACCUGAUCCAAAUGCCCACAAUACUGAAAAUCUCAACAUACUAACAAUCUGAUACUAGUCUGACAAAGUCUCUACUACUACAUGAACUAGAGAGCCAUUGGGACAGGUCCUAACUGACUCAAAUUGAACUGAAAGCAAUAAUAUGUUUACUAAAAUACUGGAAUAUCUGAAGAUAGGUCCUCGAACCAUGAGGACUCACCACUGUAGAGAUGUAGACAAAGGUACUUGGAAAUCACUGGCGAGGCUGGGACUGAGCACCUGAACCUACAUUAUAAAAUAAUGUAGCACAUAGACGUAUAUGUGGAUCAGUACUUGGGAAUGUACUGAGUAUAUUGGGGUGUAUGCAUUUACAUAAAACAAUAUCAAUACUCUUUAAUCAAAUCAUGCAUGCAAAUAUGAAUGACUCACAUAGAAUGAAUAAGUCUAAUAUAAUAAGCUCAUAAAUCAUGUAGAAUGAAGCAUGUAACACAAAUCUCGUGAGUCAUUAUACUUUAGAUUUAAAAUCUAUACUCUCCUCUUAUUCUCAUUACUCGAAGGCUAAAGGAAGCUUUAAACAAUACUUUCAACUCAUGCAUAUAUCUCAUAGAGAGUAAAACUUCUUUAAUGCUCAAGAACUUAGAAUUCCUUUACACUCAGGACACUUGGAACUCGAAAUUAUAUAAGUUUGGUUUAAAAGCUGAUUAUUUACUCUUACUGGUAAAGAAAACUACUUCCUUCUUGGGAAAAUUUUACUUCAAGAAACUAUUCUGAAAAUCUUACUAUUAGGGAAAAAUACUCAAAAGUUGUUUACUCACUGUUUACUAGCAGAGAGGUUCUCUUAAUCGACAUACACCAUGCGAGCUACAUGGAGUCCAACGUCUUAUCCUCCUAAGGAAGAAACCUCACAUUGGAGAUAGGCAUCAUACUCUUGCCAGUAAGUAUAACCUCAACUCAGUGAUCACUUAUCUCGGCCUUGAGCCCAUAAAUCUCAAUUCUUCGAUGGCACGUAGUUCUGGGGUAUGAAACCAUAGUAACUUACCCAACUCAGUGCUAAAUACUACUCCCUUUAGUUAGCUAUGCUCAUCUCAUGGAAAUCCACUUUAAAAUAAUCUCAUGGUUCAUAAGAACCCAACUAUAAAAUUCGUAAUCUCAUUUGGUAACAUGGAUUUCAAAGCUACUAUGACCAUUGAGGUCAAAACUUUCUCAAUGAUCUCAAAAUACUCAAAUCAUGGGUGCUUAUAGCACAAAAGUUCAUAAAAAACUGAAAUCUCAAGUAGGGUUUAGUGACCCAUAAUCAAAUCUCAAGUUAAGACUCAUCAAAAUGCAUACUAGAUGUUAUAAGGAUACACAAAUCAUAUGGAAAUCUGGAAUGUUCAACAAUUUGUCUUAAUAUCUUAACAUACUCAUGUACUUCAAUUUCUAGAACAUUGGCAAAUCUCAAAAUCCCAUGCAUAGUAAUAUUGGGUAUGAACCCACACUUUAAAUUCAUAGGAGAACUCAUAAAGCCAUAUAUCUUUGUAAUUUAAAACAAGUUUUGGGCACAAAAACGAAACACUUGUCCUUGUUCAAACCCCACAUACCUUUAGAUUGUAACUUAGAUAAACAAACUUGCUUGAGACUCUUCUUCUUACUCUUGAGAGAGGUUCUUGAAGCCUUGGACUUGGGGAACUAGAAUCUCAACGUAAUUUGUAGAAUCUAUGGUGAGUUCUUGAAUUUCUUGGAGAAGGGUUUUGGGUUUGUUCUUGAGGAAGAAACCCUAGCCUUUGAAUGUUUUGGGAGAUAAUGAAGUCAUAUGCUUCAUUUUGCAUAUAUCUAAGUAUUAAAAAGGGAAAAGACCAAAAUUUCUUUUAAAAAUGACUUAAAAAUAAUGAAUGGGAUUUGCGAUGGUCGGUGUGAUGAUUCGUCGCUAGUCUGACGGCCCGUCAGAUCAUCCGGUGCAUGUUGGUAAGAAAAAGGCCACACUAUCUCAGUUGCGACGGUCUUAGAGAUGGUCCGUCGCUAGCUUGAUGGUCCGUUGUCUUGUCCAUCGCACUUCGGCCAGAAGAGGGAGUUACUGCCUAGGUUGCAACAGUUUAGGCGACGAUCCAUCACAAGCUCGACGGUCCGUCAACCUACCCGUCGCACCUAAGCAAGUCCGAUAACUCUUAGUAAAACAGACAUAACUUCUCACCCCAAUAUCGGAUUUGGAUGAAAUUGGUAUCGUUGGAAAGAUAAUUCAAGUUUCCACAUGACAGAAAGUCAUUUUUGGAAAAUUCAAUCAAGGUUAAAAUAUUAAUUAGUUGGGAAGUCACUUUUCAAUCUUUUAGGGUAGGAAUUACACUUCACUUGACAUGCUCUAAGGCUCAGACUACGAGGAAAAUUUUGCGGGGUCUUGCAAUAUCUCUAAUAACGCUCAAAUUGCACAUUAAUUUAGUACAAGGCAGUCGUCAUCAAUAUAUUUACCCAACUUUAGAGUCAGGGACGAAUCCACAAGGAGCAAUAUGAGUAACGAUUAAACUAAUUUGAAACUACAGCUAUAAGUUGAUUUUAAACAAAUGAUACUAAAAGAUAAAAUAAGGGUUUUUGAUGAUCAAACAAAUGUUAAAGUUUUAACUUGCUUUAGAGCUUAAAACUAAAAUUUCAAUAGUUAAAAUCAGUGAUAGAGAAACUAGGGUUGUGAUCACUAUGAUUAUUAAUCCCCAUUAAAUAGUAGUUGUAGUGUUAGGUUCUCAUGACUUGUGGGAAACACUAAACUAUCAAUUUCGACAAUCCAUCUAAGGGUUUCUCAACCUACUUAGAUGGUGAACUCCCUAAUUCUCUCGAACUUAGGAAAUCAUUCUAUUUGUACUGAUUUUAUCUCAAGUUAAUCAAUCUUGUUACAGCAUUAAUCAUUAGAUGGGAGCUUAACCUUCCCAAAUCCUUGUUGAUAAUUCGCUACCUUUAGUUUAUUUCUCAUUUUGAGAAAAUCAACAUGAGGCGGGAUUUAUUAUUUGCAACCAAUAAAUAACAAUCAUAACAAAGGAAUUAUCAAGAUGUCCCCACAAUCACUCAAACCCUAGCCAACUAUUAAAUCCAUGGGGAAUAAUCAUAGAUCCCACAACCCUAGUUGUAGGUUUUAGUUCCACAUGAGAAAGAAAGAGAUAGCAAUAAUUAUAAUCAUCAUUCAAAGUAAUUAAACUUACAAAAGAUGAAGUCUGAAGUUGAUUCUCUUCCAAGUUCAAGAGAAAAUUCCCACAACCAAAUCAAAGAGUUGAAAAAAUUGAAUUCCAAGUUAAGAGAGCCAAAAAGAAAAGUAAACUCCCUUCGAAUAAGUUCAAGAUGUUCCACCCCUUUUAUUAGAAAACCCUAACAUAUGCUUUGAAUACUUCAUCCUAAUUAUGGAAACAAAAUCACAUAUCACAGUAUUUUCUUGGACAGAAGACAAUGUGUGUGAAGGCUUAUCAGCAGUAUGAUGUCUUAUCAAGAAUGUCGUCAGCUCCUCUUCAUAUUUGAACAAGUUUUGUCUUCAGCUGAUGAUGAAGCCUAACGGCUUAUCAGACAUGUGACGACUUAUCAAAAUUGUCGUUGCUUCUUCACUUUAAGUCCUCAAGCACUGCCUAAGCCUGACGGCUUAACACAACUCUGAUGGCCUAUUACACGUUGUUGUUACUUCUUUUAGCUAAAUCUCAUACACUGCCUAAGGUUGACGAUGACUUUGAUGACUUAUUAGGAUUUUAAUGAAAUACCAGAUAAUGUCGUCACUUCUUAACUUUAAAUCUCAUAUACUGGCUUAGGUUGACGGCAUUCUUGAUGGCUUAUCAGAAUUAUGACAACUUAUCAGAGAUGUCAUCACAUUUCUGCUCCAACUUCCUCACACUGUCUACAGCUGACGAUAACUCUGAUAAAUUAUCACAAAUUUGAUGACUUAUCAGACAAGUCAUCAACUACACUUUCAUGGCCACUUGUUCUAAAUUCACCUCUUUUUCUCUUAUUUUCUUUGGUUUUCUUUCAUCUUGACUUUCCUGCAUAAUCAAAUAGAAAACAAUCAAAAAUGAAAAAAGUUGCUUAAGACCUUAUAAUUAUUUUUAGUUAAAAGCCUCAAAUGUGUUAGCAUCUGCUCAUACAUCAAUCUCCCCCUUGGGAAUAUUCGUCCUUCAAUGUCGCUAGUUAGACUACGAACACAGGAAAAGCUGAGUACACAUAGCUGAAGCAAUUUGCUAAACGAGCUUAAAAUUUUUCUAAACUAUUGAAUACUUCAGAAAUUGCAAGAACUCAUGUAAGAAUAGAUGUAUAGUUGAACUUUAGAUUAGAAGGGCUGAAUUAAGGAAGAAUAAUACCUUCGUAUUAAUUUGAACUCGUGGAGAAGAGGUGCGGGUACUUGGCUCAUGUGUCUUCUUCUGCCUCCCAAGUAGCACCCUCCAUAGACUGGUUCCGCCAUAAAACUUUGACCAAGGGAAUUUUUUUGUUUCUCAAUCUAUGGAUCUAAAAAUAUAGGAUCUCAACAGGAAUCUCAUCGAAUGACAGACUGUUCUGAAUAUCAGCAACCUCUGAAGGAUCUACUGCAAGAGAAUUACCUAUAUGCUUUUUAAGCAUGGAGACAUGAAAAAUAGGAUAAACGGCUGACAAAUCUACAGGCAACUCAACUUCAUAGGCUACUUUACCAACAUGACUCACGACUCUAUAGGGGCCCAUGUAAUGAGGACUAAGCUUUCCUUUUUUACUAAAACUCUUCACCCCUUUCAUGGGUGAAAUAUUUAAGUAUACUAAAUUACCCACCUCAAACUCAAGAUCCCUUCUUCUCACCUCAACAUAUGACUUUUGAUGACUCUGAGUUGUCUUCAACCUUUCUCUAAUCAACUUCACCAUUUCCAUAGCCUCAAAUACCGCAUCAGGUUUAAUCACUGCAGUUUCACCCACUUCAAACCAACCUAUAGGUGAUCUACAUCUUCUACCAUACAAAGCCUUAAAUCAUACCAUCUUGAUGCUAGCAUGGUAACUAUUGUUAUAAGCAAACUCUAUCAAUGGCAAAUGCUCAUCCCAACUACCUUUGAAGUCAAGAGCACAUGCCCUCAACAUAUAUUCUAGAGUUUGAAUGGUCCUCUCAGCCUGACCAUCUGUCUGCGGAUGAAAAGUAGAACUUAAAUGAACUUGGGUACUAAGACCCUGCUGAAAUGCUCUCCAAAACUGAGAAGUAAACUGAGUACCCCUAUUCAAAAUGAUAGAUAAGGGAACUCCAUGCAGCCUGACUAGCUCCUGGAUAUACAAUCUAGCAUAAUCCUCAACUGUAUAAUAUAUAUGCAUGGGCAAAAAAUGUACGAACUUAGUCAACCUGUCUAUAAUAACCCAAAGAGAAUCAUGUUGACGACGCGAAAGAGGUAAACUAGUCACGAAGUCCAUAUUCACCUCUUCCUACUUCCAAGUGGGUAUACCAAACUCUUGCAUCACACCACCAGCUCCUUGUUGUUCUACCUUAACCUAUUGUGACGUUGCACGCUUUGCUACAAACUCAGCUAUAUUCUUGUUUAUACCACUCCACCAAUAGAUUCUCCGCAAGUCGUGGUACAUCUUAGUAGCGCCGGGAUAAAUAGAAUACCACGUGCCAUGCGCUUCAAACAUAAUCCUCUGCCUCAAAUUAUCAACACAUGAAACACAUAAUCUACCCUACAAUCUCAACAUGCCAUCUCCCCCUUGGAAGAAAACCUUUACUUUUUGGUCCUUAAUUGACUCCUUCAGACCAAACUAGGAUCUCUGUCUUACUUCUCCUUAACUUUCGAAACUAAAGAGGAUUCAGAACUACUCUGCACCAAAGUACUUCCCUCAGUGGAUUUAAGCAACCUAACACCCAAUUUAGCCAGAUGGUGCACAUCACAAGAUAACUCUUUCUUAACUUCUUCCAUAUGAGUAACACUACCCAUGGACAACCUGUUAAGGGCAUCUUCCACUACAUUGGCCUUGUCCAGGUGAUAUAACACACUCAUAUCAUAGUCUUUUAAUAAUUCUAACCCCCUCCUCUGCCUAAGAUUCAACUCCCUCUGAGUAAUACAUAUUGUAGGAUCUUAUGAUCAGUAAACACAUCAACAUAAACACCAUACAAAUAGUGUCUCCAUAUUUUCAAAGCAAAAAACUACAGCAGCUAAUUCAAGAUCAUAGAUUGGGUAAUUCUUUUUAAGAGACUUUAACUAUCUAGAGGCAUAGGCUAUAACCUUACCUCUUUGCAUCAACACACAACCUAAACCAACUCCAGAGGCAUCGCAAUACACCACAAAACCAUCUGUAUUAUCAGGCAAAGUCAACACAGGGACUGAAGUAAGUUGAGUCUUCAUGUCACGCCCCAAAUCUUAUUAAGGCGGACUGGCACCCAUUGCCGGUAAGGCUCGGGAGAACCAACCUGUAGCAAUACAUUACCUAUGAACAUUAUAAGUUACUUUCAUACUAAACAUACCCUCAAAAGAUAAAUAGGACUAGCAAGCCAAAAGAUAUUAUAUGACUAGGCCGUUGGAGCCACAAUGUCUACGAUACGAUACAUGACCAUACUAUACUUUACGUAGUCUACAAAGCCUCUAGACAAGAAACGUUAUCUUAUAAGGGUCGGGACAGGCCCCGCCUCAUGAUAAGAUACUAUACAAUGCAAAAAGAUAUGAUAAGACUCAAAGCCCCGAAGCAACCUGGAGCUCAGUGCCUGUACUCUUACUGGGGAGGUUUAUUAGCUUCUGUACCUGCAGCAUGGAAUGCAGGUCCCCCAAGAGGGACGUCAGUACGAAAUAAUGUACUGAAUAUGUAAGGCAACAUGUACUAUAUAUAAGAUAAAAACUAUACUUACCACCACGCAAGCCAACAACCUCACCCACAACUUUCUUGUCAUUUGAACCAAGUAUUUUAUCACAAACGCCACUAUUCAAAUCAUUACCAGGACAAAAGGAAAAGGCAAUCCAUAAACAUGGGUAAAAUCAUACACCUAUUUGCCCCAUUGACACUCUACUCUCACAUAACAUACUCCACUCAAAGGAAAGAGUAUCAUCAUAUGCAAAAAAAGUGGUAUAGAAAGGUGUUACUUAAAUAAAGUUUAUUUAAGGUGUGCCCACAUAUAGAAUCACCCUUUGAUCUACAAGCAUUAAGCCCUUGAUCAAGCAUGGGUUCACACAAGAAUGAAUAGGUCAUUGGAGAACAUACACCCCCUUCUUUUGGACCACUAACCCCUCCAAUUGACAAACUAUCAUCUUUUAAGAAGAGAGUUUUGUCUUUAAAAAAUGUGUCAUCAUACCAUAGUGGAUUUUUGAUCACUUGUGUCACGCCCCAAAAUCCCAUCGGGCCGGACUGGCACCCGAAGCCGAGAAGGCCCGGGAGAACCCGUUCAAAUACCUGUACUUUCACUUACAUGUCACCAAAAAAAUUGGACAGCACUUCGUUGCAUAUAGAAAGGUCUAAUUACCUGUAUCAGCACAACACGCACAAAUAUAUAUAUAUAAUACUUGGCCGUCGGGGCCACCACAUAUACAAAUAUAACGUUACUAUAUAAACUUCCAUGACUUUACCCUUCCUUAUGUCUACAAAGCCUCUAGGAUAUACAUGACAUAACUAGGGUCGGGACAAACCCCCGCCCACACGUGACUCAUGUACAAUAACAAAACAUAAGGAACCGACUCGGAAAGCUCCGAAGCAAACUGGAGCUCACCAACAAUAGCUGUAUGACCUGGCUCCUACUUGUGCGGUGUAUGAGUUGAGGUACCUGUGCCUGCAGCAUGAAAUGCAGGUCCCCCGUGAGGGACGUCAGUACGAAAUAUGUACUGAGUAUGUAAAGCUGUAAAUAAUCACAUAUGAUAUAGGAGCUCAAUAGAAAUCAGAAACAAGUGAAUAAGUCGUAAUAGGAGUGGACCACACUUACUAGAACUUGUGACAACCUGUACAUUGUAUUUAUUCAAUCACUUUACCUUCGUUCUUAUCGUCUUUGUAAUCAUUACUGUACUGUACUGUGACCAUUAGGAUGCCUCCAGUACAUAUCAACUGGGAUCGACCCAUGCUAGGCUUAUGCCCCUGGGAUACCACCCAUAAACACAUGAAAUAGGGAUCGACCCAUGCUAGGCUUAUGCCCCUGGGAUACCACCCGAUAAGAGAGAACUUUCAUCACUUAGUUCAAUUAAUCUUUGAGAUUGUUAUUUCGGUCGUCACCACAUUUUUGAUACCUUGAAACAAUGAUACAUCAAUAGGAACCAAGUAAUAGACCUUCUAUACAAUAACGAUGUAAUAAGGACUCAUUGGUACAUCAACAAUAUGUUUCAGAAUCAUCAAUAUCACAACAAUGAAAUAAGAGCCUUUUGGUAUAUCAAUGAACAUUUUGACACUUUAUAGGAUGGAAACAACUUCGUUGGUAACGUAGAACAAUACAUGUUUUUGGACAACCUCGGAAUCUUACUUGAUGGAACAUUGGUGUUUUCAUGCCAAAGAACAUUGUUAGAGUAUGCUUUACAUACCUCGUUGUAGAUUCAGAUACCAAUUCAACACAACUUCCCGCCUUUACAAAUCACUUAUCUACAAUGAAAUGUUUGGCAUCUAGUAUUAGCAACCCAACACCACAAUUCUCUUCCAUAAUUCCAUACUACCAAUAUUUGCAAAACAUUCCAAAAACCAACUUGAACAAUAGGUUUAUGUGUGUAUAUGUAUAUAAUCAUCAUCUCAAUACCACAUCAUCAAUACCACAUCAUCACCCCAAAUUCCUUCACAAUUUAACAUAAUCCAACCAUGCACAAGAAUAAUCCAACAUCAUUUCCAAUCAUCUUUCAACAACAAUCAAAUAACAUACUUCUUAUGCUCACAUGCAUAUAUAUAUAUAUAUACAUAUCCAUAUAAAUAACACCAACAUAAUUUACAUCCUUACCAAAAAAAAUGGCCCUUUUGAUUUCGAAGUCCUGUUGGCACAAAUAAGGGGUGCUUCUCGAAGCCCUUGAGACGGUGAACACAACUACGGAAUCAAUUUGGAUUUUCUACGGUUGAAUCACAAGAUAAUUGGAGUUGAACUUAGGCUAGGGUUUCUUAUUCUUCAAUGAUUUGGAUGAUAAAUGGUGGAUAUAAGGCUAAGUAUAUGUAUAUAAUGACCAAUUUUCGUCCAUGAGGUGAUGGAAAAUGACCAUAUUGCCCUUAAAAAUUUAAGUAAAUCCGAAUCUGUCCAUGGUGGACUGUUUUGAUAGGCUAAAGUAAAUCGGCCAUAACUCUUUGCUCCGAUAUCGGAUUUGGGUGAAAUUGGUAUCGUUAGAAAGAUAAUUCAAAGGUCUUUCAUUUAAUAUAAAUUAAUCCACCCAGUUCGUCCUGUACAAGUAGUUAUGAUCGUUUGAAGUUGACCCUAAAAAUCUGUUUUGAGAGGCUGAAGUAAAACGAGUAUAACUCCUUACUCAGAUGUUGGAUUUGGAUGAAACCAAUUUCAUUGGAAAGAAGACUCAAAGAUCUUUCUUUUGAUAUAUGGUAGCUCAACCAGUUCAUUAUAUUGAGGGAGUUAUGAUCGUUCAAAGUUGACCCAAAAAACUGGCAGGCCUCAGUAGUUUCCUGCACAUUUUACUGUUCACAUCCCGGCCACCGUUUUAAAGUUUCGAACGAGCUCGCUUAUAUCCGAAACUUAUCCGUUUUUGGAAAUCUUUAUAUCGUUGGAAAGCUUAUUCAAUAACCUUCGUAUGGAACCAUCGACGGGAAAAUUCCGAUAUAAAUAAAGUCGAUUCCUAUACACCUAUAAUCAAACUAUACACUUGAAACCAUCUCAAAAUAAUCAAUACUCAUACUUAAACUCAUAUAUACCUAACUUAGGAUCAAUACAUAUACCCCAACACAUAUAACAAUGACUAAUGCACGUAAUUAAGUACGGGGUGUUACAUCCUUCCCCCCUUAAGGACAUUCGUCCUCGAAUGUGAAUGUAGUUAUUUAGCCGAAACAAGUUCAAGUCCACCAUUAACAUUCACAUCAUCACAUAAAUACUAUGCAUAUAUAAACAAAAACUUACUUGUUAAUGUUCUAACUCCGUUUCUUGAACUUCCUCUUCAUCUUUGAACAAAUGAGGGUACUUAGAUUUCAUUGCUUCCUCAGCUUCCCAUGUAAUCUCUUCCCUUUGUUGAUUUCUCCAAAGUACCUUUACUGAUGCCAUUUCUUUGUUCCUUAACUUUUUAACUUGGCGAUCUAGAAUAGCAACCGGUACCUCUUCAUAAGUAAGAUCCUCUGUGACCUGUACAUCUUCUAUAGGAGUGAUACGAGAGGGGUCACCUAUGCAUUUUCGAAGCAUUGACACAUGAAACACUGGAUGAACCAUUGAAAGUUCCUGGGGUAGCUCUAAUUCAUAUGCAACUUGUCCGACCCUCUUGGUAAUCUUAUAUGGCCCUAUGUAACGUGGGCUUAGUUUCCCCUUCUUACCAAAUCUCAUAACCCCUUUCAUUGGUGAUACCUUUAAAAAUACCCAAUCUCCAAUAGAGAAUUCCAGCCCUCUUCUCCGAAUAUCUGCAUAUGAUUUAUGACGACUUUGGGCUGUUUUUAGCCGUUGUUGUAUCACCUUAACUUUUUCCAUGGCUUGUUGGACUAAAUCUGGCCCGAGCAAGGUGGUUUCACCCACUUCGAACCAACCAAUUGGUGACCUACAUUUCCUCCCAUACAAAGCUUCGUAAGGUGCCAUCUUGAUGCUCGAAUGGUAGCUGUUAUUAUAGGCAAAUUCAAUAAGAGGCAAGUGUUCUACCCAGCUACCUUUAAAAUCUAAUGCACAGGUUCGCAACAUAUCCUCAAGUGUUUGAAUAGUACGCUCUGCUUGGCCGUCUGUUUGGGGAUGGAAGGCUGUACUCAAAUUCACUCGCGUCCCUAAACUCCUUUGAAAGGACUUCCAAAAUUUUGCCGUGAAUUGAGCUCCUCGAUCAGAUAUAAUAGAGAGUGGGACCCCAUGUAGCCUAACUAUCUCUUUGAGGUAUAAUUUGGCAUAUUCUUCAGCUGUAUAAUCACUUCUUACUGGCAGGAAGUGCGCUGAUUUCGUGAGUCUAUCAACUAUCACCCAUAUGGAGUCAAACUUAUUAACUGAACGAGGCAAACCAGUUACAAAAUCCAUAUUAGUCAUAUCCCACUUCCAAGUUGGAAUCUCUAUACAUUGCAUGUAACCACCUGGCUUUUGGUGCUCUACUUUGACUUGUUGACAAGUAGGACAUUGAGCCACAAACUCUGCAAGGUCCUUUUUCAUGCCUCCCCACCAAAACACUCCCUUUAGGUCAUGAUACAUCUUAGUAGAUCCUGGGUGGAUGGAAUAUCUUGAAUGAUGGGCUUCUUCCAUUAUUCUCCUUCUGAGUCUAUUAACAUCAGGCACACACAAUCUAUUUUGGCAAUAAAGUACUCCAUCUUGUGUAAGCCUAAACUCCUUCAUUAUACCCUGACUUACUUUCUCCUUAAGGCAUUGUAGAAUAGGAUCAUAACACUGUUUUUCUUUCACUUCCCUUAUCAAUGAAGAAUCGGUAGCAUUAUGUACAAUAAUAUCCUUCCUUGGAGUUUCGAGUAGACGAACACCCAGAUUGGCUAGUUGACGCAGAUCCUUAGCCAUGCCUUGCUUUACCCCUUUCUGAUCACUGGUACCCAUGAGUGUCUUACGACUUAGAGCAUCAGCCACCACAUUUGCUUUCCCUGGAUGGUAUAAUAUAUCAAUAUCAUAAUCUUUUAUUAACUCUAGCCACCUCCGCUGCCUCAAAUUUAGAUCUUUCUGCUUGAAAAUAUACUGUAAACUCUUAUGAUCUGUAUAUAUGUCCACGUGUAUCCCAUACAAAUAGUGGCGCCAUAUCUUUAAAGCAAAUACAACCGCUGCUAGCUCAAGAUCAUGUGUUGGGUAGUUUUUCUCGUGUGGUCUCAAUUGUCUCGAGGCAUAAGCAAUCACUUUACCAUGUUGUGUUAGUACACACCCUAAACCAACUCCUGAAGCAUCACAAUACACUGCAUAUCCCUCUGAGCCUUCUGGAAGCACUAGCACAGGUGCUGAGGUUAGCCUACUUUUCAACUCUUGAAAGCUCCUUUCACAUGCAUCAUUCCAUUGGAAUUUGGUUUCCUUGUGAGUUAGCUUAGUAAGAGGUGCAGAUAUAGAAGAAAAACCUUCAACAAACCUUCUGUAAUAACCUGCCAAUCCAAGGAAGCUUCGAACUUCUGUAGGUGUCGUUGGCCUUGGCCAAUCUUUCACAGCCUCUAUCUUUUGUGAAUCCACCCUUAUUCCUUCAUCCGAUACAAUAUGGCCCAAAAAUGCCACUGACUUUAACCAAAAUUCACAUUUGGAAAACUUAGCAUACAACCGACGAUCACGGAGAACUUGUAGCACUAGUCGUAAAUGAUUUGCAUGGUCCUCUUCUGACCUUGAAUACACCAGAAUAUCAUCUAUAAAUACUAUCACGAACACAUCCAGGAAAGGCUUGAACACUCUAUUCAUCAAAUCCAUAAAAACUGCUGGUGCAUUCGUUAGCCCAAACGACAUAACAAGAAAUUCAAAGUGACCAUAUCUGGUUCGGAAAGCUGUCUUAGGUAUAUCCUUUUCCUUCACUCUCACCUGAUGAUAACCUGAUCUCAAAUCGAUCUUUGAAAAGUAUUUGGCACCCUGUAACUGAUCAAACAAGUCAUCAAUUCUGGGGAGGGGAUAUUUAUUCUUAAUUGUCACCCUAUUCAGUUGUCGGUAGUCAAUACACAUCCUCAAUGUGCCAUCCUUUUUACGCACAAAUAAAACUGGUGCACCCCAAGGGGACACACUAGGCCUUAUAAAACCCUUUUCUAACAAGUCUUUCAGUUGCUCCUUUAAUUCACGUAAUUCUGCCGGGGCCAUUCUAUAUGGAGGGAUAGAGAUAGGCUCAGUGCCUGGUAAUAAGUCAAUACCAAAAUCUAUUUCUCGUUCUGGAGGCAAACCAGGGAGUUCCUCAGGAAAGACAUCAAUAAAUUCAUUCACUAUUGGAACAGACUGGAUAGUUGGUGAUUCUGCCUCCACAUCUCUCACUCUAACGAGAUGACAUAUAUAUCCCUUUGAUAUCAUUUUUCUGGCUUUAAAAUAAGAGAUAAACCUCCCUUUUGGUGCCCCAAUAUUGCCUUCCCAUUCAAGGACUGCUUCAUUUGGAAAGUGAAAGUACACUCUCUUGGUUCGGCAGUCAACGGUGGCAUAGCAAGAAGCCAACCAAUCCAUACCCAUUAUAACAUCAAAUUCUACCAUUUCUAACUCGAUAAGAUCAGCUAAUGUAUCUCGGUCGCAGAUAGUCACUAUGCAGUCACAAUAGACUCUUCUAGCUAUAAUUGACUCCCCAGUUGGUGUAGACACCGCAAGUGGUUGAUUCAAUAAUUUAGGUGUUCUACCAAGCUUCCCAGCAACUAAUGGAGUAAUAUAUGACAAUGUAGAACCAGGGUCAAUUAAUGCAUACGCUUUAUGUGAGAAGAUGGACAAUGUACCUAUAACCACAUCGGGUGAAGCUUCCAGGUUCUGUCGAGUCCCUAGAGCAUAUGUGCGAUUUUGGGCCACGCUGGAACUAGCUGCCCCUCUAAUACCUCUGCCGCGACCUAUAGGAAAUUGCUCACCUCUACCUGAUGGAGGCACUGAUGAUGAUGCAACAGCUGAUCCAGUAGGUUGUGCUAUAUCACCCCUGCGUCUUCUUGGGCAAUCUUUUAUUACAUACCCUGGCAUACCACACCAAUAACAAACAUCUGUUCCCAUGCGACACGCACCUACAUGAUACCUCCCUCACUGUCUGCAAGGCUGCCUAGGAGGCAUUCACUGGCUUUCCGAAUAUCCUGUUGUCCGUGUACCUUGGCCCUCACUUCUCUGCCCAAAUUGAUCAUUUCUAAACCCUCGAAGUUGUGGUGGAGCACUAGCUGUAGAGUAAGAGGACGAUGGCCUGGGCCUGUUACAGCAGAUGAGCAAUCCUUUGAAAAUAAUAAAAAUAGAUCACUCAUCGGUUGUACCAAGUAGGUUUUCUGUUGCAACUUAUAACCUACCUGUUACAGCAGAUGAGCAAUCCUUUGAAAAUAAUAAAAAUAGAUCACUCAUCGGUUGUACCAAGUAGGUUUUCUGUUGCAACUUAUAACCUACCUGUUACAGCAGAUGAGCAAUCCUUUGAAAAUAAUAAAAAUAGAUCACUCAUCGGUUGUACCAAGUAGGUUUUCUGUUGCAACUUAUAACCUACCUGUUACAGCAGAUGAGCAAUCCUUUGAAAAUAAUAAAAAUAGAUCACUCAUCGGUUGUACCAAGUAGGUUUUCUGUUGCAACUUAUAACCUACCUGUUACAGCAGAUGAGCAAUCCUUUGAAAAUAAUAAAAAUAGAUCACUCAUCGGUUGUACCAAGUAGGUUUUCUGUUGCAACUUAUAACCUACCUGUUACAGCAGAUGAGCAAUCCUUUGAAAAUAAUAAAAAUAGAUCACUCAUCGGUUGUACCAAGUAGGUUUUCUGUUGCAACUUAUAACCUACCUGUUACAGCAGAUGAGCAAUCCUUUGAAAAUAAUAAAAAUAGAUCACUCAUCGGUUGUACCAAGUAGGUUUUCUGUUGCAACUUAUAACCUACCUGUUACAGCAGAUGAGCAAUCCUUUGAAAAUAAUAAAAAUAGAUCACUCAUCGGUUGUACCAAGUAGGUUUUCUGUUGCAACUUAUAACCUACCUGUUACAGCAGAUGAGCAAUCCUUUGAAAAUAAUAAAAAUAGAUCACUCAUCGGUUGUACCAAGUAGGUUUUCUGUUGCAACUUAUAACCUACCUGUUACAGCAGAUGAGCAAUCCUUUGAAAAUAAUAAAAAUAGAUCACUCAUCGGUUGUACCAAGUAGGUUUUCUGUUGCAACUUAUAACCUACCUGUUACAGCAGAUGAGCAAUCCUUUGAAAAUAAUAAAAAUAGAUCACUCAUCUGUUGCACCAUGUAGUUUAUCUGUUGCAACCUAUAACCAACCUGUUGCAGAAAAUAAGUAAUCCAUUAGAAAUAAUAAAAACAUAUCACUUAUCUACUAAAAUAGAUCACUCAUCUUUUGCAAAAUGAGUUAUCUGUUGGAUCAGUAUUGUCACGCCCCAAAUCCUAUUAAGGCGGACUGGCACCCGUUGCCGGUAAGGCUCGGGAGAACCAACCUGUAGCGAUACAUUACCUAUGAACAUUAUAAGUUACUUUCAUACUAAACAUGCCCUCAAAAGAUAAAUAGGACUAGCAAGCCAAAAGAUAUUAUAUGACUAGGCCGUUGGAGCCACAAUGUCUACGGUACGAUACAUGACCAUACUAUACUUUACGUAGUCUACAAAGCCUCUAGACAAGAAACGUUAUCUUAUAAGGGUCGGGACAGGCCCCGCCUCAUGAUAAGAUACUAUACAAUGCAAAAAGAUAUGAUAAGACUCAAAGCCCCGAAGCAACCUGGAGCUCAGUGACUGCGGUUGAUAUCCUGUACUCUUACUAGGGAGGUUUAUUAGCUUCUGUACCUGCAGCAUGGAAUGCAGGUCCCCCAAGAGGGACGUCAGUACGAAAUAAUGUACUGAAUAUGUAAGGCAACAUGUACUAUAUAUGAGAUAAAAACUCAAAUGAAACCAUGUACUGCUGUAGGGUAAAAGACCACCUUUAUGAAUAUUGUGGAGUCAUGUAUCUUAUAACAAUUAUGUUACUUUACUCUUAUUACUUGAAUAAUCUGUGCACAGCAUGUAAUACAAAUGACCAGCUGAUCAGUGGUAAUUCUAUAUCAGGAUCGACCCAUGCUAGGCUUUCCUUUCACCCCUGGGAUACCCCCUGUAAUACUGGGAUUGACCCAUGCUAGGUGAUUCUUUCACCCCUGGGAUACCACCCAACAGAAGCAACUGUAUACAUAUAUCUUCUUAUUACUUUUGAGAUGAAUCUUUGGUGGUCGUAACAUUUGAGCUAUAAGACUAUAAGCAUGACAAAUGACAAGUAUGUGUCCAUGUAACAUCAUAUCAUAAUGAAAAGAGUGGGUUGUACAAUUAGUGAAACAUGUAGGACAUAAACAACGUAUGAACUUUAUUUAGCUAAAAAGAAGACUCAUAUGUCAUGGUACCCAAUGUAUGUAUGCAGCAGUGACAAUGCUCGAAUCUGGACACACAAGUACAUGUUAAAGAGUGGAGUGGUUAUGUCAAAGUUUGUAAAGAUCUCUAUGUGCCAAUGAAGACUUUGGAUUCCAUGCCAAAUAAUAAGAGAUCGAAUAGCCUUACAUACCUCGACAUAUCAACUUGUUUUUACGUCGAAAUGACUUCUUUUCUUCCAACUAUUUAUCUACAAUAUCAUGUUUUAAAGCUAGUAUUAGCAGCUAAUCAAUGCAUCUGGACAGCCCAAUCUCACAAGACACAACACUUUGGCAACAAACGUAUAACCAUCAACUCAAUGGUGUUAUUCCGACUUUCUCAAUUCUAACUGUAUUCAACCAGCAUAGAUUAUCAUAUACAUGAUGUAUACAGCCUAUAUUAGUUCUAUAACAUGCUGGCAACAGUCCAUAACUACAACACAUAACCAUUUUACAAAACGCUCAACUAAGAAGCACAACAUCUCGUCGUCUCCCUACAUUUCGUCGUUAACAAUUCAUACUUGUCCCAACUUUGAACCAGAUGCUCCCAACAUAUAUAUACAUCAAAUAAACCUUAACAUAGUCACAAAAUAGCUCAAAACGUAGGGGAAACGUGAAACAACAUCCCCCUCAACAAAACAGUCCAAUACCAGUUUGGAAGCACAUAAGAUCAUAUAAGGAUACUUGUUUCCAAAGAACUAGCAAAACAGUCCAGCAACCUUGGCAACCAUAUACACACUAUAACAUGUUAAUAACCUCAACUUUACAUCAUAUUAAAGUGAAAAAUCAGGGUAAAAAUCGUUCCAAAGCCAAGAAAACCAAACAACAACUUUCAGGACACAAGCUGUCCAGAAAUUCCUGCACAGUGAACCAGCCAACUUAUCUUGUUUUCCAUGGAAAAUUCAUAUCAAGUAUAUGGUUAUUUUUACAUACCUUAACUCCCAAGGUGUAGGUCUAAUUCAAGAACUCAAAAAGUAGCCUUUGGUUGCCUUCCAAGGUGAAGAAAUACCAAGAGAAACUUAGAGAGAAAUUCUGAAAUUUUUUGGUCUUUUCUUUGGUUAACCUAGAGCUCGGUUUUGGUCCCUUUUUAAGGAGACUUUAGACCGACUUUCUCCUAAUAUUUGUAGCUGAUUAACUCAAGUUGGUCAAUGACUAAUUUUCCCCUUUCACUUGGGCCUUUUGGAUCUCUAAAUCAAUGGGCUUUAGUGGCCCAUUUCCUUACUCUUUCUUGCACUUUGUUUGGGCUCAAUUUUGUUAGUAGUGAAUGAAUGUAGUUGGGCCUAUUAUAUAAAAAUCUUGGGCUGAACAUCUUGGCCCAAUAUAAUGUUAAACCAUUGUCUUUAAUAGCCUCCCUAACUUGGGCUUCGUUUGUCACAAGACUUGGAAAGUUUCGGCGUUAAGCCUUGUCUUCGUUCCCCUUUCUUUUUACUAACGUCUAGACUUCAAGUGAGUUCACUUAUGAAUGAAUUCUUCUCCCUCAUGUAUAUAUAAUUUUUAAGCUAAGCACACAGGUGACUCACCUGCUAGCUUCCUAAGUUCCAUAAGCACGUCAAUGAUUUUCUCCGUUUAAGGCCACAGUCUCUAAAUAGACUUCCAGAUAGCGCCCCAAUCUAACACUUGAACACUUGAAAAAUUUUGGUAGUAAUUAAAUCAAGUCGUAUGUCAUUUUAUGUGAACAUUACUAGUACAUGUAAAAUGUGGGGUGUUACAUUUCAACUCUUGAAAACUCUCUCACAGGAAUAUGACCACUGGAACUUAACUUUCUUUUGGGUCAAUCGGGUCAUGGGAGAUGCAAUAGAAGAGAAACCUUGAACAAAAUGGCGAUAGUAGACAGCUAGACCCAAGAAACUUCUAAUGUCAUACGGGGAAAUAUGUCUAGGCUAAUUUCUUACAGCUUCUAUCUUUUGGGGAUCAACUCUAAUGCCUUCGGCUGAAAUGAUAUAACCUAAAAAGGCUACUAAUCUUAGCCAAAAUUCACACUUAUUGAAUUUGGCGAACAACUGGUAAUCUCUAUGAGUUUGCAAGAUAAUUCUAAGAUGAUCUGCAUAGUCAUUCUCAGUAUGGGAGUACACAAGGAUAUCAUCUAUGAAAACGAUGACAAAUAUAUCAAGAUAUUUCUUGAACACUCAAUUCAUGAGGUCCAUAAAUGCUACCGGGGCAUUGGUUAGCCCAAAAGACAUGCUAGAAACUCAAAGUGACCAUAGCGGGUUUGAAAAGCUGUCUUUGGAAUAUCGCAUUCCCUCAUUUUAAGCUGAUGAUAGCCGGAUCUAAGGUCUAUCUUGGAGAAGUAACUUGAACCUUGUAACUGAUCAAAUAAGUCAUCAAUUUUUAGAAGAGGAUACUUAUUGUAAUGCCAUGUGUUUCGGGCUAGAAUGAAAACCGUCAUUUUUAUGCGUAGAUGGUUCAAAAGCCAUAAAUCCUAUGCAAAUUUUCCUUGUCAAUCAAGUAUGUAGUGUGGUAACCUAUUUGAGCAUGAAUUGAGAUCAUAAAGGUCCCCUAACUCAAGGACAAAUUAAAAGCUUUCCUAUCGUUCGAGUUUUAGUGAGCAUCAAAACUUGAGUCAACUUCAAUCAACCAUAGCUCCUUACAUAUAAUGAAAUGGGUGUCCUAUUAUAUAUCAAAUGAAAUAUCUUCGAAUUAGCUUUCCAUCUAUACUAAAUUUUCCUAAAAUAGACACUCGGUGAAGAAGUUACAGUAUUUUUAGUGUCAGUGUUCCCGAUUGACUAGCCAGCGCAUUGCGAUGAGCCUUAAAUUGACAAUUGUCAAUUCCAGUAGCUUACCGUGAUUUCCAGCGCAUUGAAGUAAAGUCUUUUACGGCAUUCCAGUCCCGUAUUUUAAAUUCCAACGUCAAACUAGACAUUUCCCAUGGCCCCAAACCCAUCCAAACACGAGAUUUAAUCCCAAAUACACCUAAAUACAUACACUUUCAUCAAAAUUCAUCAAGAACGCUGUCUAGGGUUUCAAACAAUAAUUCCAAAUAACUCAAGAUCCAACUGUGGGUUUUCAAAAGCGAUUGAAUAUUGGGAAUCCCCAAUCCACUAGCUUCGAGAAUUACCUAUUAUCUUUUGAGGUUAAGGUACGCGGGAUUUUCCUAAAAUCUCAUGGGCAUAGAAAUCAUGAUCUUAAGAAAGGGGUUUUUAGAUUUAUGAAUACCUUCAUAUUUUAGAAAUCUUGAUGGUAUUUUUUUGGUCUUUCGACCUUUCCCACAUUGAUUUGAAAUUGUAUAUAUAUAUAUGUGUGUGUGUGUGUGUGUGAUUUAAGUUAAUAUUCUAAUUGAGAGCAUGAUUAACAUGAAAUCUCUCUCUUGAUGUGAUUGUUCCCAUGUUUCACAUGAUAUGGAUUGUUUUUAAAAUACAUCUUGAAAAGCAUGUUAUGAAGUGUCUUAAUUUAUGAAUGAUUUGGUUAUGAAUCUUGAAUUCAAAAGAGAGGGUUGUUUGUAUUGAAAAAUGUUGAAAAUACAUAUAAUGAAAGAGUGCAUGGAUUUCGCCAAAAGCACAUGACCACCUUAUGUUUGAAGAGUUCUUGCAUAUUUUGACUUAUGCUUUUGGAACAUGAAAUCUCUUAUACUAUUUGCAUGUUUGGGUGGUCUGAACUAUGUUUUAAUGAAAGAAUUAUGCAUGCUGCAUUAUGGCUCAGAAAUAGAACUUGCAAGUCUUGGUGUGACGACACCAAUUUAGAUUAUGUCAUGAUAAUUCAGAAUAGAAUAGAAAGCAUGUUUGAAAUCAAACUUGUCAUAUGUUGAAACUAGAAAAAUGCAUGAUUCAGAACAGGAUAAAAAUGGGCACAAAGAGAUCUUAGGUGGUUCCCCAAAGAAGGUAUGGGUUCAGGAAACCCGUUGCCCAAAACCAUGAUUUGUCGAUCCGGGUAUAUUAUAUUAUGCUGGCCUAGUGCCAUGUGGCAUAUCAGAAUUAGAAACUCUAACCCUUACGGCACACUCGGGUUGGGGGCUUCCCCGCUGAGUCAAUAGCAGAUUCCAUACAUCCUGUGGACUAUCAGAAUUGUAGAGGAGUGCCACCUAACUCAAAAUUAAUAUGAAGAUUAGAAACUGCCUUGUCAAGAAUGAUUUAUGACUUUUCAGAAAGGAGCCCAUGCAUUUUAAAACUAUUUCAUGUAUGACAUUUUGACAAAUUUCCCUCCAACUAUUUUAUGUAUAUAUAUAAAUUUUAUUUUGGAAUACUUUAUAUAGCAGUACAUCUGUAUUGACCCCCCCUCCUUUCUCUAGGUUCUGAGGCUCAAUCUAGGGGUCCAAAAAAGCAGUAGUAUUUAUCAGACAGAGUUACAGUGUCCAAUUGGUGAGCCUUCUCUAUUUUGGAAGGCCUGUCUUUUCAGAUUAUGUUAUUUAUUUCUGUUUUGGUCUACUGGGGGCCUUGUCCUAGUUUCAGACAGUUGUCAGAUUUUUUUUUGUAGUAAAGAUUUUGUAGACUGAGUCAGAUGUUAUUAGAUGUAGUUGAUUUUCAAUUUUCAUGCUUAUGCUGAAUACAUAAUUGACCAUGUUUCUGUAGAAGAUUAUGUUUCCGCAUCUUCUUUAUUUAUAUGAAUGUGUGCAUUCUUACCAGAUAGAGAGGGACAUUCUGGGCCCUCAUGGUUUGGGAUGUCCAUUAUGGCCAGGCCCUAGUUUGGGUCGUGACACUUAUUUCUUAUUGUGACCUUGUUAAGCUGAUGAUAGUUAAUGCACAUACGCAAUGAACUACCUUUCUUUCGCAUGAAUAGAACAGGUUCACCCCAAGGAGAAACAUUGGGCCUUAUGAAACCUUUAUCUAAAAGAUCUUUAAGUUGCUCUUUCAACUCCUUAAGAUCUGUAGGUGACACACGGUAUGGUAGAAUGGAAAUCGGCUGAGUGUCAAGAAGAAGGUCAAUCCCAAAUUCUAUCUCUCUAUCGGGAGGUACUCCUGGGAGAUCUUCUGAAAAAACAUCAGAAAACUAAUUAACAAUGCUGACUGACUGAAUAGUUGUAGCCUCAGACUUAGUGUCUUUGACUCGAACUAGGUUAUAAAUGCAACCUUUGGAUAUUAGCUUUCUGGCCUUGAGAUAGGACAUAAAAUAACUCUUGGGAGAUACCGAACUCCCGAACCACUCAAAAACUGGUUCAUCAGGAAACUGAAACUUGACCACAUGGGUACGACAGUCUAUAGAUCCAUAACAAGAAUGAAGCUAACACAUACCUAAAAUAAGGUCAAAAUCCACCAUGUCUAACUCUAUCAAGUCAUCAAAUAUAACUCUAAGAAGAAUAGUAACAGGAUAAUGUUUAUACACUUUCUUAGCAACAAUUGACUCCCCUACUGGUGUGGAAACUAGGAAAGGAUCAGGAAUUCUUUUGGGACUCAUUUUAAAAUUCAUAGCUACAAGUGGGGUCACAUAAUAGAAACUUGACUUGGGGCCCAACAACAUAUAAACAUCAAAGCAAAAGACAUAGAGCACACCAGUAACAACAUCGGGAGAGUCCGCCUGCUCCUGAUGGGAUGGUAAGGCAUAGAAUCUGUUCUGACACUAACCUCCAGCAGUGCUAGAUGAAGCGCCCUGAGCAGGGGCGGGAUAGGGUACAGGAGAUGGUGCACUAGUAGUAUGUGCUUGAGCUCAGGCACCUUUGUUCCCCUUCCUAGCAUGUGGGUAAUCUCUAAGUUUAUGGCCUAGAUUUCCACAACCAAAACAACCCCUCUGGUCUGCUAAGAACUUACUGGGGUGGUCCUUACCACACUUAGCAUAAGGAGGGUAGCAGGUUCUAUUACUUACACCGUUCUGCGACCUAGACAUAGAAGACCAAUUCCCUUGCUCUUGUCUGCCUUUAGGUGUGGGAGCACUAGCUGAUAAAGAUGCUGGCAUAGACAAAUAACUCUGGAACUGUGGGUGGUUCCCUCCAUGGGACCUAGCCUGACCAUACUCAUGCUACUCAAAUCUAGCCCUCUUGUUAUCCCUCACUCUAUCUCUUUCUUAUCUUGUUUGCCUCUAUUUUCUAUGCAUGUAUCAUCAACCUAGACAUAUCCAUAGACUCCAAACCCCCUCCCCCUCCUAUACGCCUAGGGCUGGACAUCUAGACCAUGGAAAAUAUAAGAUGGGGAACGCCAACAUCCCCCACACGCCUAGGGCUGGAUGUCUAGAGUGUGGACAAUUUAAGAAGGGGUGCCUAAUAUCAGAAAUAAUGAACUGGGUGGACCUCGCUUGGAAAUAAUAAACUGGGUGGGCUUGGCUCUGAUGCCAUUAUAAAGAAAUGAACCUUACGCCUAACUCAACCUCAAAAGCUAGUUAAUGAGGGAAAGAUUGUCCGAAACCAGAUAAGGAGACCAAGGACUCUUUAACCAACCGAUAUGGGACUCCAACACAUUAUUGUGCAUUCUUUAUUUAAACAAUGUACUUUACUGCACAUCUAAAUAAAUCGGCCAGCCCCAUAACAGAAAAGAGAACCUAGAUUACCAUUAACUGGAACCUAGUUCACAAGUUAAUAGGAACAUGAUUCACAAGUCAAUCAUCAAAACCAUAAUCCUCAUAGUUACUAGACUUCACAUUCUAUGUUGUUAGUAAAGUUAGAAAAAGACAAGUCUUGUGUUGUUGUCAUCUUCACUCGUUUGGCUCGCCUUCAACUUUGGCUUCAUAUUUUGAUUGAAUAAUGGAGGAAAAAUCAAAUGUGGCUUCACUUUAUGGAAGAAGUAUUUCCCCACAUAGGUGGAUGAAAGAAACUUUCUUAUGCUUAAAUAUAGAAGUAAUUACUCAAUGUUGUUAGUGAGGUAAGAAGAAGACAAGCCUAGCGUUGUUGUCACUGUCACUCGGCUCGACUUCGGAUUUGUGAAUUCUAAAGAUUAUCUCUUUGAACAAAAUUCAUUCGAAACUUAAUUGUUAAUGAUUAUUUAAUCCAAAAAUCUGAUCUAAAAUAAUUCCUCCAUUUGCAGAUGUAAAAGGGCAUAUGCUGAUGUAUUUUCAACACGAAUUGAAGGGACGUGAUCCUUCAGUUCACUACUUGAAUGAUAUUAAGAGUAUGUGGGGCUGCAUUUUCUCAUCUGCGAAUGCAGAUGCCAAUGGAAAUGUUAUCUCAACACUUUGUUUUUUAUGUAGGAAUGGUCUGCGACCAUAUAUUGCCCUCUGCAUGUCCGCAGAUAGCUCUGUAAAAUGGGUUGACGUUGUGAAAUAGUGCAACUUUUCAAGAACCAUUGGUUUUUUUUUUUGAAACACCACCAUUUGUCUAUAAAUAACUUAUUUUUCCUCAUAUAUUGGAAUGAAAUUUUGGAGUUAAAAAUCCUUCCUUCUUGCAAAAACUCUAGUAUGAUUUGCUACCCUCAAGUGCAUUGAAAGUUCAAUGAAUUUAAGGUACCAGUAUUCAACUGAAGUGAAUUAUUUUAUCUUAGGAGGAUAUAUUCCAUAACCUCGUGUACUUGAGGGGAAUAAUUUCCUUCAGAACACACUGUGAAUUCAGUGAACUUGAUUCUUCUAACUUCAUCUCUUUGUAAGUUUGGGUUACUAUUUACCAGAAAUAGUUUAAACUUUAUUUUGUUGUUCAUAAGUUAUUUUUAACUUAUUGUUGAAGUUCUUAUUCUUGAAUACAUAUUUUAUUUAGUAAAAAUAACACCUUUCUCGUAGGCUAUACACUAUUUUCCUUAUGAAUCGAUACGUUUUCUUCACUGUUUGCUUCUUUAACUUGGAUUUCUUGUUGUUGAGCUGAGGUUCUUUCAAAAACAACCUCUCUACCUCCAUGUGGUAGUGGUAAGGUCUAAGUACCCUCUACCCUAUCCAGUCCCUACUUAUGGGAGAAUUUAUUGGGUAUGUUGUUGUUGUAUGAUAUUUCUUACAUGAGAUGAAAUUUUCUUUCUUUUCUUUUUUUCGUAAAGCUGGUAACUCAUAUUUCUCUCAAAUCGACAGGAGAGAUCCCAGAUGAGCUUGGUAAUCUUAAGAAACUACAGUUGCUAACAUUAACCAAGAAUGAGUUUAUUGGUUCUGUCCCUGCAAGCAUUUUCAACUUGUCGUCACUGAAGGUCCUGGAUCGUUCACUAAACAAGGUUUCAGGUACUCUACCUUCAAAUUUAGGCCGUGGAAUGCCCAACCUAGAAGAAUUUCAUUGUGGAGAAAACAAUCUGAGUGGUUUAAUCUCUGCAUCACUCUCAAAUUCUUCAAGACUCAGAAUACUUGAUCUCUCAAGCAAUAGCUUCACAGGUCCAAUUCCUGAAUUACUUAAUAACAGUACCUUGAGAUGCUGAUCUUGGAGGUGAAUUAUUUUUUUAGUGAUUCAGCAUUGAGCUUUCUUGCAUCAUUGACAAACUGUAGGAAACUAAAAGUAUUCUCUAUAGCUGAUAAUCCAUUGAAUGGUGUUUUGCCUGUAUCUGUUGGUAAUUUGUCCAAAACUCUACAGGUUUUUGAAGGAUCAAAUUGUAAAAUUAAGGGUGUCGUCCCUAUAAAAAUUGGUAAUCUUACUAGGGUUAGAAGAAUAAGUUUGUAUAAGAAUAAGUUGACUAGACAUAUUCCAAAUACUUUCCAAGGCAUGUUGAGCCUUCAAGAAUUUUACCUACUAAGAAACAAAAUAGAAGGAACCAUACCAAAUGUAAUCUGUAGUUUGAAGAAUUUAGGUGCAUUAUACUGGUAAGAAAAUCACCUUUUAGGGUCCUUGCCAACAUGCUUAGGAAAUAUUUCCACUUUGAGGUAUCUUGGUCUAGCUUACAAUAGGCUGAAUUCAAGCAUACCUAAAACCCUAGGCUAUCUUCGUGAUCUCAUAGAAUUCAAUAUCUCAUAUAAUUUAUUGAGUGGUAAAAUUCCCCUUGAGAUCAGAAAUUUAAAGGCGAUAAUAUUCAUUGAUUUGUCAAAAAACAAUUUUUCUGGUAAGAUUCCUAGCUCUCUAGGGGGUCUAGAUAAAUUGAUUAAUCUGUCCCUGGCAUAUAAUAGAAUAGAAGGACCUAUUCCAGAUUCAUUUGGCAAAAUGCUGGCAUUAGAAUUCUUAGAUUUGAGCUAUAACAAUCUUGGUGGUGAAAUUAGAAAGUCUUUAGAAGGUCUUGUGUAUGUCAAAUACUUGAACUCCUCAUUCAAUAAACUCCGUGGAGAGAUUCCCAUUGGCAGUCCUUUUGCAAAUGCCACAAGUCGAUCUUUCUUGUCCAAUGAUACACUUUGUGGUGAUUCUAAGUUUAAUGUGCCAGCAUGUGUCAUUCAAUCUCCUAAGAGGAAAAGGGCAAUCUUGAUUGUGUACAUUAUUUUGGGAGUGGGUCUAUUAUUUCUUGAACUAGCCUUCACGUAUGUAUUUGUAAGAUUGCGAAAGACAAGGAAUAACACAAAUGAGGUAGAUCUAACACUGGUAAAAAGGAAUGAAAAAAUUUCCUAUUAUGAAAUUGAACAAUCAACAGAAGGAUUCAACGAAAGCAACUUGCUUGGUAACGGGAGCUUUAGCAUGGUCUACAAAGGGUACCCUUUUCGCAGUAAAGGUAUUCAAUGUGCAAUUGAAAUGUUUAUGAUUAUUUUCAACCAUGAUUGCAGAGUAUGGACAAGAUAGAAUAGUAUCCAUGAGAUGUGAUGUUUAUAGUUUUGGCAUCCUAACGAUGGAGAUAUUCACACAAACAAGAUCAAGUGAUGAAAUAUUUACUGGAGACUUGAGCAUACAACAUUGGGUUAGUGAUUCCUUUCCAACUGAAAUUCAUAAGGUGGUGGAUCCUAAUUUGGUACAGGUAAGGGAUGAUCAAAUCGAUGCAAAGAAGCAAUGUUUGUUAUCUAUCAUGGACUUAGCUUUGAGGUUAACUUUAGUGGCACCUGAUGUAAAGAAUUAGCAUGAAAGAUGCUCUUUCAACCUUGAAAAAAAUUAGGCUCCAGGCUCCAGCUUGUUUCAGUUGGCACUAAGCGGAAUCGGACCUUAUACUCUUAAAUGUUACUAUGUAAUUUACCUGCGGUUUACGCGGUUGUGAGUGACCUCUUUCGACUGAUAAUAUCCAAUUUUAUUUUCUUAUUUCUUGUUGUAUUUCAGACUUUAGUAUUUGUAAUCUGCUACUUGUUAUAAUCAUAUAAGAUGAAAUCACAAAAGCUUCUGUUCUGAUAAAUUAAUUGUUGGUAUAGUUGAGAACACUUGAGUUCAAUCAAUUAUAACAGAACUCUGUUGCAGAUAUUUUUCAUGCUCAACCUUGUAUAUAAAAAGUUUCAUUCGCAAGAAAAAUCUCAUAGCAGAAUAUUAAAAAGACACUCAUAGCCCAAGAUUCAUCUAACAAUUGCAUUAAUGAGCAACCACCAGAAGAAAAAGGAUGUUAAGAUUAGUUCCUCAAAGCUGCAGAUUAGUUAUAUCAGCUGCUGUAAUUCAAAAUACAGCAUUAAAGUAGGAUUUAAAUUUAUUAAAUGAGACUGCAAUCAUGUAAAAUCAUCUUUAUUACUUUUGCUUUUCUUUAGGUCAUAAUUAUUAGAAAUAAUGGUAGCUUAUUUUACUCCUUUUAUUGAGUUUUUUCAGUUAUGUUCUUAUGUAUAAAUGUGACAGUAAUCAAUGAAACUUUAUAAUGCUUUAUGCUCUUUCUUUUCUUUGUUAAGAUCUGUUUUUGUCCCCAACAAAUUGGUAUCAGAGCAUUGCCAUCUUGAGGGACCUGUGAGAAAAAAGUUAAUCAAAAACACAAGUUAUUUCUAUAUAACCAUUCUUUAAACUAUUAUCUUCAAUAGUUUAUAGAAAAUGAAUUCUGAAACAAGCUUUCUAAUUCCACCCGUCUUCAAUGGUGAGAAUUAUCAAGCUUGGACAAUUAGAAUAACGGUUCAUCUUGAAGCACUGGAUCUAUGGAAAGCAGUAUAACAGGACUAUGAAGUAACUUCUCUUGGAGAUAAUCCAACAGUGAAUCAGAUGAGACAUCACAAGGAGAGAAAUACAAGAAAACCCAAAGACAAAGCAUGCCUUUUCUCUACGGUAUCUCCUUAAAUUCUUACCAGAAUUAUGCAAAUGAAGUCCGUUGUAGAAAUUUGGGAGUAUCUUGAAAAGGAAUACCAAGGAAAUGAAAGAGUUCAAAAUAUGCAAGUGAUUAAUCUGAUUCGGGAAUUUGAAAGGAAGAGAAUGAAAGAAUCAGAAAUCAUAAAAGAUUAUGUAGAUCAAAUACUUGACUUAUCCAACAAGGUGAGAUUGUUUGGUUAGGAUUUUACUGAUGAAAGAAUUGUUCAAAAAAUUCUUGUCGUAUAUCUUGAGAAAUAUGAAGCCACAAUCUCUUCUUUAGAGAAUUCUAAGGAUCUGUCAAGCAUUACCUUGGUAGAACUUGUUAAUGCUUUGCAGGCAUUAGAGCAAAGAAUAAUAAUGAGGAAAAAAGGUUCUGUUAAAGUGCUUUUAAAGCUAAAUAACAGAACGAGUCAUACGAGAAAAAAAAAGAACCAAAAUCAAAGGCAAGGCAAUAAUUACAAUAAUCAGGGAAGAAGUAAUCUACCCUGCCUUAAUUGCAAAAAGACCAAUCACUCUCAACAGAAAUAUUGGUGGAGACCAGAUGUCAAGCACAACAAAUGUGGUCAAUUGGUCAUGUGGAGAGGGUAUGCAAGUCAUAAACAUAACAAGAAUAAACCAAGGUUGCUGUAAAUCAAUAUGAAGAAGAGCAAUUAUUUGUAGCAACUUUUUUUUCUAGCAAAAGAACUUUUAAAAAUUUGUUGAUUGAUAGCGAAUGCACAAAUCAUAUGACUAAUGAUCAAAAGCUCUUUAAAGAACUAAAUUGAUCUUUUAUUUCCAAAUUCAAAAUUGGAAUGGAGAAUAUCUUGACGCAAAAGGCAAAGGAACAAUUAAAAUUCAAAGCCCUACAGGUUUGAAACUUAUAACUAAUAUUUUCUUUAUUCCUAAUCUUGAUCAAAACCUCUUAAGUGUUGGUCAGCUACUUGAAAAUGGUUUCAAAGUAUUGUUUGAAGAAAAAGAAUGUGUCAUCAAAGGAUUCUGAUAAUAAGGAGACUUUUAAGGCUAAGAUGACAGAAAGGAGGUUUUCCUUAAAUCUACUGGAUGAUGAGGAAGCAACAAUUGUCAGAUUGGAAAAUGAUUCCGAGUUAUGCAACAAAAGACAAACAUUAUCAUCAUGAUGCCAUACUCUUAAUGAAAUAAAAUCAACUAGCAGAAGAUCUUUCGAGCCUUAAGAAAAAUAUUUCUACUUGUAAAGCUUAUCGGUAUGGGAAGCAAACAAGGCUUCUUUUUCAAAAUUCAUCAUGGAGGCCAAAGAAUAAGCUAUAACUUAUUCAUAGAGAUGUAGGUGGACCUCAAAAAACACCAUCUUUAAAUGGUAGUAAGUACUAUAUUGCCUUUAUGGAUGAUUGUUUCAAAAAUUAUUGGAUUUAUCUUUUGAAUUUUAAAUUUGAGGUCGGUGAUGUAUUUUGAAAAUUUAAGGCUUUUGUGAAAAAUCAGAGUGGUUACAGAAUUCAUGUGAUAAGAAUAGAUAAUAAAACCGAAUAUACUUUUAGAAAGUUCAACAACUUUUUUAAUGAAGUAGGAAUCGAGCAUCAACUAAUGGCACCCUAUACUCCUCAACAAAACAGUGUAGUGGAAAGGAAAUAUAGGAUGCUAAUGGAGAUGACAAGUUGUUUUCUCCAUGAGAAAGGGCUACCAAAGAAAUUUUGAGCUGAAGCUACCAAUACCGCAGUAUUUUUGCUAAAUAGAUUCCCAACUAAGUCUCUACUUAGAGCAAGAUUCAAGUUUCUCGGAGAAAGACUUGGUGUUACAGCUAUUGAUUCAAGGAGGAGUGUUAAGAUUUGUGCCUCAAAAGCUGCAAAUUAGUUAUAUUAACUGUUGUAAUUCAAAAUACAGCAUUAAAGUAGGAAUUAAAUUUAUUAAAUGAGGCUGCAAUCAUGAAAAAUCAACUUUAUUACUUUUCCUCAUCUUAAGGUCAUAAUUAUUAGAAAUAAUGGUAGCUUAUUUUACUCCUUUUAUUGAGCUUUUUCAGUUAUGUUCUUAUGUAUAAAUGUGGCAGUGAUCAAUGAAACUUUACAAUACUUUCUACUCUUUCUUUUCUUUGUUAAGAUUUGUUUUUCUCUCCAACAAAAGCGCUGACAAACAACAUAAUCAAUCUUCUUUACAGUCGAUGUAAGCACUACUUGAAAUCGUACACAUCUUUUAGGUGCUUGCUAUGAUUCCACAACAUGAAACUCACUGCAUCAUCGAAUUAAUGACAAUAACUUUAAAUGACAGUAACUCUUAGAGUGGUUACAGAAUUCAUGUGAUAAGAAUAGAUAAUAAAACCGAAUAUACUUUUAGAAAGUUCAACAACUUUUUUAAUGAAGUAGGAAUCGAGCAUCAACUAAUGGCACCCUAUACUCCUCAACAAAACAGUGUAGUGGAAAGGAAAUAUAGGAUGCUAAUGGAGAUGACAAGUUGUUUUCUCCAUGAGAAAGGGCUACCAAAGAAAUUUUGAGCUGAAGCUACCAAUACCGCAGUAUUUUUGCUAAAUAGAUUCCCAACUAAGUCUCUACUUAGAGCAAGAUUCAAGUUUCUCGGAGAAAGACUUGGUGUUACAGCUAUUGAUUCAAGGAGGAGUGUUAAGAUUUGUGCCUCAAAAGCUGCAAAUUAGUUAUAUUAACUGUUGUAAUUCAAAAUACAGCAUUAAAGUAGGAAUUAAAUUUAUUAAAUGAGGCUGCAAUCAUGAAAAAUCAACUUUAUUACUUUUCCUCAUCUUAAGGUCAUAAUUAUUAGAAAUAAUGGUAGCUUAUUUUACUCCUUUUAUUGAGCUUUUUCAGUUAUGUUCUUAUGUAUAAAUGUGGCAGUGAUCAAUGAAACUUUACAAUACUUUCUACUCUUUCUUUUCUUUGUUAAGAUUUGUUUUUCUCUCCAACAAAAGCGCUGACAAACAACAUAAUCAAUCUUCUUUACAGUCGAUGUAAGCACUACUUGAAAUCGUACACAUCUUUUAGGUGCUUGCUAUGAUUCCACAACAUGAAACUCACUGCAUCAUCGAAUUAAUGACAAUAACUUUAAAUGACACUAACUCUUUCACUUUUUGGUAAGCAAACUAUCUUGUUAAGCUAAAACUGUUAAAAGCUACUAUACUCAGAGUUUACUUCUAGUGAAUUAUUCGGGGAGUUAAAUUCUUUUAACUGGCAGAUAUCAAUUCCAUUAAACUUGUUUAAAAGAUUUGAAAUAAUAGAAACGAUAAUAUUAAGUUUGAGACAAUCAGACUAUCUAAGUAAUAAAAAGUCCCAUGUAUUCCUUUUCUUUUUCCUUUUUUAAAUUUUACACAAAGACCAUCAGUAAGAUAGAAAGUGGGGCUCCUGAAGUAAGGAGCAUACACAGUAUCUGCAAUUAUAGAAUACACAUUUAAGCAUUAGGCUGCAAUUUAUUUCUAAAUAUUUGGUCCUGGAAAACUAUUACAUACAUCAAGAAUAAUCUGAAUGAGACUCAUCAUGACCUCUUGAUCCAAAUAUUGCAGCACCUAUUGCAUUGAAGGUCUUUUAUGUCGAUUUGCAUCAGUGCAUCUUGCAGCUAUUUCUGGAAUUUCUUCUACUUUCCCUUCAUCUAAAUCUCUUCACCUCUUAUAUAGAAUAUUCAUCCAGUCUAUUCUCCUUCACCAAGGCAUUUAUUCAUUCAUCCAACCACAUUGACACCUCGGUUUCCAGAGUUGGAUAGAUCAGCUGUAAAGGUAUUUUGAAAAAACUUAAUGGAAUAGUACUUGCAAUAGCAGUACUCAUCUUACAGAGAAAACAGAGAGCCAGAGGAGCUCUAGGAAGAACAUGAAAUCAUCUUUAAAGUAUAUUGUAUUGAAUUAAUUACAUACAAGUCGUGUUUAAGAGUCAAUAUAUAGACUUAUACAAACAUUAACUAACUAACUAAUUAGUUAGCGUAUUUCAACUGAUUAGGAUAUACUUAGUAACCAACGGAACUGACUAAGUAGACUGUUAGCUGAACUUUGAAAGGUAACUAACUGCUUUCUUACUUCUUCAUGCCUUAACACUCCCUCUCAAGCUAGGAGGGAUGAAGAUACUUAGGACUCCUAUCUUGGAUAAAAGAAUUCAUGUUGUAUCCUACUAAAUCCUUUGGUAAAAAUGUCUACAGGCUAAAGUCGAGUAGGUAAGUAAUUAAUUUCAAUUGACCUUUGUUGUAGUUUCUCCCUAAUGAAAUGGCAAUUUAUUUCUAUAUGCUUGGUUCUUUCAUGAUACACUGGAUUAGCAUCAAGUUGAAUAGAAACUUUACUAUCACUAAAUAGUUUGAUAGGAAUCUUGAAUUUUGUAUCUAACUCUUUUAGUAGCCCCACUAACCAAACCAAUUCUGUAGUUGCAGUAGCCAAACUUCUAUACUCAACUUCAGCUGAGCUACUUGACAUAGAUGACUGAUUCUUAUCUUCCAUGAGAUAAAUGAAUUCCCAUCUUUACAGCAUAUCCAGUUAUUGAUUUUCUGGUAAGAGGGCAGGCUACCCAAUCUGUAUUACAAGAUCAUUAAUAGUGUUAUUUGUAUUGCUUGAUAAUAGUAUCCUUUGUCCUGGAUUUAUCUUGAUGUAUCUUACUAUUCUUAAAGCAACAUCCAUGUGAGAUUCUUGGGGUUGCUGUAAAAAUUAGCUCAGUCUGUACAUUGAAAAUGAUGUUUGGUCUUGUCAUGUUCAAAUACAAUAAUUUUCUAAUCAAAUUUUGAUAUACACUCUGGUUUACAAGAGGGUCUUCAACAUCUUCUCUUAGUUAAUCAUCAUACUAUUUGGAAGUUGAUAUUCAUUUCUAUAGGUGUACCAGCUAGUUUAGAUGCAGACAAACCAACUGCAGAAAUCAGUUCAAGUGUAUAUUUUCUUUGAUGCAUUGUAAUCCCAUCUUUAGACCUUGCAAAUUCUAUGCUUAAGAAAACUUGCAGUUCUCCCAAAUAUUUCAUAUUGAAAGCUUGUGGUAAUGACUUCUUUGUUUCUUCUACAAGUCCCUGAUUAGCAUAUCAUAAACAUACACUAAAACCAUGAUUGUCCGUUCAUCUAUUUUCUUUAUAAACAAGUAUUAAUCAUGCUUGCUUUGAUUGAAUUAUAACUUCAAUAGAGCCUCAGUUAACUUUUGAUUCCACUACCUUAGAGCCUGUUUUAAACCACAUAAGGAUUUUGUCAAUUUACGUACUCUCUUCUCCCCCUGACUGGAAAAUCCUUGUGAAGGGGAUAUGUAUAUCUCAUCAUCCAAAUUUCCUUGUAAAAAGGCAUUGUACACAUCCAUUUGAUGAUUAUGUUAAUUUCUAUAAAUAGCAAAAGCCAAAAUAGUCCUUACAGUAACUAUUUUGACCAGUAGUGAAAAAGUUUCCUUAUGAUCUAUCCCCUUCUUUUAACUAUAGCCCUUGGCUACCAACCUUGCCUUAAAUCUUUCUACUUCACCUGAAGAUUUGUACUUAAUCUUAUAUUCAAAUAACUCCCAAGUUUUAUUAUUUUCCUAGGUUUGAAUCUCAACUUGCAUAGCCUCAAUCCAUAUAGGAUCUUUGAUGGCUUAUGCAUAUGUUGUUGGUUCAACUAAGACAGAUAUAGUAGCAAUAAAGUCUUGAUAGAGAGUAGACAGAUGAUCAUAAGAGAUACAAUCAGAGAGAGGAUACUUUACUUCUUUGUUGAUGUCAAGAGAGGCAAAAUAUUUCAACCAGACAGGUGGAUGAGUCUCUCUUGUUGAACUUCUAGUAGGUAUGGAAGUCGUAAGAUACACUACUAGUUCAACAUGAUUUGAAUUAUCAUAUUCCGAAUCCUCAGGCAUUACCUCAUUGUGUACUUGAGGUGAUGCUAGAUGAUAAAAGUCGGUGUAUUAUUCACAUCUACAGUAUAUCUUGUAGGCAAAUUGUCUAUGUCAAAGAGGAUGUUUAAGUUGUCCAGCAUAUCUAUGAAUAGAGCUUUAGACUGUUGAGUCUUAGCUUGAGAGAAAGGAAAAAUAUAUUCUUUGAAUAUAACAUCUCUGCUAACAAAAAAUGAAUAGAAGUUAAAUCAUACAGGGUGUAACCUUUGUGAAUUUCUGAAUAUCCCAUAUGAACUAAUGUCAUUGUUCUAGGAGCUAAUUUAUCAGAUUCUGUUACAUUUUUAGAAAAACAAAGACAGCCUAACACCCUUAAGUGCCUAACAAGAUGAGCUUUACCAUAUAUUCUCUCAUAAGGAGAUUGAUCAUUAAUAACUUUACUAGGCAUUCCAUUAAUUAAAUAGACUGUAACCAAGACACAAUGACCCCAGAAUUGUAAUGGUAUGUGACCUUUAAACCUUAAGGCUCUAGUAAAUUCUAACACACUUCUAUGUUUUCUCUCAGCUAUCCCAUUUUCCUGAGGGGUAUAAGGACAUGAUCUCUGAUGUACUAUUCCCAUUUAUUUAAAGAACUUAUCACAAAUAACAUUAACAAAUUCUGUACCAUUGUUUGACCUAACUAUUUUUACUAAUUCGACAAACUGAGUCCUCACAUACUACAUAAAAUGUUACAGAGAUAUACAUACAUCUGACUUGUUUUUUAGUAAAAACUAACAAGUCAUUCUAGUUAAGUCAUCAACAAUAAUGAGAAAGUAUUUAUUACCAUCAAAAGUAGUUUUUUAUAAGGCCUCUAUGCAUCAAUAUGCAGUAAAUCAAAACUAUUACUAGUCUUGUUAUUACUAAAGGAAAAGUUAACCUAGUUUGUUUAGCAUAAGGACAUAUCGUACAUUCAUCUACUGUCUUAAUAUGAGUAGAACUUUUAUUAGAUAGCAUUCUAUCUAGGACUCUAGAAGACAUAUGAACAGUCCUUUUAUGCCAUAGGCGUAUAUUUGCAUGUUUCAUAGUUUUAUGAAUUUCAGAAUUUCCUGUUGUUGUACAAGAUAGGAUCAAUAACUCAUUCUUAGUCAGAUUAUUUAGAAGAAAGUAUAAUCCAGCAUCUUUUUUACCAAUCUCUCUCACCUUCCCACUGUAGAGUUUCUGAAAAACAUAAAAAGUAAGGGAAAAAUGUGACUGAGCACCCUAACUCUUUAGUCACUUUACUCACAGACAUAAGGUUAUAUUUGGAUUUUGGAACAUGAAAGACAUUAGUUGUAAUACUUCUUGGUGAAAUAGCAGAUGAACCUACAUAACAUACACUAGUUAAAUUACUGUUGAAUUAUAAAGAGGACAUUGGAGAAGAAUCAAGAAAAAAAAUAGACUAGUUACUUUUCUGUUAUAACUAUUUCUCAAUUAUUUACACAAGUUCCAAUGGCUAUGUAACAUCUAGAUUUUUCUGAAUUGGAGCGCUACACGGUUGUUAUGACCUCGAAGGACCAUAAGCUAACCCAUGACUGAUAUCUAUACCUGUACACUACAAUAUAUAUCAUAAUAAUACAGAAAAUGUGAACAUGUAGGCCAUAAGGUUUGACUGAAUAAAGAAUCUAGUAAAAUAACAUCCAUAUGGGUGAAAGAUACCCAAAACAACUAAAAACUGAAUCAAAUCUGAACUAAAUCUGAAAGCCUCUAAACACUGUCUGAAUAAGGAGUUGAAGGAACAUGUCUCCAACAAACUCCAUAAACUGAUAGCUAAUUGAAAUAAUAAAUGAAUAAAUCAAAUCAUAUUGUCCUCGAAUGAAGAGGAUUCACUGCAACUCUAUAUACUGGAAUGCGGCUGCUACUGCUAGUCUGGAACUCAUGUCUCUGAACAUAUGGUGUAACAUAAAGAGAAAGCACCAUAGCGUGAAUGCGUUAGCACAACUAGAGUACUGAGUAUACUAGUGAGGUAGGCUGAACAUAAAUAGGGUUACAUGCAUGAACAAUGCUAACUAACUGACUGAUAUGAAUGUGAGAGUGCAAGCAUGCAUACAUAGAAACUGAGAUCGUGAAUGUGUAAUAGCUAAAUUUAUACGCUAAUACAUAGUUUACUGAUAACUCAUCAUGACUGAUACUGUAGUUCUAAAUACAUGGGUCACUGUGUCUGACAGUCUUGCAUCUGAUGGAACUAUCUGAGUUUCGUACUAUAACUAAAUUUGACUGUAUCUAACAAUACUGGUAUACUAGUAUCUGAAGAACUGUCUGAGUUUUUUUACUGAGACUGAGUCUGAAACUGUGGGAGAUAGUUGUUUAAUCGACACGCCCGAAUAAUGCAUAUAGCUAAGUUGGGGUCCAAUAUUUGCCCUGACUAGAGGAAUGUCACGAUCCGAACCGGGGCCCUGGCCGUGAUGAGCAUUCCAAACCAUGAAGGCCCGAAACACCCCUAUCUAUCUGGUAAUCAUGCACAUAAAUUAUAUGAUAAUAAGAUAUACGAAAGAUACACAAUAUUAUGGAAAACAUGGUCAUAAAUCAAAUGAAAUCAACAAAGGGAAAAUAAUGUCCCACAACAUCUAUCGACAUCUGACCAACCGUCUGUGAAAUCUUUAAUACAUGACUAAAACAAAUUACUGUCUGAAACUUGGACAAGACCCCAGUAGACCCAAACCUACUAAAUGAUAAAUAAACUGACAGACAUCAGGCCUUUCGAAAUGUAGAAGGCUCACCACUUGAUUUUGCAAAUCUGUCAGAAGAGAUCUACUAGUUAUCUGGACCUCUAAACUGUGCCUUCAAACCUGGGAGUGAAAAGGGUCAAUACAAAAGUACUGGUACGCAAAGAAAUCAAAAACAAAAUAUAAUAUUUUUUUCCAAAUAUAGGUGAGAGCUAUUAUAAAGCAGCUUCAUAUCAAAUCAUUUGAAAACACAUGGGCAUAAUGUAAUAGUUUUCAACAAUAAUGUAAUGCAACUGAGCUAGGUGGAAGACCCUACAUAUAACAUUUACACCAACUGUCAAAUCUUGAUUGCUGUCUAGAUUAGAGUAUAAGUGAGGGGAAGACACACAAGAUCACAUAGCAUGGUGUCUCGACCCAAUAAAGUAUAGUAGUGCCCAAGAUCACUUAGCCUGGGCUCCUAACCAUAGUCCCAAUUUGGGAAUGACAUAAAGUCAAGUACACAAGAUUACUUAGCCUGGUACCAAAUCCCCAUGUAGGCAAAUAUGAUUUCCAGCGAUGAGCCCUUACACUCAAAUACCUUUUUUGAGCAUCCACCUAUCUCAUGUAAAAUCAAUGCAUCAAACUCUAUUUAAUUUAAUCACAUAUCUUAUUCUGUAGGGUAUCGUCAUACCCAACUUGUAAGCCAUCAAUAUCACAUCAUUCUUUCAUGCAACUUUAUAUUCAUCAUAUUUUAACAUAACAACCCUCUCAUUGCAAUUCAAAACCAUGACCAUUUUCAAAAUAUUUCAUGUCACACUUGUCAAGAUAAUUUCAAACAUUUCACAUCAUAUGAGAAUUUAAAAUGAGAUCAUAUAAAGAGAGGGAUUUCAUAUAAUUCAUGCUCUCAAGUUAACAUCUUUUCAGAAUACAUGCAUAUACAUAUACCAUAUAUCAAACCACUUUGGGAAUAGGCCUAAAGACCAAAUCAAUAUCAUAAAAUGUUUAAAAUGGGAUUAUAUACAUAAUUUCAAAACCUCCAUUUUUAAAACAUGAAUUUUUAAGCCCAUGAGAUUUUUGAGAUAACCCCACAUACCUCUAUAUGCGAAGAUGAUCGGUGCUUCUUGAAGCCUAUGUUCUGGGGAUUUCAAAUAUGCAAUUAGUUUCACAAACCCACGGUUGAAUGUUGAGUUGCUUGGGUUUUUAUUUUGAAACACUAAGGAGAGUCUUGAGCAACUUUGAUGAAUGAAGGUGUAUUUAGGGGUAUUUGGGAACUGAAUUUCGUGUUUAUGGCUAAAUAAGGGUGGGAAAGGACCAUUUUGCCCGAAAAAUAGAGUGUUUAAGUCACUUGAGUAAUAAUAUAUGUUGUGCACACCUUAUCUCAUAAUAUAGAUUGUGCGGCGUACUCUUUAUCACACACAUUAGGUUGUGCAUCACACACCUUAUGGCAUAAGUUAGGGUGUGCGUCGCACACCUUAUGCUGCACAACACACUCCACUUUGCAAAGCCAUAACGUUUUCCUCGGGUGUCAGAAUUUUGCAAAAUUAGUAUCAUUGGAAAGAUAAUUCAAAUACCUUUCAUUUUCCAUACAGUAGGCACUCUAAUUCAAUAAAUAGAAAUAGUAAUGGUUGAUUGAAGUUGACCUAAGUUUCAACGCUCAUUAAAAUUCGAAUGAUAGGAAAACUUUCAACUUGUCCUUGAGCUUGGGGACUCUAUGAUCUCAAUUCAUGCUCAAAUAGGUUUCCACACUACAUAAUUUAUUAAUAAAAUAAACUUUUAUUGGAUUUAUGGGUUUUAGAACCUUUACGUGAAGGAAAUGACAAUUUUUGUUCUCAUCCGAAAUGCGGGGUGUUACAAGGGGUGUCAAUACCGCGCCACUGGUAAGGACAGUUUUAAGUGACCCUCAUCUGGUAGGUACUCAAAUAAGAAUGGUGGGAACCCUAAAUUGACAGGUUAAGCCACCUCAUCAACCCUAGUCUAACAGGUUAAAAUGUCUCAACCUACGCUAGCUACGUAGUUCUGCAACACAAGGAUAACUGCUAAGAAUCACACCCUAAACUGGCAGGUGAGUUUCCAUCCUUGGGUUCACUCGUUGCUAACUUCUACUCCCAUCUGAAGAGACUGAACAUGAUUUAACUGACUGUACAUGGAUUGAGUAACUGACUUCUGUUGACUGACGGAAUAGCACUACUAUCUGAGAUUUUACUGAGAUCAUGAGAUUUCUAAGGUUUCCUGAGUCACAUGACUAACUGAGUUCUAUAAAUUGUGGCUUGACUGAGAUGAUCGUGAUGAAAUGACAUUAUUCUAGGCACACAACUAUGUUUUUUGGGUACAAAUACCCCCAGGACUCAAUGGAAGGAAACUGACACACAUGACAUAACUUGAUCAUAAGAUUUGAGUCCACAAUUCAUAAUAUCAUACAUAAAGGAUUUCAUACUAAGCAUGGUUAUCAAUAAUGUAUUUCAUGGAAAGUAUUUCAUGUCACAUGGAAGUACUUUCACAACCUUAAUAUCAUGUUCAUUGCAUAAUCAUACUAGCAACAUAUAUCAAUAGUAUGGAAGUUCAUGUGGAAUCAUCUUAAGAGUUGACAUAGCUUGUCAUUUAAAUACUAUGGGGUCAUGGUAACAUGAUUUUUAGUAUUCUAGGCAUUUUAACAAACACCCUGCAUGCACACUUUGGGGCAUAGGUUUUCUCAGCAAUUUUAAUCAUCUUGAACUACCUAAAUUCAUGGGUUUUAACUACAAGCAUGCAUACAUCAUGGAAGUCAACUUAAAUUAAUAUCUUGAAGCUUAGACAAUGAACAACAUCACAUAACAAUAAGGAAAUCAAAUUUUCUCAUUUAAAAGCAUGGUUCUUGAACUCUAUGAAUGAAAGGGGUCCAUAGAUGAACACUACACAUACCUGACUCAGGGUUCUAGACAUUUUUGAACUUGAAGGGUUUGAAAUCCUUUGAUUCUUGAAGAGGAUUGGGUCUUAUUCAUGGAGAUUAAAUUUAUAGAGAAACCCUAGUUUUUUUUGUUUGUGAAAUAAUAAUUAGCAGAAUGACUGAAUUCGGACUUAUUUGGCUAUAUGUAGGCGAGUGUUAAGUGACCAAAAUACCCCUGUUAAAAUGACCUAGAAAUAAAAUGAACUUGGCAUGUGAUGGUCUGAUUGACGGUCACUCAGACACCUGACGGUCUAUCACUUAGCCUGUCAGACGUGGACCAAAAGAGGUUCACUGGAUAAGAGUUGAUAGCCUGGAUGCGGUCCGUCACAACUUUAAUAGUCCAUCAACUCGUCCGUCAGUCCUUAUCCAUUACGUGGAUCAACUGCCUUGGAUAUGACAGUCAAAGUGGCGGUCCUCACUUAUGUGGUGGUCCGUCAACUUGGCCGUCAUACCUGGGCAUUUCCGAUAGUUCCAAGUAAAACGUCCAUAACUUUCUCGUCUGGUGUUGGAUUUGGACAAAAUUGGUACCAUUGGAAAGCUAACUUAAUUUCCCACAUGAUAGAAAGUGAAAAUCUCAAAAAUACCAUGCGUACAAGUAUAGGUGUGUAUUUUAAAGUAAGUACUAGCAUCUUUGAGAUGAUUUCUAGCUAGGAAAAAGGCAUGGGUAUUAUAGGCUAGUUAGUUAGUUAGGUAGUCCUAUCACUGGCCUAUAAAUGUAUAUGACUGUACACAUUGAAUGAUGAUGAAUACAAUAUAACUACACAUUCUCUAAUAAUCUCUCUCAUUUACUUAUCUUCUUCUUCUUCUCAAUCUAUUCUUCUUCUGCUAUUCAUCUGAAGAUAUUACUAAGUGGAAUAGCAGUGUAUGGUUAAUGACAUGGUAUCAAAGCAUUACUCACUAGCAAACUAGUAGAGCAAGAUCGAUUCUGGUGCAUUGGUUUCUUCACGAGAAAAUUAAAGAAUCUUGAUUCAAGAAUUGAAGGUCUACAACAAUAGUUAAUCAAAAUUCUUCUAUUGAUCCUGUUGUUGCGGGUUCCAAAGUUACUCCACGUACUUUGGAUUAAAAUCAUCCUCUCUUCCUAGGUCCUUCUGAUGUGAGUGGCAUACAGGUUAUUUUUUUCAGUUAACAGGAGUUGAGAACUUCUCAAUUUGGUUUAGAUCCAUGUGCAUUGCUUUACUUGGGAGAAAUAAGCUGGGCAUGGUGGAUGGAACAUGUUCUAAAGACAAGUUCUCAGUUGAAUUAAGUAGUCAUUGGGAAAGAGUGAUUGAAAUUAUACUUUCUUAGAAUAUGAACUCUAUUUCUAAAGAAUUACAAGGAGGAAUUAUGUAUGCAUCUGUGGCAAACGCUCUCUGGAAUAUACUGUUUGAAAGGUUUAACAAAGUGGAUGGGGCUAGAACAUUCAUCCUACACAAGGAUAUUGCUACAUUGUUUUAAGGUACAUCUUCAGUAUUUGUAUAUUUCUCAAGACUUAAAGAUUUAUGGGAAGAAUUUGAGGCUCUAGUACCUGCUCUUGGAUGUGAAUGUGAUAAAUAAAAGGAGUAUGUACUACAUCUAUAGAAACUAAAGCUAUUCUAGUUUCUUAUGGGUCUAAAUGAGCCCUACACACAAGCAAGGAGUCAAAUCUUGCUUAUGACCCCUCUCCUAAAUUUUAACCAAGCAUAUGCAAUGAUAGUAAGUGAUGAAAGUCACAAAUCCAUUGCAAGUUAGGAAGGGAUUCUUGGUAUGAAUCCUGCAACAAGUGGGAAGAAUCAUGAUCUAGCCAUGUAUGCAAGAAAUGGAGCAGGCGGACGCCGAGGUUAAAAAUACAAAAAAAAUGUCAAUGUGUAGUGUGAUUUCUGUAAACUCAAGGGGCAUACUAAAGAAAAAUGUUGGAAACUGAUUAGAUAUCCUCAAGACUAUAAGGCUAAGAAGAAGCUCAGGCAUGAAGGGUCAAACAAGCCCUAUAAUAUAUCUCUGAGUUCUCAUGAUUAUCCAGUUGAUCAAAGUGGUUACUACACUAAAGAUGCAGGACAAUCAGUAGCUGCAAGUACUCAGAUACCUCAACUAAGUCAGCUUAGAAAUGUAACCUUUACCAAGGAGCAAUAUGAGCAAAUCUUACAAUCGAUAAAUAAGAAUAACUCUGUCAACACAUCUACUGAGUCUGCCAAUAUAACAAGUGUAGGUAUUUUUGCUUGUUUAGAUUUUUUUUGGUUCACAAAAAUGGAUUAUAGAUAUUGGUGCUACCAACCAUAUAGUUGGUAAUUCAAAACUGCUACUUAACAAGAUUGUUACAGAGUUAGAAAAUCCAAAGAAAGUAUAUCUACCCAACGGUGAUACUACAAUGGUCACUCAUGUGGGAACUAGCUGUUUAUCAUAAGGAAAUAACAUUACAAAUGUCUAUCAUAUCCCACAGUUUUCAUGUAGUCUCCUAUCAGUGUCACAAGUGACUAAGGAGUGGCGUUGCUUAGUAAACUUCUUCCCUAAUUUUUGUGUGUUCCAGGAUCUUUAUAUUGGAAAGGUUAAGGGGAUUGGGAAGCUUGAUGGAGGCUUAUAUCUACUAGAAGAUCAGUCAAGGAAUAAAGUUACAGGAGAAGCUAAAGCAACUACUGAAGUAACCAUGGAAAAAAACACAAGCUGAAGUGGAUUUAUGGCACCAAAGGUUGGGACAUGCCUCAACUGAUGUGUUGAAAAGAAUUGUAGAUCAAGGAGUACAAGUGAUAGAAGAUAGAAUAAAGCAAUGUAGCAUCUGACCUAGUGCUAAACAGACUAGAUUACCAUUUUUGUCUACUAAUAUUCAAAGUACUUAUUGUUUUGAUCUUGUCCACAUGAAUUUGUGGGGACCAUACAAAGUGCCAACUAUGAAUGGUAAAAAAUAUUUUCUAAUAGUUGUUGAUGAUUUUUCAAGGUUUACUUGGGUGUUUCUAUUAAAUCUUAAGUCAGAUGCGUUCUAUAAAGUACAACAGUUUCUUAUAUAUAUAUAUAUAUCAAGACACGGUUUGGAAAAAUAGUUAAGGUGAUCAGAACUGACAAUGGUACUGAGUUUGUCAACUCAUUGUGCCAAAACUUACUUCAAGAUAAUGUUAUAAUCCAUCAAACAACAUGUCCAUAUUCUCCUCAGCAAAAUGGUAUUGCUAAGAGAAAACAUAGAUACAUUUUAGAGGUAACAAGAGCUAUCAGGUUUCAAGCUGAAAUUCCAAUAAGGUUCUCGGGUUAUUGUGACCUACCUGCAGUAUAUAUCAUCAAUAGACUGCCUAGUUCAGUCAUUCAAUUCCUAUCUCCUUAUGAGAAGUUGUAUCGUAGAAAGCCAAACUGUGAUCAUUUAGGGGUAAUGGGGUGUUUGUGCUAUGUCAAGGUGUUAAAUAAGCAUGAUAAACUCAUGACUAAAGCAAACACAAGUAUCAUGAUGGGAUAUUCUAUCACUCAUAAGGGGUACUUGGUAUAUUACAUAUCAACAAACAUCUUCUCUGUGAGUAGAGAUAUAUCAUUAAGAGAAGAUGUAUUUCUAUUCAAGCUACUUAAACUCUAAUCUCAGUCACCUCACCAUAUUUUUCCCCUGGAAGAUCAAUAUCAAGCACUAAGUAGUGAUGAGACAUGUCUUCAGAUUCCAGUAUCCAUGACAUAUCAAGGAGUUCCUGGUCAAGAGAGCCAACAAGAAUAAUAACUAUAGACUGCUCCUACCUCGGUACAAUCAAUAACUAAGGUAUCUCAGAGAAGGCCAACUAGAGGGCUCUCUACUCCUGCACAAUCACAACAUGUAACUCGAGUGUAUCAAAGAAGUUCAACUAGAGGUCAAGAGAUCAUCAGCUCAGUUAAUCAACAAGAAUAACAAGUACAGCUAAUUCCUACUCCUACAACUCAACCUUCUGCAUCACAGGACCAAAGAAAGUCAACCAAAGAUAGAAAACCUCCAGCUUGGAUGAAUGACUUUGUCUCUAAAAGUACAAAGAAAGUACCUCAUGCUCUUGCUAAUCAUGUGCCUUAUGGUAAACUCUCUACAUCAUACAAGGAUUAUGUAUUAAAAACCUCAUAUUUCACUGAGCCUACAAAUUACUCCGAGGCUUGUAGAGAUCCUAGAUGGGUGGAAGCAAUGAAAAAUGAGAUAGAUGCAUUGAAUUCUAAUCACACUUGGGAUCUGGUUACCUUGCCUAAUGGAAAGAAAGUUAUUGGUUAUAGAUAUAUAGAUAUAUAAAAUGAAGUAUGAGGCUUCAGGUGAUGUUAAAAGGUUUAAAUCUAGACUUAUAGCUAAGGUGAGAACUGUACUUGGUACUGCAGCUAGGAAGCAAUGGUUUGUAUAUCAAAUGGAUGUUUAUAAUGCAUUCUUAAAUGGUGAUCUAAAUAAUAAAGUGUAUAUAGACCUACCUCAGGGUUUUGCUAGUCAGAAGGAGAAUGUAGUGCACAAAUACUCAAAUCUAUGUAUGGAAUAAAACAAGCACUAAGGCAGUGGAAUACAAAGCUAUCAGAAGUAUUGCUAAGGUCUCAAUUUACUCAGAGUCAGUUUGAUCCAUUACUAUACAUCAGGAAUACAUCAGAAGGAGUCAUAUUGGUUCUAGUAUAUGUUGAGGACAUGUUGAUCACCAGAGAUAGCUUAGAGCUGAUAGAAGAAACCAAGGCAAUCUGACAUCAGAACUUCAAGAUGAAAGAUCUUGGUAAGAUGAGAUUUUUCCUUAAAAUAGAGUUUGAAAGACUUGAAAAAGGGAUAUUGAUGCAUCAAAGGAAGUAUGCCUUGGAACUACUAUCUGAGUUAGGCUUAACAACAGCCAAAUCUACAGCUACUCCUAUGGACUACAACAUCAAACUAACAUCCAAAAAUUUUGAUAAACAUGUUAAGCAUGGAAAGUAUACUGAGUAUCUUUCAGUAGAUCAAGUUGCUUAUCAAAAGCUAAUUGGUAAGCUGUUUUACCUAACUAUGACAAGGCCAGACAUAACCUUUUGUGUUCAGAUAUUAAGUGAGUUUCUUCAGAAUCCAAAGAAGUCUCAUAUGGAAGCAGCACUUAGAGUUAUGAAGUAUGUUAUAAACCAACCAGGACAAGGUGUGCUACUGUUUAGUAAUAUAGAUGACAGAGCAAGUUCCUACUGUGAUGCAAACUGGGCAUCAUGCCCUCAGACUAGAAGGUCUAUAACAGGAUAUUUUAUGAAAGUUGGAGAAUCAAUAGUUUUUUGGAAAUCAAAGAAGGAAACUACUGUUUCCAAGAGUUUAGCAGAAGCAGAAUUUAGAAGUCUUGCUGCAGUCACAAUAGAGUUGGUAUGGAUCCUAGGCUUGAUGAAGGAAGUUAGGAAUGAAGUAGUUCUACCAGUGGAUGUGUUUAGUGAUAGGAAAUCUUGUCUGCAAAUGGCAUCAAAUCCAAUAUAUCAUAAGAGAACAAAGUAUAUUGACAUUGACUGCUUCUUUAUCAGGGAAAAAAUUAUGCAAGGAAUGAUUAGAAUUCAUUACAUUGCAACUCAAGAUCAGCCUGCAGUCAUGCUGACUAAGGGACUGACAAGAUCACAACAAGUUUAUCUCAAUACCAAGUUAGGAAUCUGUGACAUUUUCACACCUUCCUAGCUUAAAGGGGAGUGUUGAAGUAUGAAGAGGACACUGGAGAAGAAUCAAGGAGAAGAAAAAUAGACUAGUUACUUUUAUGUUAUAACCAUUUCUCAGUUAGUUACACAAGUACCAACGGCUAUUUAGUUAUUUAGUUAGCCUAAUCACUAGCCUAUAAAUGUAUAUAAUUGUACACAUUAAAUGAUGAUGAAUACAACAUAACUACACACUCUCUAAUAAUCUCUCUCAUUUACUUAUCUUCUUUUUUUCUUCUUUUUCCUCCCAAUCUGUUCUUCUUCUGCUAUUCAUCUAAAGAUACUGCUAAGUGGUAUAGGAGUGUAUUAUUAAUUACAAUUACUAGUAAGUAAGUUAACUUUCUUAGGAUAGUCAGGCUUGAUAACAGUGUCUUGUGUGAGCAUGCCAAUCUACGACACCAAAUGGUUUGUUGCGCCUGUAUCAAUUAUCCAAAUAUCACUAUUUUCAUCCACAAGUAAGGAUUUACGUAUUAAUUGUAUUGGCAUGAUCAGUGGCAUUUGCAUUGAUUCCACCAUAGUUUUGAUUCAACAAUUACAAAAUCUGCUCAUAUUGGCCCUUAGUGAAUGUACAACCCUAAAGUUUUCUAGCACAAUCAUCAUAUUCUUUUCCUUUACCAUGCAAUGGUAGAUUAGUAUUAACACCAUACCUGAACUUUCCUUGUGCAUGCUCAGACAAGUAAUUUCCAGUUAUGUUCUAAUUACUCAUCACAUUACAGGCAGCACUAGUACCUCCACCAUAAGCCUUUUCUUGGAAUUGAAAUCAGAUGGAUACCCCACAAAUUUAUAGCAUUGAUCUCUAUUAUACCCCUUGCACUUACAAAAUUCACAGGUGACAUUAAAAUUCUUCUUGAACUUGUUAGCAUUACCUCCUUGAGAAUUAGAAUGCCCAUAGUUUAUAGUGUUUCCUGCAUUCUAAUUUAUAUUAUUGGAACGCCUAUUUCUUGAGUACAUAACCAUGGGAUCCAUACUAUUUGCCAUUAUUGUGUUUAUUCCUGCUACCACUACUAUAUUCUAUAGAGUUUUGGCAUUCUUCAAUGGCUAUCAUAGCUUAAGACAGAUUCACACUAGGGAGUAAAUCCACAAGCACUAUUUGACUUCUUGCUUGAUUAUAGUUUUCAUUCAAUCCCAUGAGAAGAUGAUAUAACUUUUGCCUAUUCAGAUGUGCUACAAAUCCUCUAGACUUACAAUUACAACCGAGAGAAGGAACUUAUGCCUCAAAUUCAUCCUAAAGAGUCUUGAGUUUGGUGUAGUACUCAGACACAGUAGAUGUACCUUGCUGCAGAUUUACAAUUUCUUUAUGCAGGCUAAAAGUUCUUCAUCCAUCUACCCUAUCAAACCUCUCUUAAAUCUUCCCAAAUACUAUAAGCAGAAGAAGCAAAUGCUACCCCUCCAAGAAGGUUCUUAGAAACUGAAUUUAACAACUAAGAAAGUGCAAUUGUAUUUACCCUCUCCCAUUGGCCCAUAGUUCUUCAUUAACACUUUUCUUGGUACAAGAACCAUCAGCUAGACCAAUAUUACUGCGAUCAAGUAAUGCUAACCUUACGGAUCUACUCCAUAAAUAAUAAUUUUCGGUCCCAAGCAAUUGAAAUGAUAUUAAAUUCACACCACUAAUAUUAAUAGGGCUAAAAAACAAUGAGUGAUUAUAGUCAAUACCUUGACUUGGAUAUAUCUAUGGAGUGGAUUUGCUCGAGUUACCCCCAUUAUUAGAAGAUGAUCCAUUUAGUCCUCGUAGAAGAUCUGCAUUUGUAUGUUCACUUCCAGUUCGCAUUUGUGAGAAUAUAUUUUAGACUUUAAUAGCAAUUUCUUGGAGGAGUUCUGAAACUUCAGAACUGAUUUACCCUUUGAUCUUGGACAAAACUUUUCGCGGAAGCUUUCUUUAUGAUCAAAUUAAAUAUAAGAACAUUCGAUCUACUCAGACUUUGAUCAUUUUUAUGAUACCAUGAAGGUAUUUUGAAGAAACUUAAUGGAACAGUAACUGAAAUAGAAGUACUCAACUUACAAAGAAAACGGAGAACCAGAGGAACUCUAGGAAGAAUAUGAAAUCAUCUUUAAAGUAUAUGUAUUGAAUUAAUUACUUAUAAGUCAUGUUUAAGAGUAUAUAUAGACUGAUACAAACUGUAACUAACUACCUAAUUAGUUAAAAUUACUCAACUGAUUAGGAUACACUUAGUAACUAGCUUAAAUGACUAAGUAGACUGUUAGUUGAACUUUGAAACAUAACUAACUGCUUUCUUACUUCUUCAUGUCUUAACAGGCUGGCCUUUUCCCGGUCACAAGCUCUAAAAAAGAAUUCCACAGAUACAUACAUCAUAUUUCUCUGUAGCUCUUCUACUUUGCAAGUACUCUAGUGCUAAAUAACCAAAAGUACCCAUAACCACACUUGUGAUGUAAGCUUCCUCGUCCACUAAAAACUCGGCAAGGCCAAAGUCUGAAACACGAGGCUCUAGAUUCUGAUCACGGCGUAUGUUGCUUGAUUUAAUAUCUUGAUGAACUAUUUCAGGACAACAUACAUCGUGUAGGUAGGACAACCCUCUUGCAGAACCCUCAUGUUCAUGUAGGAAGUUGUCCAAGCUUCUCAUGGCCAAAUAAAAAUACCAUGUAUUCAAUAUUAAAAUUAUAAAUAAAGGCAUGAACUGAACAGAACAAAAUAUUCAAAUAUUACAGAAGAGAAAGAAUCAAAACUUAUUUUCCCAGCGGUAUCACUGUUAGAUUUUGAUAAUUACAGUGCCAUUUUCUUUCUCUGCUCGUUAUUUGCUUUGUUUAUUUCUUCUUUCUUUAUUUAUUCCCUCCACCAAUUUUAAAAAGAAAAAAAUACUUGGAUUUUAUAAAUGUACAUAGAAAAAGAUUCGUAAGUUUCUGGAAGAAAUUUAGAGUGUUUUAUAUUUCAAAUUAACUUCACACAUUUCAAGGGAAUUUGUGGAGCUAAUAAUGGUUCAAAGAAAAGCUAAUUUGGGAAAAGAAAUUUAAUUUAAUGAUAUUAGGAAUAAAAUGACUAAAUAUUACAGCAAAUUAUAGCCAUAAUUUAUACUCAGGUACAAGAAAUAUCAGAUAACUCAAUAAUGUAAAAAAAAUUCACUACUCAAUGUUACUACGACUUAUAGAGCAUAUAAAUCAAAGAUAAUACAACCAAAAACCAAUAUAAGUUGAGCAAUACUGUGAUUUAUUACUUAGAUCUUUGUCUCAUUUUCGAAUUGUCGGAGAGCAGUUAAUUUUUAAAGUUGUUGACCGGUUUUUUCCACAUAUUAGGUUUUAUUUGUAGCUAUUAUGGUAGACGUUUGGUGUAGUUUUUGACAUAUUAGAUGUAUGAAUUAUCUAUUGAAUCACCAAUAAAGUAGAGCAUGACACCUGAAAUCUUACAUUGCCAAAACUGAGCAUAUACAUAUUGGCUAAAAAUUAGUUCCCAAAGAAACUGAAUAAUCAGAGUUAUAUCCAAAUUCAUUUCCACCAUGGAAAAUAUCAUUACACUUUUGAACUAUUCUUUUUCUAACAUCCAAUAUAUUUAAAAAUAUCAUCGCAUCAAACAAAAAGGACAACAACAUUCUCAUAGUGCCAGUUUUAUUUAAUUUUCUAGGUGAGCUACCAUUUACUUUAAAGUGAAAGUGGUGUCAUUGGCAAACAUUAAUUUCAAGAGUGGCAUUGAUGUGGUCAACGUAAACAGAUACUCAAAAGUAUAGACGCCAACACAAAAUGACAUAGAAUUAGUGAAGGAAAGAAAGACUUCUUUCAUCAUUGUUUCCUCUAUUUCCUCAACCACAGGAAAAUAAUUUACUAAAUCACCAGCAUUAUGCUUCCAGAAGUUAAAUGGUUUGUUGAUUUUCAAACCUAAGUUGCAAUAUUAUGUACUCAUACUAUUCUAAAACCCCAUUCAAGUAUAUAUACCUUCGAAUUAUUCACACAAGCGGGAACUACUUCUCUAGUCUCUUCGAUCAAUUUCUUCUCUUCCUUGGCAUUGGUAUUGAGAACCUAAAAGUUGUAGUUCCAAUUGUUGAUGGUUCAUUUGAUUGGUAAAAGAAUGCCACUAUUUCCUGAAUCAAACAUUUAGACUUGGAAUACGGUAGUUCAUUGAAAUGUAUCCACCAUAAGAAAUAUUACUUUCAGACUUGAAACGUCUUAGUUAAUAGUAAUCCAUCAACCAGUUCACCACAAAGAAUACAUAAUUUUGUUUAAAGCGCAAAGUUAAAUUAAUCAAAUUUAAACUCUUAAAUCAUGUCAACAAAAUUGAUAUCACAUAGAUUUGACUCAAUUAAUUUCUUUUUUUUCUUGGGUCAGAAACCAACAACUUUAUUAUUCCACUCAAUCAAAAUUGCAUCAUGUUGUUUACAAAUUUCAGCAAACUAAAUAAACACAAAAAAGAAAACGGUUAGAGUUGUGACCCGAAUUUUGUGAUCUGGCUCAGAAAGUUUCACGGUGACACCCAUGUUCAUGAUUUUUAAUGGGGUCAGUGGUGGUAGCGUAGGGAUCGGGCCGAUAUGUUUUUGGGCCUAGGACUUAUUUGUAUGCACGUAUUAUAUAAGUGCAAUUAGUGGGUCAUUUUUUUUAUUCAGAAAUUACGUCGCUGCACAUUGUACUCCUCUUCUUUCAUAGUGAAACCUCCUCUGCCUCUGUCCAUAGUUUUUCCCGCAAGGGUUUUCACGUAAAUCUGUGUGUUCUUGUUUUCUUUCUGCUUGUGGUUUGCUUUAUUUUUUCUUGAUUUCUAACAAACAGGUAUCAGAGCUUGGUCGAUUUUUUUCUCGGGGAUGGAAACCAUGAAGUAUGAUAUUCCAUUGUUGGAUCGCAAUACUAGAUUUUCAUUAUGGCAGGUUAAGAUGCGGGUUGUGCUCGCGUAGAUGGAUUUGGAUGAUGCGCUGUUAGGGUUUGAUCACAUGCCCUCAUAGUGGACAAAUGAUGAUAAACGACAUAAGGAUCGAAAGGCUCUAUCUCAGAUCCCCCUUCAUUUAUCUAAUCAUAUUUUGCAGGAUGUUUUGAGGGAGACCAGUGUCGCUGCGUUGUGGUUGAAAUUGGAAUCUUUAUGCACGACGAAGAGCCUAACUAGUAAGUUGCAUCUCAAACAAUGACUUUAUUCCCGUCGCAUAUCUGAGGGUACAUCCUUGGAGGAUCAUCUAUCUGUCUUUAAGAAAAUUGUGUCUGAUUUAGACACUCUGGAGGUUAAGUACGAUAAGAAAGAUUUAGAGUUGAUUUUUUUUGGUUCGUUAUCUGCAUCAUACUCGAAAUUUAAUGAUACGAUUUUAUAUAGUCAUGAUACCUUGACCAUAGAUAAAGUCUAUGAUGCAUUGUUCUCUAAGAAGAAAAUAAAGCAUCUUGUGAAUGAGCCGAAGACUCAAGGAGAUAGUCUCAGUGUUUGAGGAAUAAAUCGUGAGAGAAACUAUGGGGGUGAUGAUAAAAACAGAUCGAAAUACAGAAACAAAAAUAAAACCUGUAAUUACUGCAAGAAAAAAUGUCAUAUCAAAUUCGAGUGUUAGAAGUUACAGAAUAGAGAGAAAAGAGAAGCUCCAAAAUCAAAGGAAAACUAACCAGAGAAGUCUGGUGAAGCCAGUUUUGCUAAAGAUGGCGGUACUGAUGGAGAACUCUUAGUAGUUUCUAUGGUAGCUCCAAACCCUGUGAGGAUUAGAUUCUUGAUUCAGCUUGCACAUUUCAUAUGUGUCACAAUCGGGAUUAGUUUACAAUAUAUGGAAUAGUUUCUAAAGGUGCUGUAUUGAUGGAAAAUAACGCACUUUGUAAGAUAGCUGGUAUUAGAACAAUCAGAAUUAAGAUGUUUAAUGGUGUUGUGAGGACACUUGGUGAUAUACAAUAUGUCCAAGACUUGAAGAGAAAUCUUAUUUUCUUGAGUACCCUUGAUUCGAACAGAUAUAGGUGUACUAGUAAAGGUGGAGUCCUGAAGGUUACUAAAGGUGCUUUUGUUAUGAUGAAGGGAUAGAGAAAGUCUGCAAAUUUAUAUGUCUUGCAAGGCUCUACGGUUACAGUUGAUGCAACUAUUUCUGCCUCCUCUCUAUUAGAAAGUGACGUUGUUAAACUUUGUCAUAUGCGCCUGGGGUGUAAAGCCCUUUGUAAAGAUCCCGAUCUUCCUAGUGAUAUGUGGGACAAACAUCGUUAGUUGUUAUCUAAGUUGCCAAGAAAUAGUGCCUUUGCACGAGUCAGAAACCGAUGUAUUUACACGGGUCACCCUCGUUCCGUAUAUGAGUUCUUCCAAAUUUCUCGUAUCCUUUUUCGUGGAUUAGCAUCUCGAGGUCCUUUGAUGGGCAUAAAGAAAUCGUCUUGGUAGCAACCACCAAACCAAUAGAACAAGGGUUAGCUCCGCAGCAGGUCUACAAGCAAGGUAAGUAGGUCCAUUACCAGCCGGCUCCGGAUCGAAAAGACCUAACGGACUAAUCCCUUAUCUAGGAUCGUAGAUGCUAAUGGGACGGGAAUCGAAGUGGGGGACCCCUAUAACGCCUGUGUCUAUCUCCUGUCAAGUAUGCUCCCCAGACAUAGACUACGUACAGGGUAGUACUCUUGGAAAGAUAGAAUAUCACCGCGUGAACAUAACAUUACAUUAAGUUACGAAUGUAACUCCCGAAGAAUCGACCACUAUUCUAAAUAUAGUAAGGCGGAGAACUAUUGUUCAGUGGAGCACCGGAGUGCGGAGGUUGUUCCCAUCAUUGAAGUCAGGGUGUGGGACUAAGCCUUCCGAAUGAGAAAGAAGAAAAGUGCAACGUUUCGUUGGAAAAACCAACGCAAAUAUCAUAUUGACUUUCUCUCACCCUACUUCUAAAGAUAGAUAGAAAAGGUUGGAGAGAAUUUCAUAAAGUCAUUCUCUCCUUUCUAAAGCUGCGCAAGGCGGCCCCCCAAAACAAAGCCCCACCCCUCUUUUCCCCCUUUUAAUGAAGAACCCUCGCCUCGCUUCCUAUUCAUUUGUGGGUCUGGACCCAAUUUUGAUUUUUUCAAUUUCGAGAAUCAACCAAUGGAAAAAUCCGUAUCCCAGGUGACUCACAGCCUCCCUCUCGCCCAAAUAAAUGAAAUGGGAUGAAUCAAAUCAAUAAGCUUUUUGAUUGAUUCAGGGCGCAGCGAAGCCAAAUUCAAUCAAGGAAAGGGGGCUUACUUUUCCUGAGGCUGAUUCAUCCUAUUCAAAUUUAGCUAUGCUAAUGGAAGAGGAAAAGUUUUCAGAUGAGAUGGACCCCCAAGAGAUGAGCGAGAACCCCCAAUUGCUUAGGGGUCGCACUCUGUCCCGCUUGGUGGACGAAAUCUUCUCUCCUUUUAGAAUUCUUUCUCCCACACACCUUUUUUGCCCUCUUUCGCCGAGGAGGAAAGAAUAAUCUAAAAAGCGGACAGAGACCUAAAUUUCCAUUAGAUUCAUUCCUAAGCUUGCUUUGUUGCAGCAAGAUGAUCAGUCCGAGAGUGCUGGAGAGAAGAGAAAGCGGUAAAAACCUCUCUUAUUCGGUCACCGAGAAGUCGGACGACUCUUCAGUAACCCAGGGUGAUCCGACCCCUUCGACGCUUUUUUCGCUGUAUACCCCCUCCAUCCUUCGGAGGUGGAAGAAAGGGUACUCACAUUUUAAUACAUAGUAGGGCCCCAGAACGCUAAAAGGUGGGGGAACAAGAGUUGUCACGAUAGAAAAGAGAAAUAAAUAAAUGACUAUAAGGAACCAACGACUCUCUCUUCUUAAACAACCUAUAUCCUCCACACUUAAUCAGCAUUUGAUAGAUUAUCCAACCCCGAGCAAUCUUAGUUAUUGGUGGGGGUUCGGUUCGUUAGCUGGUAUUUGUUUAGUCAUUCAGAUAGUGACUGGCGUUUUUUUAGCUAUGCAUUACACACCUCAUGUGGAUCUAGCUUUCAACAGCGUAGAACACAUUAUGAGAGAUGUUGAAGGGGGCUGGUUGCUCCGUUAUAUGCAUGCUAAUGGGGCAAGUAUGUUUUUCAUUGUGGUUCACCUUCAUAUUUUUCGUGGUCUAUAUCAUGCCAGUUAUAGCAGUCCUAGGGAAUUUGUUCGGUGUCUCGGAGUUGUAAUCUUCCUAUUAAUGAUUGUGACAGCUUUUAUAGGAUAUGUACUACCUUGGGGUCAGAUGAGCUUUUGGGGAGCUACAGUAAUUACAAGCUUAGCUAGCGCCAUACCUGUAGUAGGAGAUACCAUAGUGACUUGGCUUUGGGGUGGGUUCUCCGUGGACAAUGCCACCUUAAAUCGUUUUUUUAGUCUUCAUCAUUUACUCCCCUUUAUUUUAGUAGGCGCCAGUCUUCUUCAUCUGGCCGCAUUGCAUCAAUAUGGAUCCAAUAAUCCAUUGGGUGUACAUUCAGAGAUGGAUAAAAUUGCUUCUUACCCUUAUUUUUAUGUAAAGGAUCUAGUAGGUUGGGUAGCUUUUGCUAUCUUUUUUUCCAUUUGGAUUUUUUAUGCUCCUAAUGUUUUGGGGCAUCCCGACAAUUAUAUACCUGCUAAUCCGAUGUCCACCCCGCCUCAUAUUGUGCCAGAAUGGUAUUUCCUACCGAUCCAUGCCAUCCUUCGUAGUAUACCUGACAAAUCGGGAGGUGUAGCCGCAAUAGCACCAGUUUUUAUAUGUCUGUUGGCUUUACCCUUUUUUAAAAGUAUGUAUGUACGUAGUUCAAGUUUUCGCCCGAUUCACCAAGGAAUAUUUUGGUUGCUUUUGGCGGAUUGCUUACUACUAGGUUGGAUCGGAUGUCAACCUGUGGAGGCACCCUUUGUUACUAUUGGACAAAUUUCUCCUUUAGUUUUCUUCUUGUUCUUUGCCAUAACGCCCAUUCUGGGACGAGUUGGAAGAGGAAUUCCUAAUUCUUACACGGAUGAGACUGAUCACACCUGAUUAGUGAGAAAUUCUGACACCAAUCAUUUACGAGUGAGUAUUACACCAAGAAUUUACAAGCGGAUCGAGGAAUGAAGGGAGAGGAAUUAGAAAAGAAAGAAAGAGACGGAUUUCGAAUUAGAGUAAGGGCACGCUAAGACAUUCCUUUUCGUGCUUUCUCUCUAUGCCUUCAAUAAUGAGAUUUGAAAAUCUGAUUCUUUCUCUACCGCUUCCUGAUGAAUGACUGAUAGGAAUGGAUUGCCUGGGCUUCCCUGCAUCCGAUCGACUCAUACCUCCCAGCCCUGUCUCCAGGAUCUCAUUCAAUAGAUCUAACCGGGUAGAUAGAGGACUUCGUCCCUCGCUUCCUUUGCUCCAUUGGCACCAAAGAUCAAGAAUUCGAGAUCCGUCUUUCUUCUCUUUUCUUGUUUUAUUGUCGUUCUAUGUUCUAUUCGGGGCAACACAGGUUGUGCUCUACGAAAACAGAAUUUAAAUUUUCUAUUCAAUUCAAAAUUCAAAUUGAAGUAUGAUACUUUUCUUAUAUCUGAUAAUUCUAUAUCGGAAACAUAUAUAAAUAAUAUAUAUCCGUCUAACAAUUUCUCUUGGGGGGUUUACAUAUACUCAUAAUUGUUGUUAUAAUUAUUAUUAAUAAUUAUAAUUUAUAAUUGAGAAGGAUUUUUUGAUUGAAAAAAUCCAUACUGAUUAGUUAUAUAUCAAGUUGUAUUUUCUUAUGUCAUUAGGAAAACAAAAAUUGGAGAUUCAAAUCCAAGAAUUGUUCAUGCAUUCUAAGUCAAUAGUUAAUGGUUCCUAUUUUCAUAAAGUUGAAUUUUUGAUUUUGCGACUGAAAAUCCACAUUUGAUUUUUCAAUAGAUUUCAAUAGAAAGGUAAGAGAAAGUUUUGAACAUUAUGAAUUUUGAGAUAGACUCAAUCGAAAUUGAAAGGAUGAAUCAAACCCAAUCAAAAGGGAAGAAGGAUUAGGAUUUCUUUGACUUUUAGGAAAAAUUAAGGAAAACAGAACUCAAGGUGCAAGUACGAUAAAAAAGCAGUUCAGUAAUCCGGGAAAGUUUUCAUCUAUUUUGUAUUUGUAGCAUUUUGGCGACAUGGCCGAGUGGUAAGGCAGAGGACUGCAAAUCCUUUUUUCCCCAGUUCAAAUCCGGGUGUCGCCUGAUCAACAAAAAACUAGAAAUCUCUUCUUUUCUUCUGUUGAUAUAACCCGCCGAACGAUUCCCCAGCAGAAGCAGAGAAGGCAGACUGUUGAUACUUGUUUGAUUCUAAACAUCUGGUCUGGGGGUUUUUCUAAAAAAUUGGAAAUAUCCUUGCAUUGCAUAUUUAGGCUUAGGCUAGGCUUCAAGGAAAUAUUCGAAUGCUAGAGGGGCUAUCAAGACUUCGCAAUUACCUUCUACUACAAAUACAAAUUUUCUAUUAUUAAUCCAUUGUAUAAUGACUGGACCUUGGGUUAGAUUGGAGAGCCCGAUAGGAAAUAUAAAUAGUUGUGGAAGGGGGCGGAAGAUACUUUAUUAUAUAUGAGGAACUCACGAAAAUCUCUGAGUGCUCAAGCAUCUAAUCAAUUGAAAUGAGGGUCAACAAAAAAAGAAUAGGACCUAUUAUUCCUACAUGUUCCAUUAGUAACAUUCCUUACUGCGGAUUUUGCUUGUGUUUAGAUAAAGAUCUAGUUAGACUUGCCAGGUAAAACCUAAAAAUGGCUGGAGAAUCAUUGCUAAUCCUCAAUCCUCAUCCAAUCCAACUCAAGCACCAGCAAAGGUAAGAAAGGCUAUUGGCCUACUCGAGACAUUGAAUAGUGUCAAUUAGCUCCUUUUCAAGCAGCAAGAGGGCUUUCUAACAAAGAGAACUCCUCUAGUCGAAAAGAAAGAAUCACUCACCUGGGUGGAAUAUAAGAUUUGAAUCAAAUACGAAUGUAUUCUUAAAAGAAAAUUCCCAGGCAUUGGUUACAUACAGGACAAUCGAACCUGAAAGGAUAGACAUAGAUUGACCUACCUACUAAGAACCGGACAAUCGAGAGAUCGGAGAUAUAUUAUAUUGAUUGGUUUAAUCACAGACCAGACAGACAAGCAUCAAAGCCCAGAAAGCCACCAACCAUCAAAGCGUUAACCGUAAAGCCUGAUGGGGAAGAACCCCUCUUCCGCAUAAACACAGAAAGGAAAGUCAAUAGUCCCAGAGCCUAUUCUUUCAAAGAGCGCAUUCCCAUUCGCCGCACCCUAUUAUCUUAUCUAGCGGCUCUUUUUGUGCAUGGUUCUCUUUUAUACUCUUGAUCUGGGAAGCAGGCACUCUUCUGUAAGCCUUCGAGAGGGUUCGUAGCCUUGCUAACGAUUUUCAACCUCACUCAGGGCAUAGCUCAAAUCUAGAAAAGUUUUUUUUUAAAGUGUUCACAAAUCGUCUAUGAACAAAUCGGCUCUUGCAGCUCAUAAGGUGCACUCUUUCGUUCAUUAGCUAGGGAUUCGCAUCUUGAUUGCCUACGAAAGUCAUAGCUCUUUAAUUGCUUAGGAGAACCGGCCUUACUUAGUAAAGUAAAAGCCUUUUCUUGCUUUCCUAUCUCAAGUUAUUCUCCGUGAAUCCACCUAUGAUGAAGCUUGCACCAGCUUUGGAUUAAAGAAGAUCGGCUAUAGAAUCGAAGAAAGGAGCGAGAGACCUUCUGGCGCCCCGGUUCCUUCUUUCCCCAACUCCUUCUUCUCGGAAGAAAAAUAGUGGAUUAGCAGACGAUUCGGGAAUAGAGCAGUGGCCCUAUGUUGAGUAAGGGGUGAGAAGGUGCUCCUGCUGCUAAGAUGGAACUGGGGAAGUUAAAGCAGGACGUCUGGUGUGACGUCGUCCCUAUGGAUGUAUUACAUAUCCUACUCGUAUUACCUAGGUCUUCCGACUAGGGUGUUACCUGCGUAGGAAACCUGUUUACUUUUAACGGCAAACGCGGUUCUUUCCGUCAGAAAACUUUGGUUGACUAAGGAGAAAACGUGUUGGCAUACCAUUUCUGGACGUGGUGGAAGAGUCCAUAGAAUGCUAUGCCUUGAUUGCAAAGCCAACUAGCAGAGCCAAUGCGAGGAUCGGUGGGAUGCCGUAGCUUAAGAGAUAGGAUCGGAGUCUCAACUACCACACAAAUACUAUACCAAACGCACUCCACAGUUUUGUCACAACUUUGGAAUCCACAUGCUAGAUGCGAGGCUUCUUGUCGAGGCACAACUUUUAUUCUACGGUUGUACCAUCGCCUUAUCGUGUUCCAGUAGCCGCACUUGCUACUGUCUUGGUGUUCCAAGGCUUUCUAUCUAGCUUAGCAGUCCUUCUUCUUCUGGUGUGCCAUGAUGGUAUCGAAGAUGAAUUUUCUCUGGCCGUUACAGGGCACUUCUUUGACUAAAGCAACAAGGGCUUUAGGAGUUACACCGGUUUGCCUUCUGGCUUGACUGAAUGGACUGAGACCGAGGAACAGCUAUCGUGCUACUGGCUUUUAACCGAAUUGCUACUUUCUAGCUAUUAGCUUGACUACCUCUACCGAGAAGCUCUCUCUCGCUUCAGCCCAACCAAUUCACAGACGAUGAAAAGAAGUCCUCAAAUCCUAAGUACACUAAGUGGGUAAAGACGAAGCAGUUGCUCGUUAGCUGGAUCAACGCCACCUCCGGAUGGAAAGGACAAGGAGCUGUCGGAUGUCAAUCUCUUUUCUUUUAUGCUGCAUGCAGCUACCUUCCAUCGGCACAUUAUUCGCUCUGCUACAACGAACGAACUAAAUGGCAGACCAUCGAGAGUGAGUGAACGGCUAGCCAAAGCUUCUCGUUUGGAGAAAAAUCAUGGUGGAAAUGCUGUUGAAAGAUGAAAUAAGACGACAGAACGAGUGAAAGAAGUUACUGAUGAGCAGAGGUAGAGGAUGCCCUUUUAGUGGCCUCGUGCGGUACUCAAUAAAGACAAGCGUAGUCGGUAGUGCCUUUCAUAGAACGGUGCCUAUGGGAAGUAAGGGAUAGAGGAUGCUAAUCACUAAUAGAAUCGACGGUCUCAGUUGGCUGAAACCUUUCAGAUUGCUUCCGCUUUUGCUUCUACUAGAGCGUAGCGCGAGCCUUGCACCCUUUAGCUGACGCUCUCGUUUCGCGCUGGUGCCUUACUUCCGCGCUAAGGCUUUUAUAGCUAUGAAGUUGUUAUUUCUUCUUUAUAGCGUUGAAGUCGUUUUCUGCUUUCACUUCGGCCUUNNNNNNNNNNNNNNNNNNNNNNNNNNNNNNNNNNNNNNNNNNNNNNNNNNNNNNNNNNNNNNNNNNNNNNNNNNNNNNNNNNNNNNNNNNNNNNNNNNNNNNNNNNNNNNNNNNNNNNNNNNNNNNNNNNNNNNNNNNNNNNNNNNNNNNNNNNNNNNNNNNNNNNNNNNNNNNNNNNNNNNNNNNNNNNNNNNNNNNNNNNNNNNNNNNNNNNNNNNNNNNNNNNNNNNNNNNNNNNNNNNNNNNNNNNNNNNNNNNNNNNNNNNNNNNNNNNNNNNNNNNNNNNNNNNNNNNNNNNNNNNNNNNNNNNNNNNNNNNNNNNNNNNNNNNNNNNNNNNNNNNNNNNNNNNNNNNNNNNNNNNNNNNNNNNNNNNNNNNNNNNNNNNNNNNNNNNNNNNNNNNNNNNNNNNNNNNNNNNNNNNNNNNNNNNNNNNNNNNNNNNNNNNNNNNNNNNNNNNNNNNNNNNNNNNNNNNNNNNNNNNNNNNNNNNNNNNNNNNNNNNNNNNNNNNNNNNNNNNNNNNNNNNNNNNNNNNNNNNNNNNNNNNNNNNNNNNNNNNNNNNNNNNNNNNNNNNNNNNNNNNNNNNNNNNNNNNNNNNNNNNNNNNNNNNNNNNNNNNNNNNNNNNNNNNNNNNNNNNNNNNNNNNNNNNNNNNNNNNNNNNNNNNNNNNNNNNNNNNNNNNNNNNNNNNNNNNNNNNNNNNNNNNNNNNNNNNNNNNNNNNNNNNNNNNNNNNNNNNNNNNNNNNNNNNNNNNNNNNNNNNNNNNNNNNNNNNNNNNNNNNNNNNNNNNNNNNNNNNNNNNNNNNNNNNNNNNNNNNNNNNNNNNNNNNNNNNNNNNNNNNNNNNNNNNNNNNNNNNNNNNNNNNNNNNNNNNNNNNNNNNNNNNNNNNNNNNNNNNNNNNNNNNNNNNNNNNNNNNNNNNNNNNNNNNNNNNNNNNNNNNNNNNNNNNNNNNNNNNNNNNNNNNNNNNNNNNNNNNNNNNNNNNNNNNNNNNNNNNNNGAGUCUAAGGCAAGGUGGUUCGUAUGCCUACUUUACCUACUUGACUAAAGAGAAUGAACAACGUUUCAUUUCUGGGUUUAUGGAUUAGAUUCAGUCAGCCUCACAACAUAAUCAGAGUGAGGCUUUGGUUACCAGCAAACACGUUUCCAAAGGCGACCCUCUCGAGUUUCCGGCUGUUUCCGUCAUUGAAGUAUUCGUCGCCCUACCAAACGAAAGAAGUCACUAUCAAACUGCUCGCCCUAUUGAAGUACCAAAGGUGCGCUCAGCCCGGUGACUAGGAAAUGGGUUUGCCCUUGAAUUGAAGUGAUGAGGUCGGAAAGAGGGAAGUAGGGCUCCUAUUGACUAAAGGUUGGUUCUUCGCUUUCCUUUAGAAUGAAAGUAGCUAUGAAGCCCCUCUCCUUACAGUGGCUGAACGCCCCUACUACUUACUUUGUUUGAUUCAAAAGGCGAACAGCCCCCCCAACUAGUUGUAUGGGGUGGGGUGCUUGUGAAAAGCUGCUUUGGAUAUGAGUAAUUCCUAAAAAAAGGCUUUGUCCGGUAUUUGACGAAGAUCUUUCUAUCAAUAGAUAGGAAUGAGUGUUCGAUAUAGGGGAUAGGAUCCAUCUGCUCUUUAAUCUCACAAUUUUUUUGUGAGAAAUAUAUAUAUAUCGUUUAUCUAUCUCUUGUCUAUCUAUCAUUGAUUCUCAAGUCCAAUUUUUGGGUUCCCCGAAGCCCCGAAUGGAAUGGAUCGUUUCUGCCAACGAAAUGAAUGUGAAGCCCGUUCCGAAUGGUUCUACGAUCCAGAAGUUCUCGCGAAGAGAAUAAGAUGCUGCUCUCCUUCCUUCUUUCUUUUCCCGCUUUGCUAAUCUUCCCCUCUAACGCGGGCCGGGCGGCGACGGGCGCGGGAGGAAGAAAUCUAAAAGAAGACGCUUGUCUCAGGCGGUCCUUUUUUUCAGUGCAACACAGGAAAGCGCCCUCUUUUUGUCAUCCCUGCAGCUUUCCAGAUUUUGUAUUGAACACAUGGCGUAGCUAGGACCCUUCACAUUCUGUUUGAGCCUAUGUUCAAGCCAAACCCACCCCCUAUUUUACUAAGGCUGGAAAGAAUGCCCACCAAGUUCAGAUAAGGGAAUGCUUUCCCCAACCAUUAAAGUAAAGGCUCGACGAAGGGAGGGAGGUGCGGCGGGGGAAGGAAAACGCUUUCGGAGAUCGAGAUUUUUUUUUCAUCGAAAACGAAGAAGGCCGAGGAUGGCCGUAGGUGCGUCUUAUCUGAAGGGAACACGCUUUUUUGACCGCCUUGGUAUGAUUGCCGGGCCCUCCUCCUUACAGUGGCUUUCAGCUCCUCUCCUUGUUCCGCCCUUCCUAUUGGGAUAGCAGCCUUCAGGAUUUGCCUGCCCUUUCUAAUAAGAAAUUCCGGCUCGGCCCGGGAAAGCGCUGGUAACAACUGAAAAGAAGGGGUCCAUGUAGCUGCUGUGUCCGCCCCCUUCUUAGUCAAUGGGGCACAGCAGGUUUGGCAUCUACUACAAAAGAGAGAAUCCACUUCAGAUAACCACGUCUCUGCUAGGCAGCGUGUGGAAUGGCCGAGAGCGGACCUUUUUGGAUAUAUAAUCCAAGUUGAGAGUAGAGUUACAAGAAAAGCCGUCUGAUGGAAAACGACUUUCACGUUCGGUUCAGAGAGCACUUUUUUUGUUGAGAAUUCCUCGUUCCCUUUCAUGUGAAUUCCCCAGCGGCGAAUUUCAAACUUGUGGGGCCCUAUCUAUUCCAUCUCUCGAGCCUCGAAGAAAACCCCUACCCUUUGGACUCCAUAUAUCUUUUGACUCUAUAUAUGUGGGCACCUGAUAUCUAUGAGGGUUCACCCACCCCGGUUACAGCAUUCCUUUCUAUUGCGCCUAAAAUCUCUAUUUCUGCUAAUAUUUCACGUGUUUCUAUUUAUGGUUCUUAUGGAGCUACAUUGCAACAAAUCUUCUUUUUCUGCAGCAUUGCUUCUAUGAUCUUAGGAGCACUGGCCGCCAUGGCCCAAACGAAAGUAAAAAGACUUCUAGCUCAUAGUUCAAUUGGACAUGUAGGUUAUAUUCGUACUGGUUUCUCAUGUGGAACCAUAGAAGGAAUUCAAUCACUACUAAUUGGUAUCUUUAUUUAUGCAUCAAUGACGAUAGAUGCAUUCGCCAUAGUUUUAGCAUUACGGCAAACCCGUGUCAAAUAUAUAGCUGAUUUGGGCGCUCUAGCCAAAACGAAUCCUAUUUUGGCUAUUACCUUCUCCAUUACUAUGUUCUCAUACGCAGGAAUACCCCCGUUAGCCGGUGUGUGUAGCAAAGUCUAUUUGUUCUUCGCCGCUUUGGGUUGUGGGGCUUACUUCCUAGCCCCAGUGGGAGUAGUGACUAGCGUUAUAGGUCGUUGGGCGGCCGGAAGGUUGCCACAAGUAAGUAAGAAAGGGGGACCGAAGGCAGUUCUCCAUGCACCGGACACGUAGCUUACCGAAUCCGUUACGACACGGAUGGGAAUGCAUGCUACGAAAGAUAGGGUUGAGUCUGAUACAUCAACCGUCUACUCAAUAUCCUUGUACGAGUCCACAAUGACUACACGAGAUGAACCUUGGUUUGGUGAAUUGAAGUUGGCCUUAGGUGUAAUAGGACUCCCAGUUACUGCGUGCGAUCAUAUACUGAGGUGUUCCCCACCGGUUGUUGGAACGACGCGAGCCGGGCCGGGUCUCAAUUCAGAAAGAUGAAGGGCCCAAAAGUCUAAAUAGGGGGUGAAAAAUUCCCCAUCUCAUUGGGGGAGGAAAACGAAUCGACAUCUCGAUGUGAUACAGCCCUUUCGAUUUUAGUUGGGAAAGAAUGGCGAAGUCCAUCCAAACCGUCCAAUGAAGAAUAAGAGGAGAGCAAAGCGCCAAUGGCGCGCGAAGCGCAUGCGGAACGGGCACGGAGAAAAAGAAGUGUGGAGGAGAAGCAGCCGAGCUCAUUCCCUUCGCUUCCUGGGCCCAAAGCAGUGCAGUCUUUCCUGGCCAAAUCAAGGAUUUGGGGCUUCUUGCUACGCUACAACACUAUAUAAAUCCAUUUAUAUUAGUAAUAUAUAUGAAUAGAAAGAUAGAUCCAUCCAUCUAUCCUAUCCGAUUUCGAUUUUUCUAUCUAAAAAAGAAUCGAUUUCAUUCAACCUUUGAUUCAAAGAACUGCGCUUAGCCCCCCCGCCCAUGAAAAGGCUCUGCUGCAAUGGAUGGCAGAGGGUCCGUAGUACCCGAAGCACUGGAGUGAUCCAGUAGCCGGGAAGGGGCCUAGAAGUGCCUACUACUACACCACACUACACUUGGCUCUACACAUUUACAGAGCUAACCCCUGUCCAGUGCCUGGCAGAGCUAAGGGGGCUUCAAUCCUUACUCUUUAUCCCCAUCUUCGCCCAGGCUUAACGGGGCCUUACUUAUUCAGGGGGGAGAGUGGAGCCUCGAAAAGCACUGUUGAGAGGAAGAUCCUUGGCCCCUCUUCAUUCUCUACAGGGUUCCAAACCUUUCUUCAACAUAGGUGACAACGAGCCAGGCAGAGAUGGAAGAGAUCAAACACGGGAAUAAGAAGCAAGCUCGCCUUCCUUUUUGAUCAUUUUGAUAGAGGGGGAUGAAGAAAGUGGACAAAACAGACUCGCAUUUCUCAUCGAACAAAUACAGGAAAAGAAUCAUAUUGAAAACGCUCCUAACCCAACCCCUUCCUUCGUAGAGCCCGUGUAUUGUAAGUGAUCCGAACCUGCCCGGAGCGAGCCUCCCAUAGAGGCAAGUGAAGUUGGUGAGCCGUAUGAUGGGCAACUAUCUCCUGCGGUUCGGAGAGGACUCAGCUGUUAGUUAGUACCCCCUUGGUUUCGGGGUGGACCUUUUCACUCUAUUUUAUUAUAUACGCUUAGCGAAAAGAAUGUUUUUUGAUACACCUAGGACAUGGAUUCUAUAUGAACCAAUGGAUCGUGACAAGUCGUUACUACUAGCAAUGACUUCCUCUUUCAUUACUUCAUUCUUUCCAUAUCCCUCUCCUUUGUUCUCAGUUACUCAUCAAAUGGCACUCAGUUCAUAUCUUUAAGUUCGAUCAUUGACAAGGUUCAAAGAAAGGGUGGGCCAUUGAUAAAGAAUCGAUGGAAAACCACAAUGCUAGCAGAUGGCGGGCCUCCGCUUUUCUUUUCAUUAAUGAAACCCGCCAGUUAUUAUUAUUAUGAACUCAAAUAAAAGGACAAAAAAUUUGGAUUUAGAAGGCUUGUUCAAAAGAAAAAAAGACGUGGGUGGCAUUAUGACUGGGGUGUCAGUUAGAAAGGUUCAACCAAUGUUCGUUCAAUCAAGCAGCAUUCUUUUUUCUUAACUUAAGGAGAGGGAUGAGGGAAUUGUUUCUAUGCUUUUCUCAGAUAAUGCGGGUGCGAGAGUGAAGCUAUCGCGCCUAAGGCGAAAGGCUCUGUUCGGCUCGAUAGGUGGCAGGCUCAGAACAAGAGGAUAAAGACAAGGGGGAAGUUUAGUUAUUAAGUUCCUUUAUUAAGGUAAGGAUAAGAUAAAGAGAGGAAAUAGUUAUAUAUAACUAUUAUUUAGUUAGACUAGUGACCAAUAGCUAAAGAAAGUGAAAGAAGUAGAAUCAAGCCAUUCAUCUGAAAAAAGCUUUUUGCUUUAUUUAAAACUUCUCGAACUAGAAAGAGAAGCCCUUUUCAGCAGGCUUCCAGCUUCAGGGGCUUGAUCAGGAUUCGAGGAUGCUCCUUGGCUCUUUUGCUUCUUUCGAAGAUCAUGUCGAAUCGCUCUCUCAUACUCCUCAUAGGUCAGCCCUGGUACCACAGAGGUCGUCGCCGCAGAUGAGGGCGGAUUCCAAUUUGCUUCAUUAUCUUCUUCUUCGUCAGCGACUACUACUCGAGACCUACCCUUGUGCGAGUGACUGACGGGGGGAAGCGAUGGCUCAGGGAGGGAAGGCGCAGUGCAGACUUGGUUAAUCACGUAAUCGUUGUGGAGUGCUGUAAGUGCACAAACUUAGCCAAGUUAGCGAGUGUGAGAACAAGAAUUCGAGCAUUCACUUUAUCGAAAAACAGACUGACUCUCUAAAAAAGGAAAAAGCUUCAGAGUCUUCUCAGGAAGCUUGCCCGCGGCCAAGAUAGGGAAUUGCUUCCGCAGAAAGGCAAGAAAAUGCGCUCGAGCAGAAGGACUCACGCUCGGUGAUUCAGGAAGACUGAAGAGCAGCCCCAGUUGGCAGCGAUCCCAGUCCUGCCUGGCGCGAGCCAUAAGAGUAGAAAUCCGCGAGGCACUCCCUAUCUCUGCCCCUUCCAUGGGGCACAGGCCUUAGGAACGUAGGAACUUGCUGGCUAUUGAAACUAUCCUAACUUUUUUAACGGGAACUGAGUUGACUUGCUAGGGGUAGGGCUGAGGAUCCAGCAUCCCAACCUGAAUUAGAGGGGAGCUCCAAUUCGAAGCGUGGGCUACUAAGGAAGGCCCCUUUCCAUAUCGGGGAGAGUCUGAAAUAGUGUUUUGGAAUUCAUCGAUAUCGGAGUACAAAUUUUUCAGGUACUCUAACGGAUAGAGCUUUUUCUGCGGCAUAUUGAGAGCCAUAUAGUCUCCCGCCAAUCAAAAAUCCCCUAACAUUAUCAGGUAGGCCCAGGAUCUCUAAUCUAACUGCGCGAAUCGAAUCAAAGCGUUCUCCAAUAAGGGCAUCAUGAGAUGUAGCGGUAUCUCUCCUCAGUCUAUGGUCUCGAUUGUGGGUGGGAAAAUGAAUGCUACUAUUACUCUUUUUCAGCUUGAGAACCAAUGAAAGCUGUGAAAAGAAAGAAUGGCCUAGAGGGGUUAUAUGGAUAGCAGUGCACCGAGGACGAUGUGGAAUAAAUGAGGAUAUUUAAUGUUUUAUGUUUUCUAAAGAGUCAACAUUCAACGAAGGCAAAUUAAGGGCUGCCACGUAUCCCAUGAACUGCUAUCGUAAUUGGAUCUCCUACCGUCUGUCUAUCUCUUAUCGGGAAAGCACUUUUUUUUUUAUCCUUUAGUGUAUGAUUUGACUCCACUCAAUAUAUCAUGCCCAUCAACAGACCCACUGUAGCUGUACCGGUGAACUCAACCUAGAAUAUUCUAUCAGGUGUUUUCAAUAUGAGUACACCUGGAAAUCGGCCAGCCUUCAUCCUCUUGGGAUGCAACCUUACCCCCUCGUAACUCGUUCUACCGUACUCCAGAUCCCCGCACGUCAGAAGGGUGGACUGACCGCACUGAUUGGAUUGUUUUCCUCAUCUAAGAACCGAAAGCAGGCAUUCUCUAAUCCUACCAAAUUCCCACUUUCACUCGAGCAGCAGAUAUGAGACCAGUAAGAGCGGAUUCAAGACUUUCAACCUGAUUCGGCUCGUACUCACAUUCGCCCUAAUCAAUAUAGAGCCGAUAGUAUGAAUAGGAAAGUCUAUAUUAACUAGCCAUAGGCUAUUCUAAGAACGAUCUCUAUAAUAAGGAAAAUAAGGAGUACCCUCAUUCACAGAGGAUUCGAUAAGAGUCUAUUGAUUCUAGUGCACUAUCCUUAACACAGGUAAAUCGGUCUUUCUUUUUAUCAUAUGGCAUUCAUGUGGAAGAACUAGGCUAGAAAAGAAUCCCUCAUUCAUUCAUCAAUUUCAUUGCCUCUUCCCUGUCCUAGGUGUGGACGAAGACCGAGACUUCUCUAAGAUCCGAUUCGAUGGUAUAUCCCUCUUCUAUUGUUCUUAGACAGAUCUCUCACUCUUGAUGAAGAAAAAGACUUCAGCUUUAAAGAUCCGAUCUUGUCUUCACUCACCGAUUCCUUUAAUAAGAGGAAUGCCCGGAAUGCUUGGUACCCUUUUUCUUGCUACUGGUUUAUUCCUGUCCCACUUCUGCUUUCCUCACUCCCCGCCUUAAGAGUUAUUGCUUCAAGUAAAUUUGCCUUGCUAGCUUGCCCUCUAUUAUUACUGUACAGAGCGGGGAAGAAGCACUACUGAAGGUCAUUACUGUGUUGGAUCAACUACUUCAAUUGGAGCAUUCUGGUAAGCUUGAUCCUCGGGUUAGGUUCUUUUUCAUUGGCAUGUGAUAGGGCGGGGUGGUCUACCGGUGAGAGCCAGACGGGAAAGACAUAGAUGGCACCAAUCUAAUCUCAAGAACUCUGAUUCAACCAUUUCUGUGUCGCUGACUGGGGUCUCUCCCCCUCUGGGGAAUCCAUAGAAAGCAAAACAAUUCCAUAAAGUGACAAUUUUGCUGUCCGUCUCGAUUCAUUCUCUUUUUUAGUCUGAUUAUGGCAUGUGUCACGCUCAUCUAUUCUAUAGUCAAAGCAGGAGCCUAUCCUUAGCAACGUGCCGUGCCCCGGUUGUCAUCUUUGUCUUUGUGUGUGUCUGAGUGGGACCUUUCCUCGUGAAUUGCCUUCUUCGAGGCAUGAUCAGGGGGGCAUACGGGUUUUUUCUUCUUUUAUUUGUGUUGAUCUGAGCACCGCCCUAGCGAACUAUUGGGUUGAGGGACCCAGCCCAGACAACUUUGGAGUAGAGUCACUUCCAAUAGCUUCAGUAAAGCUCUUAAAAUACGAGAAAUAUCAAUCGGUGGAAAUUUCUGUGGUUGGUUCUUGAACCGAUUCCAUUUCAGGUUCCCCAAGACAACAAUGAAUGGACUCUUUCUGGGGAGGUUGAGGGAAGGAUAAAGCAGCUAAGGCAGGAUAUCAUUGUUGUAAGCCUCCUUCACUGCAUUAGAUUAGCGCCCUAUUGAUCGUGUCUUCGGAGGGUUGGAGAAGCGUUAAAUACUCCUUUAGGAAAGAACUCCUUGCCAUCUUUACGCCUUACAUGCGGCAUAAAUCGCAUAAAUCAAAGUAGAGGUCACAAGAUGACCUAAAGUCCAGAAAAAACCCACUCUCCCCCGGGAGUGCUUUCGAGAACACAUGCACCGGUUAUUGCAUCAACAUCUUCUACAGAUAGUUUACCAAGAAUAGCAAAGGAGAUUCCACCAAGAACUUCUAUUGCUAAAAGAGCUAAUUCAAGUGCAGUACUUACUGUAACAAGAACAACGUGAACUCAUUCUCAAGCACUUGCAGCGACAAUGUGGUAUUCUCUUCCACGCAGCCUUUUCCUGACGAAAUUUCUAGUGGGGUUUACUCUGGUAUAGGCGUGAACCAUAUUUACAGAGAAGCAAACUCUUCUGCAGAUUCUAUAGCCGGCUCCUCCCUUUCUGGUUUGCAUGUCUUUCAUUCUGAAUUGCCUCCUUUGACUCGUGCAUGCUUGCGUUUAGAUAGGUUAGAUACUUCUUAUAUUAGGAGAAUUAUUGUAAAGGAGUAGUAAGGGAGUGAAACCCCGAUCUAAUCUUACACGUGCGAGGACAGUCCUCUGAAUAGAGUCCAUUGCAUCCCACAAUAAUCGACGGGCAGCCCUCGUACAUUUAGCAUAAACCGCUGAAAACUCGAAAGUCUGUCCACUCUGAGUGGGCAGAGCCUUAUUACCUUAUUAAUAGGAGGGAUGCAAGGAAUUGAUGCUACGAAUGCCAUAGCAAGUGAAUCAGAAUAAGCCCUAGCCCAGCUACUGAUUGGAAAGGUUUAAAUAAGAGUGUGCCUAGCGUCUUUCGCUCUCUCUUAUUAGAAGAAGGAAGGGGCGCGACCCCACUCAGCUCGAAGAAGUAGCUCUUUCAACUAAUCCAUACUUUUCCUCUCCAACCAGUCAAGUGGCCCAAGGGCCACCUCAAUCUUAUUCUGUUUCCGAUCCUGCUUCAGAUUCUCUUUCAGUUGUGGAAACAAGCCCCUAUUCCUAUCGGUUGAGUAGCCCAAGCUCCUUAAAGCGUAUUGUCCCCUCUCCUGUGAAAGAAAGAGGUUGAUGCACCCAGCUACCCGAAGUAGAGCUUUCUUUGUCCCACCUUUCCUUACUGACUUUCCUAGUUUAGAUAGCGUAUUGAGAAUCAUGUCAAAAUACACCAAGACCUGGGCCCAGGUUCUCUUUCUUCAAGAAAGGGUAGCUUUAAACAACCCGGUUCCAAACACACCAAACAAGCAAGCGACUCCCCUUCCUUAGCGUACCCGUCCAUUAAGGCAUUCUUCCUUCUUGCGUAUGUGUUAUAGCUCAUAGCUCUAAGCCCCAAUUCCUUGGUGAAAAGAGCUGUCGCCUUUAAAUCAUCGAAAAAAGAAAAGAAGGAACCGCUCGAAAGGGACCACACAACAAUGGCUCAUAACUGGAAAACAUAACAACAAUGUCUCCUAGCUGCAAAAGAAUGGCUCCCAACUGAAAAUUUCUCUCGAUCACUCUCUAACAGAAAGCCAUUUUCCCUUUCGCAAAAAGUCAACUUGGACUUCUUUCCUAAGCGGAGAUUUGGACUACAUGGACCUAAGCAACCCGCCGACAGGGGCAGCCUUUCACUGUUGGAAACUUUGAUUUAGAUUGGUAGGAUUCUGUCUAAUCUUUCCUAAUUUCGAAAUUGCACUCAAUCAACAUAGUUUCCACUCAUUCCUUCUCGACCGCCUCUUUUCUAGUCACUUUUGAUCAAAUCUUUCUUGUGAUUUUCUAUUCUCUUAUGAGAAAUGGUUUGCUUCGUUUGAGCCGUCGUCGCUUAAUGCAUGUAGGGGGGCUGGGGCUUUUCCCCCACGACCCCUUUUAAAGGAGAACCAGAAGAACAACAAUGAACUCAAAGCUAAUGAAGGAGAUCCGCAACUUGAACAAGGUAGACGGGAUCUUUCCUACCCCUUUCUAUUUCGACUUCUUUGAAAGGUGAAAGAGUAAGAAGCUAGACCGACUUGCUCUUAAAUUAACUUGAACAAGGUAGAUGGGAUCUUUCCUACCCCUUUCUAUUUCGACUUCUUUGAAAGGUGAAAGAGUAAGAAGCUACACCGACUUGCUCUUAAAUUAAAAGCAGCAAGAGCAAGUUAAGUAGGCUUUUCUCCGCAAGAACAAUCUUGACUUUCUUUAUACUUUAUAAUAUAAGGCCCUUUAAACGAUCGUAAAUGGCCUGAAAUGUAACGACCUAUGAGAGAGGGGUUUUUAGAAAAGAAAGCGUACCAAUCCAGCAAACAAAGCAAAAACAACGGCUCCUACAUAAAUACAAUAGAAUAGAAAUGUUGUCUGUCACUAGAACGGACCACACAAAUAACAUCUUUCUAGCCGCCUAAAGGAAGUAUUCAAAGAUAAGAUAAGGCUAUGCCCACACAAGCUAACUUCAGGUAUGCACUUAGUUCUCAAGCGAUUCCUUCGGAUCUUAGGUGCGACCUUAGGGAGCUUGUUUUGGUAGCUACUCUCUUAUAGUUAUGUGUCCUAGUUUCCGAGUUCUAGUUCAAGGCAGGGCAGGACGGGACUCACGGGGGUUGGGGGCAGCCUUCCCCCAGGGAAACCUAAUAAGACUCAUUCUAAUACUUGAGUUCAAGCUCCUACUUCGAAGUAAGCCUAUGGGUUGUUUCGAAGCUUAGUAGCUAAAGCGUACUUGCGUGUUAUGUUAAAGGGGGUACGCGGAUUUGGGCUACUAAGUGGAACCAGACCAUGAAACUUGCCAUUUGCACUCUCCUAGGGUGCGAUCGUAGGAAGCUCUAUUAGCGAAUGCAAUUCCCCGCCCGAUAAGACUGAUCAUGCCCUGCUGCUUGGCUUGGAAUCAAACUAGCCUAUCAUGCCCUUUCUUCAUUCCUAUAUGGACCCAUAUUCCUAUGUUCUUCCAAUGUUUACUGUAUUACUGGGAUUCCUAUUUACUGAACCAUAUCAAAGAAGCUACUUUCUUUCUGGCUUUUAUACCCAGGUAUAAAGGGAUAGACAGUCUAAGAGAGUGCCAAGAAAGAACACAUACCUAUCACUUUUGGAAGGUUUGGAACCCUUUACCAAAUUCACCAGUCUGAAGUGAAGAAGUGAUCGAUUCCUUAAUCUUUAAAUUGCGAAAAUAAAGAAAUGGUUAAUAUAUUCAAGAUAAUUACGUAUUUACAAAAUACCGUCUCAAUUCAUCCUAUUUCAUCAGAUCUGGGAUGUGAUAUGGUUCCGAAGGAUGAACCGGAUAUGGACAGUUCCAAUAAGAUUUCAUUCUUGAACAAAAAUCCAUUUUUUGAUUUAUUUCAUCUAUUCCAUGACCGGAACAGGGGAGGAUACACGUUACACUACGAUUUUGAAUCAGAAGAGAGAUUUCAAGAAAUGGCAGAUCUAUUCACUCUAUCAAUAACCGAGCCGGAUCUGGUGUAUCAUAAGGGAUUUGCCUUUUCUAUUGCUAGCGUUGAGGCCAUAGGGCUUCCUUGUAAAUAAGUUCGAAUUAGAAUAAAGUAACGGUUCGGGAGAGCCUAUGCGGAAGCCUUUUUUUUCUUCUUCAGCUUGCUUUCCUGCGUCUCUUACGAUGGCUUGCUUGCUAAUGUAACGAGAAGAGGUAGGGCACCUAGUCAGAAAAGCCGUAAUCAGGUUACCCAAGAUAGAAUAGGGCUCAGUGCAAUAGUAAAUCUAGUAAAUAUAAUAAGAGAAGAAUUAGCGUAAGAAAAGACUAUCCUUUCCCUUACCAACGAGUGAGUACCCUUUUUUCUCUUUUUAGUUGAGUUGGUGUUCAAUGUGCCCAGUGGGUACAAACAAGAUUGAAAGGGUCAACAAUCCCUUACUUUAGUAAGCAACCUCAGUUCCCUUACUUGUUAAAGUAAGCACGUCAACUCUCUUACUUGUUCUUGUAAGCUAUUUCUUUCCCGCACUUUAGUAAGUAAGCAUGUAAACGACCAUCUCUCCGCAGAUAAAAGACUAGAGUAGGCCCCAUAAAGAUGUUGACAUCCGGGUUCACUGAUCUUGAAAAACUAACAGAGAUAAGGUCGAUAGCUUGCUUUCACGUGAAAGUACGAAAGAAGGUCGCUGAGGUAGAGUCCAUAGGCAAACUUCUUAGGAUGUCUUUGCCCCUGGUUCCUUUUGAAGACCCAUAGUAGCCGCAAAGCACCAUUCUGCGCACUCAGAAUAAAAGAGUGAAUUUCCACAAUUAGUUUCUGUCUAUGAACAAACAAAAUCUCCUUUCUACGGCUUACAACUUUCAUCGCCCUUAUAUUUAGCUCUCCAAAGAGCAAUUCUUCUCAAAAGGUGCUGACCAUUCUAAACGUGGCUUCAAAGUUAUUCUUUCUAAGUGCAGAUUCAGUUGAUUAAUUGUGCCACCUUCCUUCUACUAGUUGAACUGUGCCACCUUCCUUUUACUAGUUGAUUUAAGCGCAUCAACCGCAAAGAAACUGACGACCUAUUCUCUAGCAGCAGCAGGGGCAAGCCUAAACAUCUACACCUUCCAUGGGAAUUUAGGAAGAAUUCCAUUUCCUUAAGGAAUCAGUCCCAAGAGCGGCUACGACUACGAGAGCAGUUACCCUUCUAACCUUAACACCGGUUACGUCCUUCUUCUGUCAUCGGGGAUGGGAACCUUGGUAGGAAUGUUGGAGGGUUCUCGGCAGGUAGGUUUGAUGCUAGCCUUGUUGCCUUGGCAUUGGCUGAUUCAAGACAUCCUCGCAAAGGCGCCAUCUUUCUUAAGUGACUUUUAUAGACCUCUUUUUCUAAAAUACGAUAAUUUCGUUUUUGAGACCACUGCGAUAAAUGAGCUUUUGAGACUCCGUUUUGUUAACAACAGGUACUCUUUCUGCCUUACUUUAACAAGUAAGCAAGUAAACUACCUUCACGGUAAAGGAUCAUCUGUCCUAUGAAAACUCAUAGCCUCGAUAGUGGUCUAAGGCAAGAAAGUAUGAUCCGUCACGUGUGCCAAGGAGAUGUCGAUUGACAUUGAAUUCUCUCCUCUUGUUUUAAUAUGAAUUGACUCUGCUUCGGUCACUUUCUUCGUAGGUCCUUAAGCAACUCCUCUUGUCACUAGUCACUAUGCCCGAAGGUUAGCAAGCCUGUAUCUUGAUAUAAAUAGUCAUUCCUUUCUUUUCUUUGUUAGAGAAUCACCUAAGACCGCUAAUGUUCCAUCUAAUUCAAGAACAAGCCCUUCUAAAUGUCUUGCCUUUCGCAUGUGUUUUCUUUGAAAUUGGAGUUCCAACCAAGUUCCCUUCCCAAAGCGGGAACAAGUUGGUGCGACCGAUUAAAGAAGAAGGACAAGUCGCAAUGGUACUAUGGCUAGUUGGAAAGCCUUUCAAUCCAAUCUCUUGAUUCACAUUCAUGUGAAACCGUUGCAACCGAUCCUGCAUACCAAUCAUCCGCCGCUUAAAGUAAUGGCCAAGGUUUCUAUGGAUUCAGUCCUGUGGAAAAAUAGUGUUGUGGGCAAUUCAGUGUGUAGUGUCACCCCUGGGACACUAGCGAGUCCGUCCCUAAAAAUUAGGUCCAUGAAGCCAGAGUGCUGUCGCACUAAACGACUACCCUUCCUUAGAUACUCCAAGCCACAAUCUGUAUUGUCCUUGAACCUAGACCAUGGAAGGUUGGUUAUAGUCCCAUUCUAUUAGUGGGAUCCAUAGCCCGCGGGUCUUUCCCAAGCCAGCAAAGAAGAAGGUAGUCUAGGACUACCCUAAGCCUAGAAGAGAAGUAGGCAGGACUUUCAGUUACAAUGUCUAGGUUGGGCAAGCCGCCUUUCGCCUUUCUAAAGCCAAUCGAUUAUCGGAUUUCACCAAGCCAACUACCACUACCUGGGGAUUUCUAGAUCCGCUCUAAGAUAGCAUUAAGAUUCCAAACUCCAUGAAAGCAGGAGAUUGAUUAGCUAUAGUCAAAUCUCGUGACGGUGAUCAAAGAGCAUUAGCUACGAUACUACAACCUCUGCUCCUGACCCCCAGAUCGAAACGUUACGAUUCACUCCGGUGCUGCUUGCUGGUGGAGGUUGGGAGUAUCUCAACUAUGAAUAAGAAGUCGAAGAAGCCCUAGAUCCGCCUCUUACUUACCUACCUUCCCAGACUAGCUAGUCAGGGCGAAGCAUUCGUCAGCAUUAGUAGUUUUGGCACGAUAGACUCAUGAGAUGUGACCUCAUGAUGGGUCGGUGGGAAUGGCUCGUGAUCGUGCAUUCAAUCAAUUUCCCUUGGAAACGUUGGAAACGAUGGUCAAGGUUUGCCGUAAAUAAACAGAUGAGUUCGAUUCAAGCAUCCGAACAAGAAUACGGUUCAAAUACCCCAAACAAGAAGCCACUUAGGAUUUUUGCUUUUUCUAUCCCGAAGGGCGGGUCUAGUGACAACGCCUUCCUCUGCGGUCUCUAUUCGUAGGAAUAGAAUCGUCCAAGUAAUUGCGUCUAUCACUGAAGGCAGCCAAGAGUCACUCAGGGCUAUUGUACUUGUACUACUCAGCUGUUAUAGUCCAUUAGAGUGUUUGAAAUCCCUGAAUCCUGACUCUGUACGGAGCAGUAGGCUUGAGUUAUAGUCCGUAUCCCGUACUACUUGUCUGGAGUAGAAAAGAGUGUGAUCUCAGUUUCCUAUCAAGUCAAAGGGAGACCACGAGGGUCUUCCUUAUGGUUCGCUAUAGUCUAUUAAUAAUUAAUAGGUCUAAUAAUCCUUCUUGUCCGGUAAGCAAAAGCAAGCAAGGGAGCCUCUGGCUUCGUCCCUUCGUCUCGCCACAACACAAGCUGUGGUAUAAUCUGUCUAUACCUCACUCGGUUCAGUAAGAUAAAGAUAUGGUUUGAUGUGUGAGGCCUCGCUUCACUAACUAAAGUCGCUUCCUCGUGAACUCCGUUAACUAGGCGCCCCUCUCCAAGUAGUCAGUCUGUUCUCUCGUGGAGAAAGCCUUACUCUCGUUUCGUUCGAACGUAGCCCGCAGGAGUCAAGGGGUUGUAGGGGCGACUUCCAGAGAUAAUUACGGCGAGGGGAGAUGAAGAGCAUUCUUCCUUCGCGAAUACCGACUUCACCAACCCCUAACCCGGCUAAAUGGUUUGACGCCUGCAUUUAAACUAACUCACCAUAUGUUAGUAUGCUAGUGUGCGGCUGAGAAAGUAUAUAAAGUAUAUAGAGGGAAAAGGUUUUCAAAAAGCCAUUCUCGGUGACGACAUUGUUAUCGCCGACGAAAAGGUUGCAAACGUGUAUACGGCCCCCUGAUAGGACUGCGACCUAACUAUGACCUAACUAUAUCGGUCGAAAAGUAGCUAGUCUCUGACAAAGGUGCUCUUGAGUUCGCUAAGCCAUUUAUAUGCGAUGAAGGUGGAACGGAUUUAUCUCCAAUCUCCUUUCGCCCGUUCACUCAGUACUCAGUAGCAGCUCCCGUAUUCGCGAUUCGCGAGGGUUGAAAAUGGAUUUCAGACAAUAUGAACAACAAUAACUCGACAUUCUCAAGUUCACCAAUUGAACAAGUCCGGCAUAUCGUCGCAAAGUAGUACACUCAAGUGGACUCCACCUAAUGGACGGAUACAGAGAUAGUAUCCAGAAAGAUCUUGGGAUUACAUUCGUCAAACCAAAUAUCUUUAGCAGUCGCAAAAGAGGUGACGGGGCUCAAAGGAAAUAAACAAGUCAUCCUUUGAAGCUAAGCACUUUUCAUCUUUUGUAGGAAAAUUCCCUUCUCUAGUUUUGGGAAAUUGAGCGAACUAUCCACAUAAGAACAAGAAUUUUUUUCCCGAGCAAAUCAUUCUACAUCUUAUAAGCCCAUGACAAGUCAUUUCCAGAUGCUUCUUUCAGAAGAGCACGGGAAAAACCUAUGGAAUCCAUUGUACUAAGAACUAAGACCCGAAAGAUCAUCUAAGGACUGAAAAUCGGGACUAAAAACUAGUCAAGAAGGCUUAAGCUUAACUCAAGCAAUCACUCAAGAGAAGCCGGAUUCGUAAAAGAAAGAAGAAGAAGUUCCAGCCAAUUUCGAUUUUGAAUGAUAAGGAAGCGCUUGAUCCGGGUCUUAGAAGGGCAUCGAGAUCAAGGAGAUCGUGAGAUCAAAGUGGACGUUCCCGAUUUCCAUGGCCGAUUGCAUCCUUGCAUCCUGAGGACUUUCUUGAUUGGCUAAGUAGCGUAGAGAAGUUCUUUGAUUGGAAAGAACUACCCGAGGUGUGCGAAGAUGAAAUUCCUGAGCAAAAAUAAGGAACGCUUUCUCGACGCUGUAGAUCAUGCAUGACUGGCUUGUCCAAAGGAGACGGGAAGUUCUUUUCCCCUUUUGUUAGGCUUUGCUGGGAUGAUGUCUCGUUCUUCGUCACGCUGCCCAUGACUGGAUAGGGGUAGCGCCAUAGACCGUCUCUUUGGCUUAGAGUCGUUUCAUGAGCGAGGGGGCUAAGCGCAUACACGCUUCCUUCGGAACCUGACUCUAUCUUCGACUACCAAAAAGAAAGCGAAGGAGAGCCACUUUUUUUUAUAGUAUAGAGUAGGACUGAAAUUCCAAGCGAUCCUAGCUCAGAAACCACACACAGACAAACACAUGCAGGCCCAUAAAACCCAUAAAUAAUAGACUAACAAAUAUACGUGACAUACACUUCCUGUGUGAAGUUUUCAUCUUAAUGAAUCAAAGCUGUUUGUAAAAUGCUACUUUUCUUUCUGCAACAAGUAAGAGUACUUUUUCUUAUCAUACACCCUUAUGAAUGAAUGAAUCAAAAAAAUGUGACUCCACAAAUAGUCCCCCUCCUCUCUUUCUUCAAAGACAGAGGUACACAUCACAGGUAAAAACCCCAAAAAUAGAAAGAGAAAGAAGUAAGUAAAAAAAUAGGAAAUACUGCUAGAUGGCAACCUAACCGAGUACGUCAUAAUUGAGAAAGGUAAGCCCCACUCCACUGAAUUGGAGAAUUCCAGAACACGUAUCAGAGAGUGCUCCAAUGGCAGUGGGGGCACAAUUGAGAGAAUUUCGACGAUUAGAAAAGAAAAAGAAGAAAGUUAGUGUUCAAUGAGCUCGAGAUAGCUGCCUGAUAAGAGGAAGGGACGCCGGGUACAGUCUUUCUUUGGUUCCAGCUCCUCGGUUACACCAAAGCACACCAGUCAACACUGUACUAUAGCGCUUACACCUGUGAGUUAGCAAAAUAAUAUCGUAUGUUCAUAAAAGACCUGAGUUGGUGAAAUCAAAAGAAAAGCUAACGCUAACUGAGUGUUUAGUUACCAUGCCCAAAAGCCCCAUGCCUUUCUUGGUUGGAUAAACAAAAUCAACCGGCGAUUUUCGACAAGUCUCUCUUUUUUUCGGUAUACCGCUCUGCGAGCAGAGCGAAUGAACAGAAAUCUUUCUGAAUAUCAUGAAUAUCCUUCGCCCCUUGUCUCCAUCUUUCAUUCGUUCUAUGGUUCUCCUUUCUACCCUUCUUUUUACUACCUGUCUCUUGUCUCAUUUGAUUGGCUUUGAUCCCUACCUUAUUAUGGAGAGGUUCAAAGGUUCUUUUUUCCUCCAAGCCUUACGUGCUCUUUUUAGGCUCUUUGGUUUUGAAGUGCCUAUCUGUUGCCUUCUUCUUUCGCUCCUCACUUUGGUUGGCGGUUGCAGUGGCUUGCACAUGGAUGAUAAUUCCACUGGAGGAAGGGGCUUCAGUUUGACUGAUUUAUUUUCCAAUUUUUUUGGAAGCAGUUCCCCUGCAAAUUCUGAAGCCGGUCUCAACCAACUGGCCCCGGACUCUCCCAACCCUGGUGAACCCGCAGAGCCUCCUAUUGCUGAGCCUUAUCAUCCGUUACAGGAGGAUGGAGAGAGGCUAAGGGAGCUCAAUGAGCGCCUUUCCUUCUAUACUUUCGGGUGUCCCCUGCCCGAGCAUAUUUCCUCCGAUAUUCUCGAGGCUCAAUUCCAAACGGAACUAAAGAUAGAGGAAGCCCUUCGUUCAGACAGAGUGCAAGACGCGUCUCUUUUUGAGAAAAGGCACCAGAUUAGGGGGGAACUCUUCUAUCCGUUUGGGAAGCCAUUAUCCUUGGACACUUACUUAGACCACCUAUCUCAAAUAGAAAACUAUGGGACCCACCGCAGCCUGCCUUAUAAAAGGGUUUUGAAAGCGAUUGCUCGGCAGGACUUAGCGCUGGUCUUUGACUCAAUCAAAAGAAAGAGAUACUGGUAGAGCUCUUCUUUGUCAUCUUUGUCAGCGGCAUUCUCCCUUCUAUCUAUCUGAAUUAUGGAACUUUCUCCCCUGUGGAACUAACAAGUCUAUUAGAAAGUCGAAUUAGCAACUUUUACACGAAUUUUCAAGUGGAUGAAAUCGGUCGAGUGGUCUCAGUUGGAGAUGGGAUUGCACGUGUUUAUGGAUUGAACGAGAUUCAAGCUGGGGAAAUGGUGGAAUUUGCCAGCGAUGUGAUAGGAAUAGCCUUGAAUCUUGAGAAUGAGAAUGUAGGGAUUGUUGUCUUUGGUAGUGAUACUGCUAUUAAAGAAGGAGAUCUUGUCAAGCGCACUGGAUCUAUUGUGGAUGUUCCUGCGGGAAAGGCUAUGUUAGGGCGUGUGGUCGAUGGCUUGGGAGUACCUAUUGAUGGAAGGGGGCUCUAAGCGAUCACGAGCGAAGACGUGUGGAAGUGAAAGCCCCUGGGAUUAUUGAACGUAAAUCAGUGCACGAGCCUAUGCAAACAGGUUUAAAAGCGGUAGAUAGCCUGGUUCCUACGAGGGAGUUUCACUUAGUGUUCUGAAAUAAUAUAAUCAUUUAUAUUUUUUUUAUGUAAUUUAGUCUCCAACUAAAUUCACCUACACUAAGAUCAAUACUAGUUAAGGGUUGAUCGAAUUUGACAAAUUGGCGUUCGAAAAUCAAAAGUUCUGCCUUGGGAGGGAUAAUAUCAAUCAUUUGACGUCUCUCUGACACAUUUCUUUUCAUAUACAAUUUACUUAUAUUUUCUUGUUCUGCUACAUUAUAAAUUGUAUUAUCAUUUUUGCUAGCAUCGAAAUAAAUUUAAUGCUUUCUCCUCUCUCUGCCUACGUAGAAACCUACAUAUAUAGGGUAUUUUAAGAAGUGAACAUUCUUUUAGCACCAGAUAUUGGUGCAAGAUGUAGAAUGGAGCAGGGUCGGCUAUACAUAGUGAAUAAAUAGGCAAUCACCUUAGGCCUCCAAAUUUGAGGGGCAUCAUUUUUUCACUAUAAUAGAUUAUAGAUUUUAUAUAUGUAAAAAAGAAUAUUAAGUACUAUUUGUAGAAAAAAUACACUUCUUAUAUAAAAGUAAAGAAUUAUUAGAAGUUUGAUGUAUUAAACCUUUAGGUACUAUGUAUCAUUAGUUGUAUUAAUGAAAAAAAUUAUCAGAAGAAAUCGACCAUAAAAAAAUAUUAACAAUUUUGCAUCUCAAAAUGUCUAAAAUAUAGACUUUCUAAGAAAAUAUAUAUUUAGUUUUUAAAAAAAAUUAAGGCCUCCGUUCAAUUUUUGUUUUAGGCUACCGAAGUGCUUGAGCCGUCCGUAGAAUGGAGUUGAGAACAAAAUUAACAAGGCAAAAAAAGGAAAAGGCCUUUUGUAUUCUCUCUAUAUAUCUUUGUACAAGAAAUCAAAAUUCAAUUUUUAAAAAAAAUAAAAAUCAAGCCAAGAUAUACAGAAGAAAAAAAAUAAUGAACUGCAGAGGACACUACAACAUUUUAGUCUUUCGGCCACACUAAAUCUGGACCACACUUGUAAAGUGUGGCCUAUACUAUUAAAGACCAUGCUUUUAAAGUGUAGCCUUAGUGUUCAGCUUUUUGCCACCCUAAUUUUGGCAACGCUUUAAAAGUGUGGUCCUUAAUAGUAUAGGUCACACUUUACAAGCAUUGAUAAAUAAUGUUUUAAUUAGCAACAUUUAUUCAUAUAUACAACAACACUUAUAAAUGUGGGAUUAGUAUAAUUUAAAAGAUAAUACUUUUAAAAUGUGGCCUAAAACUUUUCCUUAAAAUAUUUCACUAUCCUUCAAAAUAUUUCACUCUCCCUCCAAUUUAUAAUUGGCAAAAAUAAUUAAGAAAUGUAAGGAUUUCAACUUCAGAAAUAUAAUUCUCUCACAAAUUCCUUCCAAAUAUAUCUAUUCUAUAUCUUGCACACAACCCUAUGCCCAAAUUUCUUUGAAUUCAUUGUAUCCACAUAUAGAGUUCUUGAAUUCUUGAAGCUUGUUCGGAGUAAGUUCUAGGUGAGCUUGGUUUAUUUUCAGGUGGAGUCAUUUUGGGAUGGAUUUCGUUGUUUUUAAUGGGUUUUCAGCGAGUGAUUCCACUAUUGGAACACUAACAGCGACAGUGGGGAUGUUGGGUCAGUGAUUUUUUAAGAUUUUCGAUGAGGGGAAGAUUUUGGGAUUUUGGAGCGGCAAUCAUGUCUAGUUAGGCAUCCCGGUGGGGUGGUUUAUGUAAUUUCUAGAGAAGCUAGUUUGAGAAUUAUUCGCUAGAGCCAUAUCACAGUAAAUACUAUAUAAAGAAAAAAAUUGUGAUAAGAGGUUGAAUAGAGUACUUUAGUGUGUUCAGACACGUCGAAAUUUGAACAUUUUCUUAUGGUUUUCGCUCUUGAUGUUUCCUUGUUUCUUCUUCCUUAUGUAGUUACUAUAUUGAUUUUGUAUGAAAGAAACACCUUUUUAGUUUAUUGUUGUUUUCUAGUGUAACCUUGUGUUUUUCUGGUUGCUUGGAGUGUUCUUCUUUUGGCUCUAUUUCUUAGUAUGUUGAGAUCAUAGGUUGCUGCUAAUUUGGAGGGUAAUCGUAAACUGCUUUACCAGUUUAUUUUUAUUUGUGAAAACAUUGCUUAUUCAACUUAGUUUCUUAAUCUAUAACAGUAAACAAUGAGAAAAAAGGGAGAGAAGCAAUUUAGGUGGUCAAAACCACUGAAAAAUUUGAUGUUGGAGAUCCUAGCUAAUGAAGUGAAGCAAGGAAAUAAAUCAACUAAUCAGUUUAAGUCCAGCACAUUUAAUCGUGUUUUAAAUUUCAUUAACAAACAACUAAGAAUGAAUUUUUCACCUAAGCAUGUGGAGAAUCAUCUUAAAAUACCAAUAAACACAUGGAAUAUUGUGCAAACUCUACUAAACAAGAGUGGUCAUGUAUGGGAUGACAACUUGAUGAUCAUUACGGCUAGUCCAAGAGUCUAUGUUUUGCAUAUUCAGGUAAAAUCUAUUGAUUAUUUAUCCUUAGUGUUGAUUUAAAUAUAAUUGUAGAUAUUUUUUUUUGUAAGCAUGCUGACCUACUAAGAUUUUAAUAUGGAUGUCGUAAUGCCAUAAGUAAAACAUUAUGAAAAUUAUAUGGCUGGCAAUAUUAGACUACUUACAAGUUCCACCUUACUAGUUCAAAUAGGGGGACAACUGUAUAUUUGGAUUAUUCAAUAGCUACUGUAUUUUAUAGCAAUCACAACCACCAUAUCUGAAAUAUUCUAACUGUCUUUCCUUUUUCUGUUGGGUAUUAGCAGAAGCAAUAUGAGGUAGUGAGAAGUUUGCUAGUUUUUAUGAUUUCCUUUGGUGGCCCUUGAAUCAUGAGUCUGUUGUUGGCAAUGUGAUCGAGCGGUUACAAAAAGAGGAGGGGGAUAAGAUAGGAAUGGGAGCUAUUGGUGGGGAGGAUUUGAAGAAGUGGGAGAAAAUGCAAGGGGCUGUAUUGGGUAGUGAAGAGAAGAUCCUGGUGUUGGUAAGGCUGAGGCCUUUAAGUGAAAAGGAAAUCAUGAGGAAUGAAGUUUUAGAUUGGGAGUGUAUCAAUGAGACCACCAUCUUAUAUAGGAACAGCCUCCAGGAACGGUCUGGAUUGCCAACAGCUUAUACAAUCGAUAAGAAAAUUUCCCGUUUCUGCCUUUACAUUUAGACUUGAUUGCUGUAGAAUGAGGAAUAUUUUGUGAGAGAUAAAUUGAGGACGAGAUUUGGAUAUUUUAGUUUGUGAACUCAGGCUGAGAUCGCUUCCUGGAUUGGGUUAUUCUACUCUGCAGAACCAUAUAUAUUUAUUGGGAUAAUUUCAUUGGUGGCUCAAGUGUAAUUUAUAAAUGAUUUACUAAUGCUACACAUAUUUUCUUAUUUUACUUUUCUGAGAUUAGAUAGGGUAUAUAAAGGUGAUUGUUCAACGAGGGAAAUGUAUGAGGGAGGAACAAAGGAGAUUGCUCUUUUGUUGUCAGCGGAAUCUACUGUGAGUACACCAGUCAUAUGUCUCUCACAUUUUGUUAUAGAUUUACUAUUCAUUUGAUACUGUUACGACUACCUAAACAUAUUAUGCAGCAACUAUCUUUGCAUAUGGGCAAACAAGCAGUGGUAAUACAUACACAAUAAAUGGAAUUACAGAGUUUACAGUCACAGACAUAUAUGAUUAUAUACAGAAGGUAAUUUAUAGGGAAGUUCAGCUGAUACAGUCACUAUCCUUCUAAUAUUUUUUUGUUCUUCUGUUUCAUACAAUUGAAAGUUCAGUUCGUGAGUUUAUAGGGAAGGACAACAAAAUAACUCUUUCUACUAGUGUGGUAUGCAUCAAUUAACUCACUGUAAGGGUCUACGUCAUUCUCGACAUGGACACGUGAAUUGAUGAUGGAAAAUUUAUGACUUUUGGAUGCAGAAUUUUAUUGAUCUGGCUGGAAGUGAACGUGCAUCUCAGGCGCUGUCAGUUGGAAAGAGACUGAAAUAAGGAUGUCAUAUUAAUCGUAGCUUGUUGACUUUGGAAAUGGUUAUUCACAAGCUAAGGUUGAUUGCUUAUUUCUUACAUCAUUUUUCUAAAACAUCUGGAUUUGCUGCAGCUUAGCUACAUGUUUGAAUGGUCUUUAAACAUUAAUUCAGUUUUACUGUCCAUACAGCAAGUUGGGGAUUUUUUUUUCUUAUUCAUUCGUCUAAUUAGCAAAAAUAAACUUUAUGGUGUUGAAUAGUGUUGCUAUGUGAAUUGUGUCUAUGUUUAACAGUACAUGAAAUGAUGUUAACCACUUUACGGACUUCCAGUACACCCUUUGGCUAUUUAUAUAUACAUGCCUGUGCAUUCAAUUCAUCUUUUCCACUACCUUAUUGCUGAAGCUUCACUGUAUAUAACACUUACCUUAAUUGCCGCAAAGGAAUACAUGGGAAUGUCAAUUACCGAGAUUUAAGCUAACUCGUAUCCUUCAACCUGCUUUAGGGGGCAAUGACAGAACUGCCAUAAUCUUCACCUUUGGGUACUGCCCGAGGCCAUGUAGAGCAAUCUCAAAAUACACUUCUAUUUGCCUGUUGUGCCAAAGAAAUGACCACUAAUCCACAAGUCAAUGUUGUAAUGCCUGACAAGGAAUUGGAGAAGCAUUUGCAGAAAGAAUUGGCCAGACUAGAGAGUAAAUUAAAGACCCCCACAACUACUUGUGAUCAUGUGGUAUUGCUGGGAACGAAAGACCAGCAGAUUGAAAAGGCGAUUACACUUUCCUAUUAAAACUUAGCAGCUAGUAGCUAUUGGAUUAGUUAGCACAAGCAAUUGAAUUAAUGAAAUGAAACAAUUAUCAAUCUAUUUCCAACAUCACAUAUUGUUCACUCAGUUAUUUGCAUUUAAUUUGUCAAAACGUCCUUACUUCAUGUUACAGUAAAAAAUUCCCGAGGGUUAUAUAAAUUGAAAGUUUUUUUAAUUCCCAAUUUUAUCUGUCCAUCUAAGAAAUUGUUGGUUCCACAGUUGUAUUAACUUGAGAAUAGUUGUUGUUGACCUUUGAAAAUGCUAAUAUUGUGAGCAAGUAAUAAAAUGUGCAGAGAAAAAUUGCAGGUGAACUUAACGUUAGUCUUGUAGAGAUUAACUGAUAUCACAUGAUAAUUUAAUUUUUUAGGUUUUCAGGUAUUGAUCCUGGAUGUGGAACAACUAGUUGAAAAUAAACCUACUGAAAAGAUGACUUUGAAUCAGCUUGCAUGGUUAUAUUCAAUCAUGUUAACUGUAGUAGUGGUAAAACUCGCCCUAUGGCUUUACUGCAAAAGCUCAAAGAAUGACAUUGUUCGCGCCUAUGCAAAGGCAUAUUUUUAUUAUCCUUUACCAUCUAGCUUCCAUGUCUUCUUCUGAUGAUCGAUUUGCCUAAAUUGUCGAUUUAUUUGUCUGGAUCGCUAUUUCGAUGUGGUUACUAAUGUGGUUGGGUUGAUAGUAUCAGUAAUUGGUCAUAUUUCAUUACUAUGCUAUUAUCUGUACUGCGAGACAAUGAAAUAUGAAAAAGAAAAAAAAAGAAAAAAGAAAAAGACUAGCCAUCAGGCGAAGGCUGAAUACUGGUAGGGAAGGAAGCGAAAACGUAGUAAUGAAUCAAAAGUUACUAAGGGAAGUUAUGAAUAAAAGAUCGAUAACAGAUGGGUAACAAUGCCUAUACAGUGUUGAAAAGACUGAACAAAAAGUGAGUAUAAUAUUAGUAAACAACCUUAUAACCUUAGCGACCACCGUUUAACCUUAUAACCUUAUAACCUUAACAAGAUGUUUUCUCAAAGUUUUUUCUUUUUAAAACUGUUAUGUGAAGAAAUGUUUUUGUAUUUUGAAGGAGGUUGUUAUGGUACCUCUUUAAAUCAUUAACUGUAAUAAUUAAUAUAUCCCUAUUUAGUAAGGUCUGGUUGUAUGGAGAGCUAGUAUGUGGAUAAAAAAGUGGUCUUUUUCAUUGUAAUACCUUGAACAGAGAAUAACUUUAGAGUUAUUGUGAAAAAAAAUGGUGGAUUCACUAGCAUUGUUGUUAUUGUGUUCAUCUCGUUUCUUGCUCAAACUAAAUCUAAAGUCUAGUGAAGUCGUGUGGGGUUAUUUCGAUUCACUAGUAUUUUGUCUAGUGAAGCCGUGAGUGGCCUAUUUCGAUUCACUAGCACCUUGUUGUUCAUCUUGUUGCUCUUGUGUUGGCUUGAAUCACCUGAUACACACUUAGUCUUUCAUCAAUAUGUUAUUAAUUUGUAGAACUUAAUUUGAUAGUUGUAGUAAGUUAGCGAAAACAUCUAAAUGCUCCAUCUUUGUUGUUUGGCUUUCCCUUAAGUAUCCUGAAAUCCAUUCACGCUGUGUAACCAUAAUUGAUCCCGCACAACCACUUUCUUAAUAAGAGUAAAACUUAAUGGCCACCGUUAAGUAAAAAACUUUAUAACCUUAGUCUUAACGGCCACCGUUUAAAGCCUAAUCUAUACAUAAAACUUAACGGACACCAUUUAAUAAACAACCGUAUAACCUUAACGGCCACCGUUUAACCUUAUAAACUUAUAUUAGGAAACAACCUUAUAACCUUAAUAGCCACCAUUUAACCUUAUAACCUUAUAUUAGGAAACAACCUUAUAACCUUAACGGCCACCAUUUAACCUUAUAACCUUAUAUUAGGAAACAACCUUAUAACCUUAACGGCCACCAUUUAACCUUAUAACCUUAUAUUAGGAAACAACCUUAUAACCUUAACGGCCACCAUUUAACCUUAUAACCUUAUAUUAGGAAACAACCUUAUAACCUUAACGGCCACUAUAACCUUUUAUUAGGAAACAAACUUAUAACCUUAACGGCCACCGUUAAGUAAACAACCUUAUAACCUUAGCCUUAACGGCCACAGUUUAAAGCCUAAUCUAUACAUAAAACUAAACGGCCACCGUUUAAUAAACAACAUUAUAACUUUAACGGCCACUAUUUAACCUUAUAACCUUAUAUUAGGAAACAACCUUAUAACCUUAUCCUUAACGACCACCAUUUAAAUCCUAAUCUAUGCAUAAAACUUAACGGACAUCGUUUAAUAAGCAACCUUAUAACCUUAACGGCCACUGGUUAACCUUUAAACCUUAUAUUAGGAAACAACCUUAUAACCUUAUAACCUUAACGGCCACCGUUUAACCUUAUAACCUUAUAUUAGGAAACAACCUUAUAAUCUUAUAACCUUAGCCUUAACAGCCACCGUUUAAAGCCUAAUCUAUACAUAAAACUUAACGGACAUCGUUUAAUAAACAACCUUAUAACCUUAAUAGCCACCGGUUAACCUUGAAACCUUAUAUUAGGAAACAACCUUAUAACCUUAAUGGACACCAUUUAACCUUAUAACCUUAUAUUAGGAAACAACCUUAUAACCUUAACGGCCACCGUUAAGUAAACAAUGUUAUAACCUUAGCCUUAACGGCCACCAUUUAAAGCCUAAUCUAUACAUAAAACUUAAUGUCCACCGUUUAAUAACCAACCGUAUAACCUUAACAUCCACCAUUUAACCUUAUAACCUUGUAACCUUAACGGCCACCAUUUAACCUUAUAACCUUAAAAGGCUACCAUUUAACCUUAUCCUUGUAAUCAUGCCCUUCUGUAUGACCUCAGUGUUUGGACUAGGCAUAAAACCACUCUAUUUUCCCAUAAGAUGGGUGAAAAAUGACAACGACAUGGUGAUGAAUACUAGUAACCUAUAAACACAAGUAACCUACAGCAGCUGGUUUUGAAAGCUUGAAUCAUGUUUCUGUGAAAAUUGAAGUAGUUUGCAUAUUUCAAAUUACAGGAGUAAUGCAAGUCAUAAGAAGUCCAUUGUGUCCAGAUUGGUAAAGGGCGUGCUCAUUCUUGAAUGUGACAUUGAAUAUCAAUAUAUCUUUGGUGCCAUUUUCAAAUACAAAUCUCCCAACUACUACUGUUACUCAACUACACUGUCUAACAAUCAGAAUCCACAAAAGUAUGUAAUUGCCUUUCAAGGUACAAAUACAAAAGGAGAUAGCUUAUGUAGAGACAUGAAGGUUAACGGCUGAGUCAUUGUAUACUACCUUUAAAACACCUCUCGAGUCCAUAUGGGUUUGAAAGUUGUACAAAAUAUCAUUCAAAAUGACAAGACUUAGAUACCUUGCUUGCAGGGUAUUCUUUAGGUUCUGCAAUUUGUUCAAUAAUUGGAAGGUGUAUGGCUAAAAUGUAGAUGAUAUUGAUCUACUAAAUGUAAGCUUUGACGGUCCAUUUGUUUAAGGGCCAGGGUUCAACAAUUUAUUUUUCUCAAAAGAAGAAACGGUUCAACUUAAAGAAAAUUGGUUUUGAUUUAAUAAUGCUUCUAAGUUGGGGAUGAGGUAGGGAUAUGCUUGUUUCUGUACGUAUUAUAUCAACUGAGUCAGGCUUAUCUUAGACAAAAAUCAUUCCAAAAAGAAGUAAGCAAAUAAAAGACACCAUGACUAACUUUUGAUAUUUCAUGUGAUGCUUGCCUACUCUCGUGGUCUAUAAUUUCAUUCCAUUAUCUUCACCUAUUUAUCUCGUAUUACUUGUAGGGUUUGUCAUUCUCUGAUCUUAUGUAUGUAACAAAAAAAUAUGGCAACUGAUGUUUAAAAUUUGACUUAACAUCUGGAGAAUGUCUCAGAGGCUCUUGUUGUAAAUUUACACCUGUUCUUUCUCUUAGUUCUUUCUCUGCAAUCUUCACAUAUGGUAGCCUUUCCAUGCAUUAAGUUAUAAGUUGCUCCUUUUCGGUUCUUACUUACAAUUCCUUUUCUGCUAUCAAUUGUAUAACUUCUUGUUAAUUUUAUCAUUUUAUAUGUUCUGUUUUGUCCUUUGAUUAGGCCACUGUCAUAGUUUAUUUUUUAGUGUUACAGCUCAUUGUCCGUCUGUUAGCAUGUCGUGGCUUGUAUUUCUUUUUAUUUCAUAACAUUUCAGUGAAUAUCAGUAAUAUUUGUAAUCUCACUUGCAUUUGACUUCACUAAUAUUGGUACAGGGCCUUAAAGAACUUGCCAACUCAUUGCCGGAAGUAAACAGCAAUAGAUUUAUUACAUAUGCCAUUACUUAAGAUGGUAUUUACAACAACAUAGUAUGUUAUUCAACUAGAGAGGAUCAUAGCUCAACUCACAAAUCAGCAAAGAUAUGAAUAAUAAUGUAUAUUGUGAUCGAGGACGUCGCAAAGCAUAGAUUAAGCAUGGAGUCAGUCUAUUUCUCGAAGGGAACAUAUGAAAAUUUGUGUGUACUAUAAUUUUUGAGUUAUUCUUAUCUAACAUAGUAUUUUGAGACAAUCUAAAUAGAAUAAUGAUGUAUAAUAUGAUUAGUGGAUGUAUGAGAAUAUAAUUGUAUUUUUCAAUCAAAAUUUGUAGUAAAUAUUAAUUGUAUAAACUAGACAAGAAUGCUAUGUUUUAAACGUGUGGUCAUUGGGAGCAAGGAUAUAUAUUGUGCAACUUAUUUAGAUGUGUAUUUGCAAUUAGCAAAGGCAACACUUCGUAAAUAUUGCUUUAGAGAUGGUAUUAAUGGCUACACUUCAAAAGUGUGGCCUUAAGAAAGUAAAGACCACGCUUUUUAAGUGUUGUUAUAGAGAUGCUACAAAAGGCUACGCUUCUGAAGCGUGCCCAAUAGUAAAACAAAGGCAACAUUUUUUAAGUGUUGUUGUAGAGGUGCUAUAAAACGCAACGCUUGUGAAGUGUGCCCAAUACCAAAACAAAGGCAACACUUGUAAGUGUAGCUUUAUCAAAUAAAAGUGUUGCCACUGACAAGCUACAAAGCGUGGCCUUUAUACUUUAAUGGCUACGCUUUUUAAGUGUAGCUGAUAUGGCAACACUUGAAAAGCAUGGCUUUUGAUCAAAGGUUACGCCUUUUUAGGCCACCCCCUAAAAAGUGUUGCCUAAAGUCCAAAAGUGUAGCCUUUGAUCAAAGGCCAUACUUUCUGCUAUUUUAGGCCACAUUUUACCAGAGUGGCCGUAGGCCAAAAAUGUUGUAGUGGGAGAUCUUGAAUUGCUUGGCUUGUCAAAUUUGAAUUCAUGGUACAAUUCAAUAUUGAACUUUUACAUUUAUUAACAAUUUUCAUAGCCUUCACAAUUUAUAAAUAAAUGGAUUGUCCAUUAAAAAAGUGCACAAUCUUUAAAAAAAUAAAUUGGGAUGUGAAAUAAUGUGAAUAGAUUGUGCAUUUAUUCAAUGCACAAUCUAUAAAUAAAGAGAUUGUGCACUUAUUAAGUGCAAAAUUCAUUAAAAAAAAUGGAUUGUGUACUUAUUAAGUGCACAAUCUAUAAAAAAAUGGAUUGUGUACUUAUUAAGUGCACAAUGUGAACUUUCACUUUUUCAACGCCGUCAGACGUCUUCCGUUAUAAAUUUAAAUGUAUUGUGCACUUAUUAAGUGCACAAAGCCUAUUUUGAUUUUUUUUUUUUAUAUGACAUACUUUGGUACUUUUUUUAGUUGGUUCCGGACUCGUGCCAAGUCAAAGUAGAUCAUUCUUUUUAAAACGGAGGAAGUAAUAAAUAGUAAUUAAUUAACCAUACAUGUUAAUUCUAAGCCAUGAUAACAUUAACGUAUAUCAAAAAUUCAGCCCAAACUAAAAAAUACAGUAUCAAACAAGCAAACACUCAAUCAUGAAAUGUAGAAAUGAUUAGACAAAAGUAUGGAAAUUACAACUAAAAAAUAAGUGAAAGCGAUAUGAACCCAAAUUGAAAUUAAAUAGAUUAUUAUAUGGUGCAAAAAAAUAAGAUGGCAAACAUGAGUGAAUUUCAAGUCAAAACAGAAAAAAAAUCCUCUGCACGAUAUUUACACAUGAAAGUUUAUGAAUAUUGUUAACUCGUUCAUUGAAGAAAACAACAUCCAUAACUCAACUUUAAAUACAAUUCAAUACCAAUUAUUUGUUAGCUUGAAGACAAGUUCCUACCAUACAAAUAAUUUUUGUCAGAAUCAUGCAACAAUUUUAAGUGCAAUAUAUGAACCCAUUUGGGCUCUACUUUAAAUCAAAGUUAAACUAAAAAAUGUGUAGCAUAAAUAUUUGAAAAUCAUCUAGGCCAAACUCUUGUAUGCAUAAGGACCUUAAACAACAACUACACAGGUUGCUUGGAUGUGAACCUAAAUCCAACCUUACCCUAAUAUAUUAAUAACUCUAUCAGUAAAAAAAACUAACAAAUUAAACUAACCCUACCACUUUUAUUUUUAAACAAAACUAAUUGUUGCCAACAAUAAUGUUAAAGGGAAAUAAACUUAAUUGUAAUCAUAAUUCCAAUAUUCUGGGACUAUUAACCUAAGUUUAUCAAAGUAAAUAAUUGAAAAAGGAGAAGAAGAAGACAAAAAACAACUACUUGACAACAAGAUUAGAAGAAAAAAAUAACUAAUUGACAACAAGAUUGAACAAGUGGGUUAGAUAGUAACAUUUGAAUCAUUCAAAUAGAGAAGUGUAACAUUUGAAAUAAUCCAUCCAAAAAUUACAUUAGCCUCAAAGAACAUGAACGUACACAAGUAGCAGAUAAAUGAAAACAAGUAUAAUAUAUUAUUAGGCAAUAUGCGAGAUUGAACUCCGGACCAAUUAUUCAUGAUAAAAUACUCACGUAAUUGAUCAACUGUAUGGACUACACAAUAUGUGAAAUCAUUUAAACAACUUUGUUCAUGCUUUGAUUCCAAAGAAAACUACGAAUAAAGGAACUAAAUAAGAACCUGUGUGGUAGAAUAACUAAUGUAGAAAUAAAAAAGCCUUCACUGAAAACUCGAACGGGGACCCAAACUCAAACUUGCCACUUCCUUUCCGUGGUUUUCUAAUUGUUUUUCCUCUUCUGUUUCUAAGUUUUCUCUAACUUUGAUUCCUACUGCUCUUUCUCUUCUUUCUAGUUUCUCUCUUUCUUUAGUUUUCAAAGCUUUUUUUUUUUUUGUUUUCUCUCAUUUUUCCUUUGCUUAUUGUUUCCAAUGUUGUCUCCCUUUUUGUUUAUUUUCUCAAGUGUUUUCUUCUCUUUUUGGUCUCUUAAGUUUUCUCCCCUUUUAUUUUAAUCCAUGUAUGGUGUAUUGUGUUAUAUGGGAGUAUCGUGUGUAAUAUAGAGUGUAUAUUUGGGAAGUUGAGAGAUAUGGGAGUGAGUGUGGGGAAGUGGUUGAGGGGAAUUAGAAAAAAGUAAAGAGUGGUUUUAUGGGGAUAUUGGGUAGUUUUAGGCUAGGAUUUUCUUUUAUUUUUUUAUUUUUUUUAGAAUCUUUUUUAAGUUAAACAUAAAAACAAUAAGAAUAUUAUUUUGAACUGAUAAGAUAUACAAGAAAUUAAAUAGCUAGUCCAAAAAAAUAUGACUGAGAAAAUAUUAAUAGCACUAGAUAAUUUAUUAAAAAAUAAAUUAAAAAAAAUAUUUUUUUUAGAAAAUUUCCUUUAUGAAAACUAAAAUAAAGAUAAAGACUUAUCCUCAAAUGUGACUUCAUCUUUGUACUUUUCAAAACUUUAAAACAAACUUAGUAAAAAUAAGAUAAACUUAAAAUAUCUAAUUUAGACCCUAAAAAUAAAAUAUUUAAAAAUUAAAAUGGGGUAAAACCUUUAGUUAGGUAAAAAAAUUAGGUGUUUACAGAAUGUCCCUCUUUGCUUGAAAAAUAUAGAGAGUUUUCAAGUAAAGAAGUAAAAUGACUAAUUUUUUAACCAAAUAAGUUUAUUCAAAAAUAGAAAAAAUAAAUAUUGGAAAGAGGUGUGACCGAGCUCGGACUUUGGGCAUCCUACAUAUCUCGGGUUAUAAGAGAAUCAAGUCACGUGUAGUUUAAGUGGUGUUGGAAUGAAGGGAUGAGUUAGAAAAUCGAGUGAGUUCCUGUCGAGACUUCGGUCUACGGUUCCUUUUGUUACAUCAGAGAAAAAGGAAAAAAUGAAACUAGAAAGAAAAAUACAAGAUCUUAUCUAUUUUACUUGUCUUGAUUUUUUCGCUUUAGAUCUUCUUUUUGGAUCUUCAGUUAUUGCCUCACCUUCUUCUGGAUCUUCAGUUAAAUCUUGAAGUUAGGAUUUGAGACUUGAACUUGAAACUUGAAUUGAGUCAUUGGCGCUCUUUCAAAGAACAGUUUAUAAAAUAUUUUUCGAUUUUUGUUCUCCUAAUCAGAAGCUAAAAAGAUGUAUCUUGAGAUGUUGGGCCGCUAUGGAUGCAAAGCUGACUCUAACUAUCAUAGUCUUCUAUAUUCUGACUGGAGACAGAAUUUCAUGCUUGGAUAUCAAAUUCGUUCUUUGCGGAAAGACCUGCAAGACAUCACAGAAAAACAAAACAAAGACAAACAAGUUUUCUACCCCAGUUUGCAUUAGCAGCAUUCUGUGAGUUAUUAGAAAAACUCUAAACUAGCUACUUAAGUGAAAAAGAUAGAAAUAGUAGAAAUCUAAGCUAGGUAGGAAAAUAAAACAAAGUCCAUAUUCUCAAUAAGGCAACCAAAGAAUGUUAUGCUUUGUGAAUGCAUGAAAAAAAAUUAGAUUUUUUUUUAAAUGCGACUGGGGAAUGUUGUACCUAAAAUGCCAACUAGGGAAUGUUGUACCCUACGAAGACAUAAAGUAGAAAAUAGGAAAUUGUGUUUCCUAAGAUAUCAACUAGAGAAUCUCGUACUCUAUAAAGACGAAGAAGAAAAUUAGGAAAUGGUGUUUCCUAAGAUGUCGACUAGGGGAUGUCGUACCCUAUGAAAAAGAAGAAGAAGAAAAAAAUUAGAAAACGUUGUUUCCUAAGAUGUCAACUAGGGAAUGUCGUACCCUAUGAAGACUUAAAGUAGAAAAUUAGGAAAUGGUGUUUUCUAAGAUGUCAACUAGGGGAUGUCGUACCCUAUGAAGACUUGAAGUAGAAAAUCAAAAAAUGGUGUUUCCUAAAAUGUCAACUAGGGGAUGUCGUACCAUAUGAAGACUUGAAGUAGAAAAUUAGAAAAUAGUGUUUCCUAAGAUGUCAACUAGGGAAUGUCGUACCCUAUGAAAACUUAAAGUAGGAAAUUAGGAAAUGGUGUUUCCUAAGAUGUCAACUAGAUGAUGUCGUAACCUAUGAAGACUUGAAGUAGAAAAUUAAGAAAUGGUGUUUCCUAAGAUGUCAACUAGGGAAUGUCAUAUUCUAUGAAGACGAAGAAGAAAAUUAGGAAAUGGUGUUUCCUAAGAUGUCAACUAGGGAAUGCCGUACCCAAUGAAUACGAUGAAGAAAAUUAGGAAAUAGUGUUUCAUAAGAUGUUAACUAGGGAAUGUCGUACCCUAUGAAGACGAAGAAGAAAAUUAGGAAAUGGUAUUUCCUCAGAUGUCAACUAGGGGAUGUCGUACCCUAUUUUAGGAAAUGAUGUUUCCUAAGAUGUCAACUAGGGAGUGUCGUAUCAUAUGAAGACGAAGAAGAAAAUUAGAAAAUGGUGUUUCCUAAGAUAUUAACUAGAGAAUGAUGGAUCUUAUGAAGACUUAAAGUAGCAAAUUAGGAAAUGGUGUUUCCUAAGAUGUCAACUAGGGGAUGCCGUACCCUAUGAAGACUUGAAGUAGAAAAUCAAAAAAUGGUGUUUCCUAAAAUGUCAACUAGGGGAUGUCGUACCAUAUGAAGACUUGAAGUAGAAAAUUAGAAAAUAGUGUUUCCUAAGAUGUCAACUAGGGAAUGUCGUACCCUAUGAAAACUUAAAGUAGGAAAUUAGGAAAUGGUGUUUCCUAAGAUGUCAACUAGAUGAUGUCGUAACCUAUGAAGACUUGAAGUAGAAAAUUAAGAAAUGGUGUUUCCUAAGAUGUCAACUAGGGAAUGCCGUACCCAAUGAAUACGAUGAAGAAAAUUAGGAAAUAGUGUUUCAUAAGAUGUUAACUAGGGAAUGUCGUACCCUAUGAAGACGAAGAAGAAAAUUAGGAAAUGGUAUUUCCUCAGAUGUCAACUAGGGGAUGUCGUACCCUAUGAAGACGAAGAAGAAAAUUAGGAAAUGGUGUUUCCUAAGAUGUCAACUAAGGGAUGUCGUACCCUAUGAAGAUGAAGAAGAAAAUUAGGAAAUAGUGUUUCAUAAGAUGUUAACUAGGGAAUGUCGUACCCUAUGAAGACGAAGAAGAAAAUUAGGAAAUGGUGUUUCCUAAGAUGUCAACUAAGGGAUGUCGUACCCUAUGAAGAUGAAGAAGAAAAUUAGGAAAUAGUGUUUCAUAAGAUGUUAACUAGGGAAUGUCGUACCCUAUGAAGACGAAGAAGAAAAUUAGGAAAUGGUGUUUCCUAAGAUGUCAACUAAGGGAUGUCGUACCCUAUGAAGAUGAAGAAGAAAAUUAGGAAAUAGUGUUUCAUAAGAUGUUAACUAGGGAAUGUCGUACCCUAUGAAGACGAAGAAGAAAAUUAGGAAAUGGUGUUUCCUAAGAUGUCAACUAAGGGAUGUCGUACCCUAUGAAGAUGAAGAAGAAAAUUAGGAAAUAGUGUUUCAUAAGAUGUUAACUAGGGAAUGUCGUACCCUAUGAAGACGAAGAAGAAAAUUAGGAAAUGGUGUUUCCUAAGAUGUCAACUAAGGGAUGUCGUACCCUAUGAAGAUGAAGAAGAAAAUUAGGAAAUAGUGUUUCAUAAGAUGUUAACUAGGGAAUGUCGUACCCUAUGAAGACGAAGAAGAAAAUUAGGAAAUGGUGUUUCCUAAGAUGUCAACUAAGGGAUGUCGUACCCUAUGAAGAUGAAGAAGAAAAUUAGGAAAUAGUGUUUCAUAAGAUGUUAACUAGGGAAUGUCGUACCCUAUGAAGACGAAGAAGAAAAUUAGGAAAUGGUGUUUCCUAAGAUGUCAACUAAGGGAUGUCGUACCCUAUGAAGAUGAAGAAGAAAAUUAGGAAAUAGUGUUUCAUAAGAUGUUAACUAGGGAAUGUCGUACCCUAUGAAGACGAAGAAGAAAAUUAGGAAAUGGUGUUUCCUAAGAUGUCAACUAAGGGAUGUCGUACCCUAUGAAGAUGAAGAAGAAAAUUAGGAAAUAGUGUUUCAUAAGAUGUUAACUAGGGAAUGUCGUACCCUAUGAAGACGAAGAAGAAAAUUAGGAAAUGGUGUUUCCUAAGAUGUCAACUAAGGGAUGUCGUACCCUAUGAAGAUGAAGAAGAAAAUUAGGAAAUAGUGUUUCAUAAGAUGUUAACUAGGGAAUGUCGUACCCUAUGAAGACGAAGAAGAAAAUUAGGAAAUGGUGUUUCCUAAGAUGUCAACUAAGGGAUGUCGUACCCUAUGAAGAUGAAGAAGAAAAUUAGGAAAUAGUGUUUCAUAAGAUGUUAACUAGGGAAUGUCGUACCCUAUGAAGACGAAGAAGAAAAUUAGGAAAUGGUGUUUCCUAAGAUGUCAACUAAGGGAUGUCGUACCCUAUGAAGAUGAAGAAGAAAAUUAGGAAAUAGUGUUUCAUAAGAUGUUAACUAGGGAAUGUCGUACCCUAUGAAGACGAAGAAGAAAAUUAGGAAAUGGUGUUUCCUAAGAUGUCAACUAAGGGAUGUCGUACCCUAUGAAGAUGAAGAAGAAAAUUAGGAAAUAGUGUUUCAUAAGAUGUUAACUAGGGAAUGUCGUACCCUAUGAAGACGAAGAAGAAAAUUAGGAAAUGGUGUUUCCUAAGAUGUCAACUAAGGGAUGUCGUACCCUAUGAAGAUGAAGAAGAAAAUUAGGAAAUAGUGUUUCAUAAGAUGUUAACUAGGGAAUGUCGUACCCUAUGAAGACGAAGAAGAAAAUUAGGAAAUGGUGUUUCCUAAGAUGUCAACUAAGGGAUGUCGUACCCUAUGAAGAUGAAGAAGAAAAUUAGGAAAUAGUGUUUCAUAAGAUGUUAACUAGGGAAUGUCGUACCCUAUGAAGACGAAGAAGAAAAUUAGGAAAUGGUGUUUCCUAAGAUGUCAACUAAGGGAUGUCGUACCCUAUGAAGAUGAAGAAGAAAAUUAGGAAAUAGUGUUUCAUAAGAUGUUAACUAGGGAAUGUCGUACCCUAUGAAGACGAAGAAGAAAAUUAGGAAAUGGUGUUUCCUAAGAUGUCAACUAAGGGAUGUCGUACCCUAUGAAGAUGAAGAAGAAAAUUAGGAAAUAGUGUUUCAUAAGAUGUUAACUAGGGAAUGUCGUACCCUAUGAAGACGAAGAAGAAAAUUAGGAAAUGGUGUUUCCUAAGAUGUCAACUAAGGGAUGUCGUACCCUAUGAAGAUGAAGAAGAAAAUUAGGAAAUAGUGUUUCAUAAGAUGUUAACUAGGGAAUGUCGUACCCUAUGAAGACGAAGAAGAAAAUUAGGAAAUGGUGUUUCCUAAGAUGUCAACUAAGGGAUGUCGUACCCUAUGAAGAUGAAGAAGAAAAUUAGGAAAUAGUGUUUCAUAAGAUGUUAACUAGGGAAUGUCGUACCCUAUGAAGACGAAGAAGAAAAUUAGGAAAUGGUGUUUCCUAAGAUGUCAACUAAGGGAUGUCGUACCCUAUGAAGAUGAAGAAGAAAAUUAGGAAAUAGUGUUUCAUAAGAUGUUAACUAGGGAAUGUCGUACCCUAUGAAGACGAAGAAGAAAAUUAGGAAAUGGUGUUUCCUAAGAUGUCAACUAAGGGAUGUCGUACCCUAUGAAGAUGAAGAAGAAAAUUAGGAAAUAGUGUUUCAUAAGAUGUUAACUAGGGAAUGUCGUACCCUAUGAAGACGAAGAAGAAAAUUAGGAAAUGGUGUUUCCUAAGAUGUCAACUAAGGGAUGUCGUACCCUAUGAAGAUGAAGAAGAAAAUUAGGAAAUAGUGUUUCAUAAGAUGUUAACUAGGGAAUGUCGUACCCUAUGAAGACGAAGAAGAAAAUUAGGAAAUGGUGUUUCCUAAGAUGUCAACUAAGGGAUGUCGUACCCUAUGAAGAUGAAGAAGAAAAUUAGGAAAUAGUGUUUCAUAAGAUGUUAACUAGGGAAUGUCGUACCCUAUGAAGACGAAGAAGAAAAUUAGGAAAUGGUGUUUCCUAAGAUGUCAACUAAGGGAUGUCGUACCCUAUGAAGAUGAAGAAGAAAAUUAGGAAAUAGUGUUUCAUAAGAUGUUAACUAGGGAAUGUCGUACCCUAUGAAGACGAAGAAGAAAAUUAGGAAAUGGUGUUUCCUAAGAUGUCAACUAAGGGAUGUCGUACCCUAUGAAGAUGAAGAAGAAAAUUAGGAAAUAGUGUUUCAUAAGAUGUUAACUAGGGAAUGUCGUACCCUAUGAAGACGAAGAAGAAAAUUAGGAAAUGGUGUUUCCUAAGAUGUCAACUAAGGGAUGUCGUACCCUAUGAAGAUGAAGAAGAAAAUUAGGAAAUAGUGUUUCAUAAGAUGUUAACUAGGGAAUGUCGUACCCUAUGAAGACGAAGAAGAAAAUUAGGAAAUGGUGUUUCCUAAGAUGUCAACUAAGGGAUGUCGUACCCUAUGAAGAUGAAGAAGAAAAUUAGGAAAUAGUGUUUCAUAAGAUGUUAACUAGGGAAUGUCGUACCCUAUGAAGACGAAGAAGAAAAUUAGGAAAUGGUGUUUCCUAAGAUGUCAACUAAGGGAUGUCGUACCCUAUGAAGAUGAAGAAGAAAAUUAGGAAAUAGUGUUUCAUAAGAUGUUAACUAGGGAAUGUCGUACCCUAUGAAGACGAAGAAGAAAAUUAGGAAAUGGUGUUUCCUAAGAUGUCAACUAAGGGAUGUCGUACCCUAUGAAGAUGAAGAAGAAAAUUAGGAAAUAGUGUUUCAUAAGAUGUUAACUAGGGAAUGUCGUACCCUAUGAAGACGAAGAAGAAAAUUAGGAAAUGGUGUUUCCUAAGAUGUCAACUAAGGGAUGUCGUACCCUAUGAAGAUGAAGAAGAAAAUUAGGAAAUAGUGUUUCAUAAGAUGUUAACUAGGGAAUGUCGUACCCUAUGAAGACGAAGAAGAAAAUUAGGAAAUGGUGUUUCCUAAGAUGUCAACUAAGGGAUGUCGUACCCUAUGAAGAUGAAGAAGAAAAUUAGGAAAUAGUGUUUCAUAAGAUGUUAACUAGGGAAUGUCGUACCCUAUGAAGACGAAGAAGAAAAUUAGGAAAUGGUGUUUCCUAAGAUGUCAACUAAGGGAUGUCGUACCCUAUGAAGAUGAAGAAGAAAAUUAGGAAAUAGUGUUUCAUAAGAUGUUAACUAGGGAAUGUCGUACCCUAUGAAGACGAAGAAGAAAAUUAGGAAAUGGUGUUUCCUAAGAUGUCAACUAAGGGAUGUCGUACCCUAUGAAGAUGAAGAAGAAAAUUAGGAAAUAGUGUUUCAUAAGAUGUUAACUAGGGAAUGUCGUACCCUAUGAAGACGAAGAAGAAAAUUAGGAAAUGGUGUUUCCUAAGAUGUCAACUAAGGGAUGUCGUACCCUAUGAAGAUGAAGAAGAAAAUUAGGAAAUAGUGUUUCAUAAGAUGUUAACUAGGGAAUGUCGUACCCUAUGAAGACGAAGAAGAAAAUUAGGAAAUGGUGUUUCCUAAGAUGUCAACUAAGGGAUGUCGUACCCUAUGAAGAUGAAGAAGAAAAUUAGGAAAUAGUGUUUCAUAAGAUGUUAACUAGGGAAUGUCGUACCCUAUGAAGACGAAGAAGAAAAUUAGGAAAUGGUGUUUCCUAAGAUGUCAACUAAGGGAUGUCGUACCCUAUGAAGAUGAAGAAGAAAAUUAGGAAAUAGUGUUUCAUAAGAUGUUAACUAGGGAAUGUCGUACCCUAUGAAGACGAAGAAGAAAAUUAGGAAAUGGUGUUUCCUAAGAUGUCAACUAAGGGAUGUCGUACCCUAUGAAGAUGAAGAAGAAAAUUAGGAAAUAGUGUUUCAUAAGAUGUUAACUAGGGAAUGUCGUACCCUAUGAAGACGAAGAAGAAAAUUAGGAAAUGGUGUUUCCUAAGAUGUCAACUAAGGGAUGUCGUACCCUAUGAAGAUGAAGAAGAAAAUUAGGAAAUAGUGUUUCAUAAGAUGUUAACUAGGGAAUGUCGUACCCUAUGAAGACGAAGAAGAAAAUUAGGAAAUGGUGUUUCCUAAGAUGUCAACUAAGGGAUGUCGUACCCUAUGAAGAUGAAGAAGAAAAUUAGGAAAUAGUGUUUCAUAAGAUGUUAACUAGGGAAUGUCGUACCCUAUGAAGACGAAGAAGAAAAUUAGGAAAUGGUGUUUCCUAAGAUGUCAACUAAGGGAUGUCGUACCCUAUGAAGAUGAAGAAGAAAAUUAGGAAAUAGUGUUUCAUAAGAUGUUAACUAGGGAAUGUCGUACCCUAUGAAGACGAAGAAGAAAAUUAGGAAAUGGUGUUUCCUAAGAUGUCAACUAAGGGAUGUCGUACCCUAUGAAGAUGAAGAAGAAAAUUAGGAAAUAGUGUUUCAUAAGAUGUUAACUAGGGAAUGUCGUACCCUAUGAAGACGAAGAAGAAAAUUAGGAAAUGGUGUUUCCUAAGAUGUCAACUAAGGGAUGUCGUACCCUAUGAAGAUGAAGAAGAAAAUUAGGAAAUAGUGUUUCAUAAGAUGUUAACUAGGGAAUGUCGUACCCUAUGAAGACGAAGAAGAAAAUUAGGAAAUGGUGUUUCCUAAGAUGUCAACUAAGGGAUGUCGUACCCUAUGAAGAUGAAGAAGAAAAUUAGGAAAUAGUGUUUCAUAAGAUGUUAACUAGGGAAUGUCGUACCCUAUGAAGACGAAGAAGAAAAUUAGGAAAUGGUGUUUCCUAAGAUGUCAACUAAGGGAUGUCGUACCCUAUGAAGAUGAAGAAGAAAAUUAGGAAAUAGUGUUUCAUAAGAUGUUAACUAGGGAAUGUCGUACCCUAUGAAGACGAAGAAGAAAAUUAGGAAAUGGUGUUUCCUAAGAUGUCAACUAAGGGAUGUCGUACCCUAUGAAGAUGAAGAAGAAAAUUAGGAAAUAGUGUUUCAUAAGAUGUUAACUAGGGAAUGUCGUACCCUAUGAAGACGAAGAAGAAAAUUAGGAAAUGGUGUUUCCUAAGAUGUCAACUAAGGGAUGUCGUACCCUAUGAAGAUGAAGAAGAAAAUUAGGAAAUAGUGUUUCAUAAGAUGUUAACUAGGGAAUGUCGUACCCUAUGAAGACGAAGAAGAAAAUUAGGAAAUGGUGUUUCCUAAGAUGUCAACUAAGGGAUGUCGUACCCUAUGAAGAUGAAGAAGAAAAUUAGGAAAUAGUGUUUCAUAAGAUGUUAACUAGGGAAUGUCGUACCCUAUGAAGACGAAGAAGAAAAUUAGGAAAUGGUGUUUCCUAAGAUGUCAACUAAGGGAUGUCGUACCCUAUGAAGAUGAAGAAGAAAAUUAGGAAAUAGUGUUUCAUAAGAUGUUAACUAGGGAAUGUCGUACCCUAUGAAGACGAAGAAGAAAAUUAGGAAAUGGUGUUUCCUAAGAUGUCAACUAAGGGAUGUCGUACCCUAUGAAGAUGAAGAAGAAAAUUAGGAAAUAGUGUUUCAUAAGAUGUUAACUAGGGAAUGUCGUACCCUAUGAAGACGAAGAAGAAAAUUAGGAAAUGGUGUUUCCUAAGAUGUCAACUAAGGGAUGUCGUACCCUAUGAAGAUGAAGAAGAAAAUUAGGAAAUAGUGUUUCAUAAGAUGUUAACUAGGGAAUGUCGUACCCUAUGAAGACGAAGAAGAAAAUUAGGAAAUGGUGUUUCCUAAGAUGUCAACUAAGGGAUGUCGUACCCUAUGAAGAUGAAGAAGAAAAUUAGGAAAUAGUGUUUCAUAAGAUGUUAACUAGGGAAUGUCGUACCCUAUGAAGACGAAGAAGAAAAUUAGGAAAUGGUGUUUCCUAAGAUGUCAACUAAGGGAUGUCGUACCCUAUGAAGAUGAAGAAGAAAAUUAGGAAAUAGUGUUUCAUAAGAUGUUAACUAGGGAAUGUCGUACCCUAUGAAGACGAAGAAGAAAAUUAGGAAAUGGUGUUUCCUAAGAUGUCAACUAAGGGAUGUCGUACCCUAUGAAGAUGAAGAAGAAAAUUAGGAAAUAGUGUUUCAUAAGAUGUUAACUAGGGAAUGUCGUACCCUAUGAAGACGAAGAAGAAAAUUAGGAAAUGGUGUUUCCUAAGAUGUCAACUAAGGGAUGUCGUACCCUAUGAAGAUGAAGAAGAAAAUUAGGAAAUAGUGUUUCAUAAGAUGUUAACUAGGGAAUGUCGUACCCUAUGAAGACGAAGAAGAAAAUUAGGAAAUGGUGUUUCCUAAGAUGUCAACUAAGGGAUGUCGUACCCUAUGAAGAUGAAGAAGAAAAUUAGGAAAUAGUGUUUCAUAAGAUGUUAACUAGGGAAUGUCGUACCCUAUGAAGACGAAGAAGAAAAUUAGGAAAUGGUGUUUCCUAAGAUGUCAACUAAGGGAUGUCGUACCCUAUGAAGAUGAAGAAGAAAAUUAGGAAAUAGUGUUUCAUAAGAUGUUAACUAGGGAAUGUCGUACCCUAUGAAGACGAAGAAGAAAAUUAGGAAAUGGUGUUUCCUAAGAUGUCAACUAAGGGAUGUCGUACCCUAUGAAGAUGAAGAAGAAAAUUAGGAAAUAGUGUUUCAUAAGAUGUUAACUAGGGAAUGUCGUACCCUAUGAAGACGAAGAAGAAAAUUAGGAAAUGGUGUUUCCUAAGAUGUCAACUAAGGGAUGUCGUACCCUAUGAAGAUGAAGAAGAAAAUUAGGAAAUAGUGUUUCAUAAGAUGUUAACUAGGGAAUGUCGUACCCUAUGAAGACGAAGAAGAAAAUUAGGAAAUGGUGUUUCCUAAGAUGUCAACUAAGGGAUGUCGUACCCUAUGAAGAUGAAGAAGAAAAUUAGGAAAUAGUGUUUCAUAAGAUGUUAACUAGGGAAUGUCGUACCCUAUGAAGACGAAGAAGAAAAUUAGGAAAUGGUGUUUCCUAAGAUGUCAACUAAGGGAUGUCGUACCCUAUGAAGAUGAAGAAGAAAAUUAGGAAAUAGUGUUUCAUAAGAUGUUAACUAGGGAAUGUCGUACCCUAUGAAGACGAAGAAGAAAAUUAGGAAAUGGUGUUUCCUAAGAUGUCAACUAAGGGAUGUCGUACCCUAUGAAGAUGAAGAAGAAAAUUAGGAAAUAGUGUUUCAUAAGAUGUUAACUAGGGAAUGUCGUACCCUAUGAAGACGAAGAAGAAAAUUAGGAAAUGGUGUUUCCUAAGAUGUCAACUAAGGGAUGUCGUACCCUAUGAAGAUGAAGAAGAAAAUUAGGAAAUAGUGUUUCAUAAGAUGUUAACUAGGGAAUGUCGUACCCUAUGAAGACGAAGAAGAAAAUUAGGAAAUGGUGUUUCCUAAGAUGUCAACUAAGGGAUGUCGUACCCUAUGAAGAUGAAGAAGAAAAUUAGGAAAUAGUGUUUCAUAAGAUGUUAACUAGGGAAUGUCGUACCCUAUGAAGACGAAGAAGAAAAUUAGGAAAUGGUGUUUCCUAAGAUGUCAACUAAGGGAUGUCGUACCCUAUGAAGAUGAAGAAGAAAAUUAGGAAAUAGUGUUUCAUAAGAUGUUAACUAGGGAAUGUCGUACCCUAUGAAGACGAAGAAGAAAAUUAGGAAAUGGUGUUUCCUAAGAUGUCAACUAAGGGAUGUCGUACCCUAUGAAGAUGAAGAAGAAAAUUAGGAAAUAGUGUUUCAUAAGAUGUUAACUAGGGAAUGUCGUACCCUAUGAAGACGAAGAAGAAAAUUAGGAAAUGGUGUUUCCUAAGAUGUCAACUAAGGGAUGUCGUACCCUAUGAAGAUGAAGAAGAAAAUUAGGAAAUAGUGUUUCAUAAGAUGUUAACUAGGGAAUGUCGUACCCUAUGAAGACGAAGAAGAAAAUUAGGAAAUGGUGUUUCCUAAGAUGUCAACUAAGGGAUGUCGUACCCUAUGAAGAUGAAGAAGAAAAUUAGGAAAUAGUGUUUCAUAAGAUGUUAACUAGGGAAUGUCGUACCCUAUGAAGACGAAGAAGAAAAUUAGGAAAUGGUGUUUCCUAAGAUGUCAACUAAGGGAUGUCGUACCCUAUGAAGAUGAAGAAGAAAAUUAGGAAAUAGUGUUUCAUAAGAUGUUAACUAGGGAAUGUCGUACCCUAUGAAGACGAAGAAGAAAAUUAGGAAAUGGUGUUUCCUAAGAUGUCAACUAAGGGAUGUCGUACCCUAUGAAGAUGAAGAAGAAAAUUAGGAAAUAGUGUUUCAUAAGAUGUUAACUAGGGAAUGUCGUACCCUAUGAAGACGAAGAAGAAAAUUAGGAAAUGGUGUUUCCUAAGAUGUCAACUAAGGGAUGUCGUACCCUAUGAAGAUGAAGAAGAAAAUUAGGAAAUAGUGUUUCAUAAGAUGUUAACUAGGGAAUGUCGUACCCUAUGAAGACGAAGAAGAAAAUUAGGAAAUGGUGUUUCCUAAGAUGUCAACUAAGGGAUGUCGUACCCUAUGAAGAUGAAGAAGAAAAUUAGGAAAUAGUGUUUCAUAAGAUGUUAACUAGGGAAUGUCGUACCCUAUGAAGACGAAGAAGAAAAUUAGGAAAUGGUGUUUCCUAAGAUGUCAACUAAGGGAUGUCGUACCCUAUGAAGAUGAAGAAGAAAAUUAGGAAAUAGUGUUUCAUAAGAUGUUAACUAGGGAAUGUCGUACCCUAUGAAGACGAAGAAGAAAAUUAGGAAAUGGUGUUUCCUAAGAUGUCAACUAAGGGAUGUCGUACCCUAUGAAGAUGAAGAAGAAAAUUAGGAAAUAGUGUUUCAUAAGAUGUUAACUAGGGAAUGUCGUACCCUAUGAAGACGAAGAAGAAAAUUAGGAAAUGGUGUUUCCUAAGAUGUCAACUAAGGGAUGUCGUACCCUAUGAAGAUGAAGAAGAAAAUUAGGAAAUAGUGUUUCAUAAGAUGUUAACUAGGGAAUGUCGUACCCUAUGAAGACGAAGAAGAAAAUUAGGAAAUGGUGUUUCCUAAGAUGUCAACUAAGGGAUGUCGUACCCUAUGAAGAUGAAGAAGAAAAUUAGGAAAUAGUGUUUCAUAAGAUGUUAACUAGGGAAUGUCGUACCCUAUGAAGACGAAGAAGAAAAUUAGGAAAUGGUGUUUCCUAAGAUGUCAACUAAGGGAUGUCGUACCCUAUGAAGAUGAAGAAGAAAAUUAGGAAAUAGUGUUUCAUAAGAUGUUAACUAGGGAAUGUCGUACCCUAUGAAGACGAAGAAGAAAAUUAGGAAAUGGUGUUUCCUAAGAUGUCAACUAAGGGAUGUCGUACCCUAUGAAGAUGAAGAAGAAAAUUAGGAAAUAGUGUUUCAUAAGAUGUUAACUAGGGAAUGUCGUACCCUAUGAAGACGAAGAAGAAAAUUAGGAAAUGGUGUUUCCUAAGAUGUCAACUAAGGGAUGUCGUACCCUAUGAAGAUGAAGAAGAAAAUUAGGAAAUAGUGUUUCAUAAGAUGUUAACUAGGGAAUGUCGUACCCUAUGAAGACGAAGAAGAAAAUUAGGAAAUGGUGUUUCCUAAGAUGUCAACUAAGGGAUGUCGUACCCUAUGAAGAUGAAGAAGAAAAUUAGGAAAUAGUGUUUCAUAAGAUGUUAACUAGGGAAUGUCGUACCCUAUGAAGACGAAGAAGAAAAUUAGGAAAUGGUGUUUCCUAAGAUGUCAACUAAGGGAUGUCGUACCCUAUGAAGAUGAAGAAGAAAAUUAGGAAAUAGUGUUUCAUAAGAUGUUAACUAGGGAAUGUCGUACCCUAUGAAGACGAAGAAGAAAAUUAGGAAAUGGUGUUUCCUAAGAUGUCAACUAGGGAAUGCCGUACCCAAUGAAUACGAUGAAGAAAAUUAGGAAAUAGUGUUUCAUAAGAUGUUAACUAGGGAAUGUCGUACCCUAUGAAGACGAAGAAGAAAAUUAGGAAAUGGUAUUUCCUCAGAUGUCAACUAGGGGAUGUCGUACCCUAUUUUAGGAAAUGAUGUUUCCUAAGAUGUCAACUAGGGGAUGUGGUACCCUAUGAAGACAAAGAAGAAAAUUAAAAAAUGGUGUUUCCUUAGAUAUCAACUAGGGGAUGUCGUACCCUAUGAAGACGAAGAAGAAAAUUAGGAAAUGGUGUUUCCUAAGAUGUCAACUAGGAAAUAUCGUACCCAAUGAAGACUUAAAGUAGAAAAUUAGGAAAUGGUGUUUCCUAAGAUGUCAGCUAGGGAAUGUCAUACUCUAUGAAGACGAAGAAGAAAAUUAGGAAAUAGUGUAUCCUAAGAAGUUGACUAGGGGAUGUCGUACCCUAUGAAGACGAAGAAGAAAAAUAGGAAAUGGUGUUUCCUUAGAUGUCAACUUGGGAAUGUUGUACCCUAUGAAGACUUAAAAUAGAAAAUUAGGAAAUGAUGUUUCCUAAGAUGUCAACUAGGGAGUGUCGUAUCAUAUGAAGACGAAGAAGAAAAUUAGAAAAUGGUGUUUCCUAAGAUAUUAACUAGAGAAUGAUGGAUCUUAUGAAGACUUAAAGUAGCAAAUUAGGAAAUGGUGUUUCCUAAGAUGUCAACUAGGGGAUGCCGUACCCUAUGAAGACUUGAAGUAGAAAAUCAAAAAAUGGUGUUUCCUAAAAUGUCAACUAGGGGAUGUCGUACCAUAUGAAGACUUGAAGUAGAAAAUUAGAAAAUAGUGUUUCCUAAGAUGUCAACUAGGGAAUGUCGUACCCUAUGAAAACUUAAAGUAGGAAAUUAGGAAAUGGUGUUUCCUAAGAUGUCAACUAAGGGAUGUCGUACCCUAUGAAGAUGAAGAAGAAAAUUAGGAAAUAGUGUUUCCUAAGAUCUCAACUAGGGAAUAUCGUACCUUAUGAAGACUUAAAGUAGAAAAUUAGAAAAUGGUGUUUCCUAAGAUGUCAACUGGGGAAUGUCAUACCCUAUGAAGAUGAAGAAGAAAAUUGGAAAAUGGUGUUUUCUAAGAUGUCAACUAGGGAAGGUCGUACCCUAUGAAGACUUAAAGUAAAAGAUACAAUUUUUUUUCCUAAGAUGUAGGAAGACGACAAGAAAAUUAGGAAAUGAUGUUUCCUAAGAUGUCAACUAGGGGAUGUGGUACCCUAUGAAGACAAAGAAGAAAAUUAAAAAAUGGUGUUUCCUUAGAUAUCAACUAGGGGAUGUCGUACCCUAUGAAGACGAAGAAGAAAAAUAGGAAAUGGUGUUUCCUAAGAUGUCAACUAGGAAAUAUCGUACCCUAUGAAGACUUAAAGUAGAAAAUUAGGAAAUGGUGUUUCCUAAGAUGUCAGCUAGGGAAUGUCAUACUCUAUGAAGACGAAGAAGAAAAUUAGGAAAUGGUGUAUCCUAAGAAGUUGACUAGGGGAUGUCGUACCCUAUGAAGACGAAGAAGAAAAAUAGGAAAUGGUGUUUCCUAAGAUGUCAACUAGGGAAUGUUGUACCCUAUGAAGACUUAAAAUAGAAAAUUAGGAAAUGAUGUUUCCUAAGAUGUCAACUAGGGAGUGUCGUAUCAUAUGAAGACGAAGAAGAAAAUUAGAAAAUGGUGUUUCCUAAGAUAUUAACUAGAGAAUGUCGGAUCUUAUGAAGACUUAAAGUAGCAAAUUAGGAAAUGGUGUUUCCUAAGAUGUCAACUAGGGGAUGUCGUACCCUAUGAAGACUUAAAGUAGAAAAUUAGGAAAUGGUUUCAUAAAAUGUCAACUAGGGGAUGUCGUACCCUAUGAAGACGAAGAAGAAAAUUAGGAAAUGGUGUUUCCUAAGAUGUCAACUAAGGGAUGUCGUACCCUAUGAAGAUGAAGAAGAAAAUUAGGAAAUAGUGUUUCCUAAGAUCUCAACUAGGGAAUAUCGUACCUUAUGAAGACUUAAAGUAGAAAAUUAGAAAAUGGUGUUUCCUAAGAUGUCAACUGGGGAAUGUCAUACCCUAUGAAGAUGAAGAAGAAAAUUGGAAAAUGGUGUUUUCUAAGAUGUCAACUAGGGAAGGUCGUACCCUAUGAAGACUUAAAGUAAAAGAUACAAUUUUUUUUCCUAAGAUGUUAUCAGGAGAUGUUGUACCUGCUGAGGUAAAUGAGAUAUAUUUUUAUUUUUUUAAAAAAAAAAAUAUGCCCCAGUUUUGGAUACGAGGAACUUUGAAAUUCUUUUUGAUUUUUUUAUAUGAAAAAAUGCCCCAGUAUCAUACCUUUUAGGGAUAUAAAAAAAAUUUUACUCAGCGGGACCGACCCUAUCAUAGGAUUUCCUGCGGAUCUUGCGAAGCAAGAAUCAGGUUUAGCGUAAUUCACCAAAAAAAAUAUUUUUUUGAAAGUAUGUGCUUUGUAAAGAUCAGAAGAAUGAGAAGAAUGAAAAUAACUCAUUUCUUGACUUCAAUUGAUACCAAUAAUUAGCAUUAUGGCCGAAUUAUCUCUAAUUACUUUUGAGGAAAAAUUAAGAUCAACUUAGAAGUGAUUCCUAUAGUUUCAAAUGGUACCUCAAAUAUACUUAAGUUUCGACAAGGUCUGUUUAUCUGGCCUCAAUCAAAGGUUUAAAGUUCUUCUUAUCCUUAUGUUUCACGUUCCCUUACCAUAAAUAAAGUCCUAAUUCACUCAUAAUAAAAUAAUUUAGAUUUUAGGAUGUUCAAGAAACACACGCUCAGAAAGAUGUUCAAUGCAUGCACUGAGAUACCAUAAGCUUGGUCAUCAUGUAAGUAUCCACUAAUGUGAGAACACUUAGAGUAUGAUCUUGUAGGACUGGUUAUCGGCUUGUAAUAUAGGCUUGGGGAUUAUAGAAUGAUAUUUGGGAUGUAAGUGACUAACUCCUCAAUGAGCAUUGCACUGUUUUCGUGCUUUUGAUAUUUGUUGCAGUUUGACUCUCGAUCCUCUUUGUUCUACUUCUUUGCCCCUUGUUUUGUAUUUGCUUUGACUUUGUUUGAAUCUUGUACUGGAGCUUUUCCCUUUUUCUUUUUGAUAAAUGUAUUUUCUUAUUCUUUUUUUUUUUAUAAAGGUUCUCUAUCUUUAUUGGAGUUUUUUUUAAUGGGGUUUUUGCUCCUUCUUCUUUGAAGUCAUCUUUUGUUUUUGUUCUCCUGGGGCUAUAUAUUCUUUGCUUUUUUGACGCCUUUGAUCUUGAAUCUUCAUUCGUAACUUGUACGUAUUUAGUGAGCUCAAGGAGGUGAUCUAAAAGAGGGAUAAUACAUAUAAGUACUCGAAAGGGUAUAGGCUCAUAUAUGAUUAUCCAAGGAAAAUGUUUCAGGCUCAAAGGGAGAAAUGCUAGGGAUUAAUGUCAUUUGGUGGGCUAAGGAAUGCACAAUCGGAUCAAAGAAGGCCUACAAUCCUUUCCCAAACUAAGUGUGUCUCAAAAUUUCGCUUCAACAGGCAUUCAUGUCAAUUUCUAGAUCAACAGAGUGAUGCCAUUGAAUUUUUAAUCUAAAGCUCACCACACAAUACACAUGAAACAGUGAGGUAAGAAUUAUUUUAAACUUGACUUAGAGCAAGGAAAUUUUACAAAUGCAACUUUAGUAUAAUUAGAGAUACUAAAAGAAUCUAUAGUUCACAACUAAGUUGAUCCACUCUAUCAUGUCUUAUAACUUAACACUUUUUCGUGUUUUUAAAUAUGUUGGUACCAAUGAUUAAGUCAAGAUUUUUUACUUUUAAAUUUUUCACUACAAAAAAUGAAUCUAAUUGUGAAGAUUUAUUUGCAGGUUUAUUUUAACCCCUGCAAAAUUAUAUUAAAUGCGAGAAUUAAAAUAGUGCGGCUAAAAAUUAUAUAUUUACGGGAUUUUUUUAACCCCGCUAUCCGUCCUAAAACAUAGCGCCAAAUGAAAGAAUAUUUCUGCUCUUUUUUCCCCAAUAUCCCCUAAAACAUUCUCUCUCUCAUUUUAUACCCAGUAUCCCCAAAACAUUUCUCUCUCAUUUUUCCCCAAUUAGAGUUGAUAGGGUACUCUUGUUGGCCUUUGAUUAGACAGUGGGAGGUACGCCGGCACAGUUGAUAGGAACUCCGGCCAUUGCUACACAAGUUUCCGAUCGUCCAUUGCCUUCCCAGCUCCCAGGUAAUUGUUUUUAAAUGUUAGUGUUUGUUUCACUAGUGGCGCCGCCGUGCAAAUUCGUCGCCGGAAGGAUUUCCCGGUGAAGAUAUCCGACCCACUUGAAGAUUGGGUCAUUCAUUGCCCAAAUGAUUGUAUGUUGUACUGGGAAUAUUUUUGUUGAUUCUUGAACUUGAUAGUUAGUUAAGUUUAUCUACAUUGGGUUUUGCUAUUAAAGUUUCUGUUUUUAGUAUUUUCUUAUUUAGGAAAAUUUAUUUGAAGUGGUCUGAAUUGAAGCAGAAAUGGGGUUGAUUUCUGGGAUGCUUAUGGGGAUUAUCUGUGGGGUCGAUUUAAUGGCUGCUUUGAAACAUAUGAUGAGGUACAGGAGCAACAAGAGAAUUGCUAAGAUAUUGUUUUCAUAUUCCUGACUUUUAUGUCUUUGAAGUUUGCUAAGGUAUUUUUUUUCUUGAGCAAGGGUAUGUUGGAAACAUCCUCCCUAUCUCGGAGGUAGGGGUAAGGUAUGCGUACACUCUACCCAACAUUUUGGCAAACUAUUUGGGGUUGGCUAUUUGAAUACUUAGUUUCCUCUUUGUCUGGAUCAAUUUCAUUCCAAUACUUAAUAGUUUGCCUUGGAUUUGGGUAGAGGGGUAGUUAGGUAGUUGAGGAUUAUGUCGUUAAGUCUUUCAUGCUAGUAGUCUUAGUAUUACUCUUGGAGUUUUUUGUUAUUCCAUUUCUGUUACUAUUUACUGUUUCUAGUACUUCGAUUAUCCUUGUAUUUUGUUGUUGUGCCUGCUCCAUUUUAACCAUGUGUUGUCAUGCUUUCUGUAGCAUUUUGUUUUAGCUUCUUCACUCUUGUUGUUUCUUCUUCGAAACUGCUGUGUAUUAUUUUUACUUGAACCGAGGGUUUAUUGGAACCUCCCAAGCCUCCACUUGUGGGAUUACACUGGCCAUAUUGUUUUUUUACUCGAUAGUAUGCCUUUUAGGUCACAUUUUUAGGGUUCUUGUAACAUUAGCAUCUCUAAAUUUUCUGUCCAUUAAUGGACUUAUGGUAAAUAUCAACUCGAGAGCGAAAAUUUUUUCUUUGAGCUUCUCUUUGGCUAUUUAUAUUUUAUCAUCAAGGUGAAGUUUUUGUUGUCAGGUUAUUUCUAUUUGCACUAUAGUGUACUUCGUUGCGAUUUAUAAGUGAGGUAGUUAGUAUUUGUUACAACCCUUAUUUUUUUUACCAGAAGAGCAUGCAAAAGUUUAUGUUGGAAAGCACACUGAAAAUGGUGAUAAUUUGUGAUUCUGUUAGGCGACUAAGUUGAAGUUUCUAGUCGACUAACUGAUUCUAUCAAAUGUUGUUUCUCUUUUCCCUGUAGUGUACUUCGUUGCGAUUUUUGAAUGAGGUUGUUAGUAUUAGUUUAUGUUUUACUAGAUGAGCAUGCAGAAGUUUAUUUAGGAAAGAACACUGAAAAUGGUGAUAAUUUUGUGAUUCUGUUAGGCGACUAAGUUGAAUUUUCUACUAAUGAUAGGUUUGUUAGUGCAUUAUUCUGGAAGAUAUAUAGCUAUAUGUUUCAUAGUGAAUUGUUUGUUAAUUUAUGUUUUUGAUGUGAUAAGAGUGUUUCGCAGUUGCUGCCUAAGUGAUAGUACUAUUUGGUUACUUGAUGCUCGACUUUGCUCAGGUGAGGUGGUAGCAGAUAUAGCUCACUGUCAUACUUGUUAUAAGUAGCAAAAUAACUUGGCACUGCUGUUGCUUUUUAAUUCUAGUGCCAAAAUUUACAUCAUGCUCAUUAUCGUGCUUGCAAACAACACUCAAACUUCUGAUAUGCAUUCACAUUCUGAAGGACUUGUAUUCAUUUCCUCGUUAUGUUUUACAUCUUUUACAGGCAAUAGAUGUAAAAUUAAUGGGCUGCCUCAUGGGAUGAUCUAAAGAAAGUUUGUGGUAAUAACUUUCCUGAAUGGAUAUCAUUUCCCAUUUAUGAACAAGUUGAAUGGAUUUACUUAUCUCAGUUUUCCCCCUUUAUUGCAUUGAUGACUCGUGUUCUUUUGACACAGUUCAUUUUUUUCCUUUUUACUGCACUGACUUUUGUACUUGUGACACUUAGCUCAUACACUUUGUUAUGUGGUACUCAAGCUGCAUUGUUCACUGAAAUUUGAAUAACUUUUUAACAUCUUCUGAAAAAGAGCUCAAGAUUUAGUGCUGUUAUAUUUUCAGAUCAAAUUUUUUUUCUGUCUUUGAAAGAGAUGCUGAAGUUAAUCAAUGUAUGCAUAUUAUUGAACUGGCUCAAGUAAUUGAGUAAAACUUGACCUGUUGACCCCUUGGCUUCGUUAUGAUAGGAAUAAAGAGUCACAUAAUUCCUUCUUAAAACUUAUAGGCAACUUCUUCACUAUGCUCUAGUUACAACUAAUAUUUUUUUUCCUUGAGAAAUGAAGUCAGUGAAGAUCAGUUUUACUUCUGAAAUAAUUUUUUUUUUUUUUAAUGGAUUUUACUUUCAGAAUUUGUUGAAGUAGAAUCAAGAAUAAACUGAUGGAACACGAGACAAAAUUAAGUAGAUGAGUUGUUUUGUCUCGGGUGUUAAUGACUGGAAAAGUGUGUUGAUAAACAGUAAUAUCCAUCUCUUAUCAAUGUCAGUUGUGAAUCUUAGAGGCUACGCAUUUAUAAUGUUUCCACAAACUUUUUCUCCACGCAAUUUAAAGAAAUAAACCAAUAAUAGUGAUCAUAUCAAUGUUAAUUUGUCUCAGUUUUAUAUGUCAUGGGCGCAGGUCAAAUGGUUGAACGGACAAUUGAGCAAAUUGUGGCCGUUCAUAGCCGAAGUAAGCUUUUUACUCGUCUUUAGCUAUCCUGAGCAAUUUUCGCUUUGUAAACUAGUUCUAAUAUAACUCAGUAUAAUCACACUUUUUUGGCUUUGAUAACUGAUAAAUCCCUGAUGGUUGGUGGCGCACAGUUCGAAACUUAGUCGAAAAUGAAUCCAUAUUUUGCCUACGGCAGGGCUCGAAUCUGUGACGUGCACCUAACCCACAUAUCACUUGUUAGGUUCUUGCCACAAGACCAAAGCCCUCGGGGGAUAUAAUACCUUGCAACUGUGUGUAUUUAAAUUGAAUAUGUCAGUUUACUUAAUUGAUUCUGAAGUUUAAGUAAAAACAAAUUGAAAUAGAGGGAGUGUCUAUUAGUCAAUUUUAAUAUGUUGUAGAAGGUCGCGUGCCUUAUAUUUGAGUUAGUUAUCUUGAUUAUUAUGGACAAGUACUGUAGUUAUCUUUUAGGUGAUCUGUCUUGUUUUACGUCAGUUAAUCCCACUAUAGUUCUCCACCUUAUAUACAAUGAAAAUGUAACGAAUGAAUAUUUACUGGAGUAUUAAUGUGGUUGGCUGGGUGGAAACACUACUGCCCAAAUCUAUCACACCACGCCUUUGGCUGGGUGUGUAUAUUUUGUGUGGCAGAAGCGGAAUAAUAAGAGUGUCAUGCUAAGGAUGAUACAAGGAGAGUAAAACUACUAAAAAGGGAGAUAGGUAAUAUCAGUCUGUUGUCAAACACACAAAGAAAAUUGAGACCACCUGAACUAUUCAUUCCCCCCACUAUACAAACGAGACAUAAUAAAGAGAACUCAUUACAAAAAAAUGAGAAAUGUAAUAAGAGGCACACAGCUAUAGUUAAUAAGAACCAGAAGCUUAUGAAUCAAAUAGAAUGCUAAUAUCAAAGUUAAAAAGAAAAAAAAAAUAAAAGGUGCUAAACUAGUCAUUGUCACGUGCUGCCAGCACUCCGGGGGCACCAUUGGUUGAUUUGAAUUUUGAAAGGCCGUCUAGGUCCCGGAACAAUUUGUCUUGUGUCUUUGAGGGCUUUCCAGAUGGCGCAUACGAAGGAGUGGAAACUGGAUAAGAACCAUUGUCUGUCAUAGAAGCCCAUACAUUACUUGGGUUAGGAACUGAGUAUUUUGUCGUUGAGUGUUACCAUAACCACAGCUGGCCAUUUGGUUGACAUACAUUUGCUGGUUGUUGCACUUUCAUGCUCAUAAGUCAAAUAUUAACUAUUAAAUCUCAAAUGAUGUGAUCCAAAUAAACUGCUAUGAAUUAAUUUUACAUAUGAAUCGAAAAUCGGGUUUAAUAGGAAGAUUUUGAUGAUAUUGUCUGAAGAACAAGUUUUAUAUUUUGGUUAAACCCAAAUAUUGAUGGUGUUUUUAGUUGUACGCAGGUAUGAAUGUUUUAUAACAAGGACUGAAAGUUUAUCUAAUUGAUUUUUAUACUUUUGCAUUUUUUAUGUAGCAAAUUGAUAUGGCUAGUGGACUCCUUUCGCCUAUGAAUGCAAGGAGAUUAUGUGAUAAUAGUGAUCCUAAUGACAGUCGUUGAUUUCAUUGCAAAUUGUCGUGGAUAUUCAAUUAUGAUGAUGUAAUUGUGUGGUUGGAGCAAAUCUUAGAAUAUUGAAGGAUUUGUGUUUAAAUUUGAUUUUGGAGCUUGAAGAUACUAGUUAAUGUUGAAAAUUUGGAGUUUGAAGAUUCUAAUUUUGAAGUUUAAUGUUCAAUGUAUUUUUGAUAUGCUUGUCAAUUAUAAUGUGUAAUUAGUCAUGUUGUGUUAAUGAUAUACGAAUUGAAUAAAUAUUCAAUCGUCGGUUAUGCCUAAAGAAACAAUUAAAUUUAUAAUUUUGUUAUUGGAAAUUAAUGGGCCCCAUUAAAUUUAAAAAAUAAUAAUAGAAAAUAAAAAUUGCGGAGGUUUUAAACCGCUGCAAUAGUUAAAUAAAAAUUGCGGAGGUUUUAAAUCGCCGUAAAAUAACCGCUGCAAAUAAAUUAUGAUGGUUGAAAAAAAAAUUGCUGCAAAUUAUUUGUGAUAGACUCGUAUUGUGGGUAUUUUGGGAACCAUCGGAAUUGCAAUUUGCGGGGGUUUAAAAUCCUCGCAAACUUUUAAAUUAACCCCGCAAUUUGACCUAUUUUUUGUAUUGUUUAGAUGAGACCGAACCCAAAAGAAGAGUUGCCUACGUAUCUUGUUGAAACAAGAAUCAGGUUAGACGUAUUUUAGGGGCUUAAAAUAUGAAGCAAGAACUUUUUUUUCUUUUUGAAUUUUGAAUAGGGAGGAAAACCUUUCUUUCUUUUUUAUUAUUAUUUUUUUUUUGAAAUUUAAUAAGGAUAUUUUCUUGUAAUUUUGUAUAAGGAUUCCUUUUUUGAAGAAGACUAACAUCCUUUAUUUAUUUUAUUUUAUUUUUUUUUAAAAAAAAUUAAUAACUUGUUUUUCAAAUUUAAUGAGGAUCACUGAACCCAAGUAGGGCUGCCUACGUAUCUCAUUGAGAUGAGAAUCAAGUGUGCGUAGUUCGUUUAGAUUGGAAAAAACUUGAUAAUUUAGAAAACUAUGUUUUUUUCUCUUAUUUGUAAAAACAAACCUCACACCUCAUUUUGGUUUCUAUAAAGAGUAGGUUUUAGAAAGCAAUUUUCACUCUUUUCUUACGUUAAUGGAUUCUAAAGCCGACCAAUAUUUGAAAAAACCUAACAGUUAAUGCAACUAGUGGCAUAGAAAAUGAAUAGUCUUAAAAUAGGGUACUUUUAGACAUUCAAACCUUUGUCGAGCCUCCACUAAAUCAAAAUGCAUGUGAUGCAAAUAAAGAGGAUCCUAGUAAGGAUAAUCAUUGUCCGAGGAUUGUUCUGCUAGAUUUAACAUUCUGAUGGAAUAGAUGUCUAGAAUGAUUGUAAAACGAGAGGACAACUCAAUUCGGUCAGAGACAGCUUUACCGGUAGCAGGAUUUUCCAGCCUCACUGUUGGUCCUUCCCGCCCUAAACAUGGGUGACUACAGAAUCCUUCCCAGGAGCGUUGUCGCAUCUCUGGUAUCUCAAUCUCGGGAGCGUAUACCGCAUCUCCGAAUAUAAAGUAUCUCAAAAGACUCAGAUGAGUACGCGAGAGAAGAUAAUUUACAUUGCAAUUCAAAUAAUAUCAAAGCGAUAAACAAUUAGACACAUAGCACAUUUAGGCCAACAAUACAAUAUCAAAAAUUACAUAAAGCCAAACAAGUCAGUAUAAAAGCUCGAAUUCUGGUUAUCCCUAACAGAGUCACCAUCUGUCACACCCCUAUAUUUACCGCCCCAACCCGCUAAGGAGUUGGUAUUAGAGAAAAUGUGUUUUUCCAAUUAAAGUGACGGUUUGAAAAAGGAUUAUUUAUUUUACAGAGUCGCCACUUGGAAUUGAGUUUGGGUGUUCCAAUUCACCUUGUUGAAUUCCUUUUCAAAAGGAAAUAACUCUUUCUUUUUGUUCUGUGAUCUAGAAAUUCGAAUAAAGAGUUCUAUUGACCGAGGGGAAAGUAUGAGACACCCCUCGAAUCCCGUGGUUCUAGCACGGUUGCUUUAAUGACUUAUGUCUAGCUUAAAUUAAUCUCUUAGAUAUAUAAUAUUUGUUUGCCUAAAAGUUAUUUAUCGUCCGCUUUUAAUUUAUUUUAAAUUAUUUAAUUAUAUUAAUGUGUGGCUUGUCGGUAGCAGUACUUUCCGAUCAUGCCACGUGUUUGGAUAUAUUUCUCGCGCCUUUGAGGCUUUUAUGGAUAGUCCCAUUUUUUCAAGUCUAGAUAAGCACCUAACAGGUUUAGAAUCUAUCCAACCCGGUUCAAACGACUUCAAAUGGUAUAUUAAAUUUUAUUAUAACGAAUGGUUGGUAGCAGGGCUUUCCAACUUUAUCGCUAACUUUCUCUUAUAUGUUAACUCUUAAUUUCUUGAGGUUAAGAACCUAAAUCAUUCUUUUGUGAAUUGAAUAUCCUUUUAAUAAUGAAUUUGAAAAUAGUACUCGUCUCAUCUCGUUCGUUUUUUUAUACUAAUAAAUAGUAAUUAAUUAACCAUACAUGUUAAUUCUAAGCUAUGAUAACAUUAACGUAUAUCAACAAUUCAGUCAAAACUAAAAAUUACAGUAUCAAACAAGCAAACACUCAAUCAUAAAAUAUAGAAACGAUUUGACAAAAGUAUGAAAAUUACAAAUAAAAAAUAAGUGAAAGCGAUAUGAACCGAAAUUGGAAUUAUAUAGAUUAUUAUAUGGUGAAAAAAAUAAGAUGACAAACAUGAGUAAAUUUUUAGUCAAAAAAAAAAAAAUGUUCUGCAUGGGAUUUACACAUGAAAGUUUAUGAAUAUUUUUAACUCGUUCAUUGAAGGAAACAACAUCCAUAACUCAACUUUAAAUACAAUUCUAUACCAACUACUUGUCAGCUUGAAGAUAACUUGCUACCAUGCAAAUGAUUUUUGUCAGAAUCAUGCAACAAUUUUAAGCUCAAUAUAUGAACCCAUUUGGGCUCUACUUUAAAUCAAGGUUAAACUAAAAAAUACGUAGCAUAAAUAUUUGAAAAUUAUCUAGGCCAAACUCUUGUAUGCAUAAGGACCUUAAACAACAACUACACAGGUUGCUUGGAUUUGAAUCUAAAUCCAAUCUUACCCUAAUAUAUUAAUAACUCUAUCAGUAAAAAAAAAUUAACAAAUUAAACUAAUUCUACCACUUUUACUUUUAAACAAAACUAAUUGUCGCCAACAAUAACGUUAAAGGGAAAUAAACUUAAUUAUAAUCAUAAUACCAAUAUUCUGGGACUAUCAGCCUAAGUUUAUCAAAGUAAAUAAUUGAAAAAGGAGAAGAAGAAAUAACAAUAACUAAUUGACAACAAGAUUGAACAAGUGGGUUAGAUAGUAAUAUUUAAAUCAUUCAAAUAGAGAAGUGUAUAUUUGAAAUAAUCUAUCCAAAAAUUACUUUAGCCUCAAAGGACAUGAACAUACACAAGUAGCAGAAAAAUGAAAACAAGUAUAUUAUAUUAUAUAGGCAAUAUGUGAGAUUGAACUUCGGACCGAUUAUUCAUGAUAAAAUACAAACAUAAUUGAUCAACUGUAUGGACUAAAUAUGUGAAAUCAUUUAAACAACUUUGUUCAUGCUUUGAUACAAAAUAAAACUACAAAUAAAAGAACCGAAUAGGAACCUGAGGUAGAAUAACAGAUGUAGAAAGAAAAAUGCCUUCACCAAAAACUUGAACGGGGACCCACACUCAAACUCGCCACUUUCUUUCCGUGCUUUUCUAAUGGUUUUUCCUCUUCUGUUUCUAAGUUUUCUCUAACUUUGGUUCCUACUACUCUUUCUCUUCUUUCUAGUUUCUCUCUUUCUUUUGUUUUCAAAGUCUUUUUUCUUUGGUUUUCUCUCAUUUUUUUCUUUGCUUCUUGUUUUCAAUGUUGUCUCCCUUGUUGUCUGUUUUCUCAAGUGUUUUAUUCUCUUUUUGGUCUCUUAAGUUUUCUCCCUUUUUUUUUCUGUCUGUGUGUGGUGUAUUGUGUUAUAUAGCAGUGUCAUGUGUAAUAUAGUGUGUAUGUUUGGGAAGUUGAGGGAGAUAUGGGAGUGAAUGUGGGGAAGUAGUUGAGGAGAAUUAGGGAGUGGUUUAGGUUAGUGGGGAAAGGUUGGUUUUAUGGGGAUAUUGGGUAGUUUUAGGCUAGGAUUUUUUUUAUUUAUUAUUUUUUUUAGAAUCUUGUUUAAGUUAAACAAAAAAAUAAUAAGAAUAUUAUUUUGAACUGAUAAGGCAUACAAGAAAUUAAAUAGCUAGUCCUAAAAAAUAUGAUUGAGAAAAUAUUAAUAUCACUAGAUUAUUUAUUAAAAACUAAAUUAAAAGAAAUUUUUUUUUUUAGAAAAUGUCCUUUUUGAAAACUAAAAUAAAGAUAAAGACUUAUCCUAAAAUGUGAUUUCAUUUUAUUACUUUCCAAAACUUUAAAACAAACUUAGUAAAAAUAAGAUAAACUUAAAAUAUUUAAUUUAGACCCUAAAAAUAAAAUAUUUAAACACUAAAAUGGCGUUAAACCUUUAGUUUGGUAAAAAAAUUAGGUCUUUACAGGUUAUAAGCCUGGUGUUAAAGGUUAUAAGCUUUGGUGUCCAGAAAUUAGAAAGGUAUAAUUAGCAGGAAAGUUGUGUUUGAUGAAACUGCCAUGCUUCGGGCUCCCUCUGAAUCUAGUGCUUCACCUCCAGAUGAGCUUAGUGACAUGAAUCAGCAACAGUCAAGCACCCACUUUGAAUUGCAGAUUGGAGGAAAGUCUACAUAAAUGCCUGCUUUUCAGCCUAGUUCGGAGAUACAGAGUGGUACUACUUCUUCUUCACCACCAGUGAUGCCACAAUAUUCUAUUGCUAAAGACAGGCCUAGAAGAGAUAUUAGACCUCCUCAGAAGUAUGUUGAAGCUGAUUUGGUUGCUUAUUCAUUGAAUGUAGCAGAAGGUAUUGAUUCUGAUAAAGAUCUUUCUUCUUACUUAGAUGCAGUUAGUUGUGAUGAUUCUAACCGAUGGAUAAUUGCUAUGCAGGGGAAGAUGAGAUCGCUUCAUAAGAAUGACACAUGGGAUCUGGUAAGAUUGCCUAAAGAUAAAAAAGUUUUCCAUUGCAAGUUGGUAUUUAAAAAGAAAGAAAGAAUACUGGGAGUUGAAGAUUCUAGGUACAAAGAAAGACUAGUUGCUAAAGGUUAUAGUCAGGUUCCAAGUGUUGACUUCACAGAUGUAUUUUCUCCAGUUGUUAAGCAUAGCUCGAUUCGAGCCUUUCUUGGUAUUGUGGCCAUUCAUAUUCUCGAGCUUGAGCAGUUGGAUGUCAAAACUGUUUUCUUACAUGUAGAACUUGAGGAGGAAAUCCAUAUGCAGCAACCAGAGGGUUUUGUAGUCUCAGGAAAGAAGGACUAUAUAUAUUUGCUGAAAAAGUCUCUUUAUAGCUUAAAACAGUCCCCCUGGCAGUGCUAUAAGAAGUUUGACUCUUUUAUGACUUCUUAUAUAGUUCAGAGGAUUAGUUAUGAUAGCUGUGUCUAUUUCAAGGAGGUAAGUGAUGGUUCAUUUAUGUAUCUUCUCUUGUAUGUUAAUGAUAUAUUGAUUGCAACAAAGAAUAUAAGAGAGAUAAUAAAAUUCAAAGCCAAGCUCAGCAAUGAGUUUGAGAUGAAGGAUCUACGAGCAGCAAAGAAGAUCCUUGACAUGGAAAUUAUGAGGGAUAGAGAAAAGUGUAGGUUAUACUUGAGUAAAAAAAGGUAUAUUGAGACAAGUUCAAUAUGCAAGAUUCCAAACCUGUAAGUACUUCCUUGGUAGCUCACUUCAAACUCCCAGACACUUUAUCUCCAAAGACAGAUGGUGAGCGUGACUAUAUGUCUCGAGUUCCAUACUAUAGUUCUAUCGGGUCUCUUAUGUAUGCGAUGGUGUGUUCCCGACUAGAUUUAUCAUAUGCCAUUAGUGCAGUUAGCAGAUACAUGGAAAAUUCUGGCAAAGAACAUCGGAAAGAAGUUCAGUGGAUUUUCAGAUACUUGUAUGGAUUUGUUGAUGUUUAUUUACAAUUUGGGCGAAAUAGAGAUGGAGUAAUCGGGUAUGUUGAUUUUGAUUUUGUAAGAGACCAUGAUAAAAGGAGAUCCCUUACAGGCUAUGUUUUUACCAUUAGUGGUUAUGCUAUUAGUUGGAAAGCUACCUUACAAACUACGGUUGUUUUGUCAACUACCGAGGCGGAGUACAUGGCUAUUACAAAGGCGUUUAAGGAAGCUAUUUGGUUGAAGGGUCUGUUUGGUGAACUUAGAAAAGACUUACAGAUUACUACGGUCUUUUGUGACAGUCAGAGUGCAAUGUUCCUUACAAAAGAUCAGAUGUUUCACAAAAGGACAAAGCACAUCAAUGUUUGGUAUUAUUUUGUGCGUGAAAUUAUUGCUCGUAGUGAUAUUGCGGUGAGAAAUAUUAGUAAUUAUGAUAAUCCUGUUGAUAUGAUGAUCAAGACACUACCAAGUUCUAAGUUAGAGCAUUGCUUGGACUUGGUUAGUGUUAGCUGUUAAGAUGUGCCGUUAGGGGCUUUUAUGGAAGAGGUGGAGAGUUUGUCUUGAAAUGGAUUUGAGUUCUGAAUUAGAAUUCGUGUCAAGGUAGAGAUUGUUAGAGUGUGACCCAAAUUUUAUGAUCCGCCCCAAAAAGUUUUGCAGUGUGACCCAUGUUCGUGAUUUUCAAUGGGAUUAGUAAUGGUAUUGUAGGGAUUGGGCUGAUAGGCCCGAUCCCGGAGCCCAACACUGAUCCCGAUAGGGGUGCGGGGGCAAAGCCCCCAUGGUAUGGACCUUUAUGAUUUUGGGUCUAGGACUUAUUUGUAUGCAUGCAUUAUAUAAGUGCAAUUAGUGGGUCAUUUUUGAUUAUUUAGAAAUGUAAUACCCCGUACUUCUACCUAGCUUAAAUUCAUCCCGAAGAUGUCAAAGACAUGCUUUAAAGAUAGAUACACUUUUAUAUAUGUGAAAUUUUCAAGAUUUUCACUUUUUUUCAUGUGAAAAUUGAAUAAAAUUUUCGUCGAUACCUAAGUCGCCCAAAUCCAACACCCAGGCAAACAGUUAGAGCCAUUUUAUUAAGACAGUGUACCACCUGGUACUUUAGCAUGUUGCGAAGCCAGCCAAAAUGGCAUUUGUCAAAAAAUAAUGAGCCUCCGUGAUAUUGGAACGUUGCGCCAAGGCUCGAUUUUAGAAUUAUCAAUUUUCAGUGUUUCUCUGCGAUAGUGAUGCGUCGCACUGAAGGCCCAGUUCUUAAUUGUCCUUUUCCAGAGUUCUAACGCGAUACCACCGGGUUGCGGUGAGAUUCCAGGUCGCUUCUAAGGUGGCAACGCAAUUGUACCGCAUUGCGCCACAAUGCAAUUUUCUAGUUGUCACUUUCCAGAGAUACGACGCGAUAGCGCCGGGUAGCGCCAGGGGUCCAGAUCGAGAAAUUUUCACAAAAAUUAAAAGACGCGUCCAGGGUUAAUUAGGUCUUUUCCCAUGAUUUUAUUCCACCCAUAUUGGGAUUUAAGCCCUAAAAAUGUCCUUAGCUUCUUAUUAUUCACUUUCCCUCCAAUAUCAAGAACAUUUUCUCUCAAGAAAACAAAACCAUAGCCCUUGAGAAUCAAGGUCAAUCUCAAGAACUCCAUCCAAGAACCUUCAAGGUUUCCUUUCUCAGGUAUGCAUAGUGUUUAUUCAUGGAUUCCUUUUGCCCAUGAAGCCCAAGAAUCAAGUUUUAGACUAUGAAUUAUGAUAUUCAUGCUAUGUGUUGUUUAUGUUCAUGUGGUUGUUCUUGUUAUAUGAUUCUCAAGUUGGAAUCUUUAUGUGUUUCUAUGAAAACAUGUUAGCAUGUGAGUUGAAAACUAUGAAUUUUAGUUGGUUAUGAUAUGCUAAUUUGAUCAUGCACUCUAAGUGCUUGACAAAAUUCCUAACAGACUAGAAUCAUGUAAUAUGACUCAAUUGUUACUUAAGUGAAGGAUUCAUGUUUUACCCUUAUGUUCAAAUGACUCCCAUGCUAUUGAUGUGCAAUGUAGAUGUUUGUUGGAAUGCUCAUGAUGUUAGAGUAUGAAAUUAGGACAUUGAGUAUAUGCAUUCCUACCAUGUACAAGAUUAUGAUAACCAAUCCAGUAAUCUUAGUACUCAGAAAUCUCAGUAAUCUCAGUCAGUCAUCAUAUCUCAGUAGUAUUCAGUUCAGACCUUAGUAAACGUAAUCAGCUAGCAGAACUCAGUAGCAUUCUGUUAGCUAACAAAAUUCAGUAGUAUUCCAUCGGUCAACGGAAAUCCAGUGAACUCAAUUCAAUCUAGUUAAUCAGUAAAAUCAGUAACAGAUCAGUCCAAUCUAGUAUGAACUAGGAAAUCAGUUCUAUGUUUGUUCAAUUGGUAGUAGGAUUCAACACCGAGUGAACCCAGGGAUGAGGACACACACUGCCUGCCAGUAGAGGGUGUGAUCCUUAGUAGCAAUCCCUGCGUUCCAGAACUAUGUAGUCAGUGUAGGUGGAGAUAUAUCCCUACGAGUCUAGGGACUAUACAUCUCAUUUGAUUUUUCCUUACAAGAGGGGUAGACGGAAGAGCUCCCUAUCAGAGAGGGUUUACUCACAGCUUGUCUUUACCCAUGGCACGAUACUGACACCCUUCCAGCUGGGGUUACAGGUUGGACCCCAUUAGUUCAGAUUUGGGGGCAUGUCGAUUAGAUAAUUACCUCCCACAGUUUCAAUUUUAGAUUCAGUCUUCAUAAUAGAACUCAGUUCAGUUCUAUAGAAAUCAGGACUGUCGGACACAGUCACUCAGCUUAGUAUGAAACUCAGCUAGUUCCAUCAGAAAUCAGGACUGUCAGAUACAGUCAUCCAACUUUGUAUAGCACUUAGAUCAGCUAUUUAUAAUUAGUAUUGUCAGAAAGAGUCUUUUAGUUAUUAGUUACUAGUAAACUCAAAUAUCAAUAAAUCCAUAUGGUCAGUAGAUUCAGUAGUCAUAACUCAGUAUUCAGUCCUAUCACGACCUCAGUUACAGUUACGUAUUCAUGCAUGUAUUCUCACGUUCAUGUAUACAGUCAGUUAGUAUUGUUCAUGCAUAUGAACCCUUUGCAUUCAGUCUACCUCACUUAUAUACCAGUAUAUUCAAUCAUACUGACAUAUUUGCACUAUGGUGUUUUAUACCAUAGGUUUUGAAGCAUGAGCUCCCGAGCAUCCUUAGUAGAUCAGACAUCAGCAACCAGAUUAGCAGUGAGUCCUCAUCAUUCGAGGAUAGCAUAAUUAUUUUAUUACUUUAUUAAUAGUAGUUCAGAGUUAGUUGGGGACAUGUCCCAUCAACUCCAUAGAUUUCAAACAGUUUAAAGGCUUUCAGACUACAACAUGUUUCAAACAGUUUAUUUUAGUUUUGGGUAUUGUUAUACCCCAUUACAGACAUCGUUUUAUAUGCAGUAUUAGUUCAGUUUUGAACCUUAUGGCCUUACAGUUUAUAUUCCGCUUAUUAUAGUAUAUUAUUCAGUACUCAGUUACAAAUAUCAGUCAUGGGUUAGCUUGUGGUCCUUCGGGGUCAUGAGCACCGUGUAAUGUUCUGAGUACCAGAUUUUGGGAGUUACAAGAAAUUACGUCGCUCCACAUUGUACUCCUCUCAUUUCAUAGUGAAACCUCCUCUGCCUCUGCCCAGGGUUUUCCCCACAAGGGUUUUUACAUAAAUCUGUGUGUUCUUGUUUUCUUUCAGAUUAUGGUUUGCUUAAAUUUUUUCUCAAUUUCUAACAAAAACUUCAAAAUUGGGUAUGCUCUAUACUAGUCCUCUUGAUUCAUCAAUUAUACUAGCCAUCUCUUAUCUUUGCCUCUCAUACAUUGCUGAAGCUUCUUCCCCAUUUUCAAGAAACAUUCCAACUUAAUCCUUCUGCACACGCUGGUGGGAUGAGCCACCUUGUAAUUCCAUAAAGCAUCAUUUCGAGCCAUCAAAAUAUUAUAGAUCAACAUAGCUGACACCAUCCAUAAUAAAGCUCUACUCAUUCUGCCUCCAGCUCGUUUGGCAAUGUGAGUCCACCAUCCUUGUAAUUCCUGAUUCCUGAGUUUAAUAUUUAGCCAUAAACAGAGUUCCUCCACACAUUUACUUGGAAAAGCACACUGGCCGAACAUGUGUGCUAUUGUCUCUAGUUUCUCACCACAUAAAAAAACAUUUAUCUUCAUCUUCUAGUCUCAAUCUCUUCAACCUUGUUUUGUUCAGCAGUGUUUUAUGUACAACUAGCCAUCUAAAUUAUUUCUUUGGUAUGUUAGAAUUACACCACACACAUCCCACUCUGGUUAUUGAGGCUUCAUACCUCUUCUCCAAUAGUAACCAUUUUGGACAAUAUAUUUCCCCUGUGGUGUGAGCCAAUCAUCAUGUAUGUAUCCUACACCAAACUUCUGCUUUAAUCCACAUAUUUGUCUCCAAUACCAACAUGAAUCAGAUGGAGCUUCAUAUUUCCACCAACCCUUGUCUUUAACGUAGAUGUGGUUUACCUAUUUAACCUAUAACGUAUCAGCUUUACUUGAUAUAUGCCAUAUAUACUUGGCUACUGCUGCAUCAUAAUAUCUAACAUAAUCCACAACUCCACGACACCCUUCCUUCUUUAUUUGAAACCUCAAAUCCAUGCAAUCAGUUGGGAUUUAUUAGUGUGUACCUUACCUAUCCAAAGAAAGCUCCUACACCGCAGUUAAUUGUUUUAUCAUUUGUCUAGGGAAUAUGAACAUAGAGGUCCAGUAAGAUUGUAUAUGCAUCAGCACAUAAUUUACUAAUUGUUUUCUUCCUACAUAAUAUAGAUAUUUUGACCUUUAUGUUUGAAUCCUUCUUCCCAUUGUUUGAAUCCUUCUUCCCAUACUAUCAAGAAGCAUCUCAAAAUAUGCACUAGCCAAUUUUCUUAAAGAGAUUGGGACUCUCAGGUACUUAAACGACAGUUUCCCUAGUGUAUACCCUGUCACCUCACACAAGUCACUUAGAUCUUGUUGAUCAAUAUUUCUUGAGUAAAUAUUCGACUUUGCAACAUUUGUUGUAAGUUAAGAAGCCAAUGAGAAAGUUUUUACGCCUUUGAGCAUCAACACUACUGUCAGUACCACACCUUUACUAAAGAUUAACAUAUUAUCAGCAAAGCAUAGGUGGUGAGAUUGGGUUACCUUGUCUCACCCCCCUUUUCCAUACUAUAUUGCCAUAUGUUCCACCAUUGAUUAUUAUAGUGUGUAGACUGGUGUGGUCUCAGAAGCCAUGGCCCAUCUUAUAAAAUUCCGUGUAAAAUUUAACCCAUGAAGCAUUUCUUCCGCAAUACCCAUUGAACUAAGUCAUAUGUUGUAACACCCGGGCCUUUUCGAUACUUAUAAAGUGGAUGAAAUGAGCGUGUAAGACCUAAUAUUGAAGAUAAAUUACCUAAUAUUGAGUUUGAAGGGGUUUGGGACAUUUUUAGGCUUAGAAAAGACCUGUACAUUGCGAAAUAGGCACCCAUUGCGAUAGGCUACUGCCUCGGGUUUGCAGUGGGGGUCACCUCACGAAACCUGUGGUUCUCUAUGCGGUCUCCCCAUAAACCUUAGGGUUCACGAUGGGGGUUGCUCCAUGAACCCCCUAUGUUUUCAUCAAUAAUUCUCUAUUUUUGUUAUAUUUUAAGGGCAUUAUGGUCUUUUCACACUCUUAAGUCAUUACCAAUCCCUUAUGUACUAUUUUAGGGUCUUAAAAAUGUAUUUAUACCUCAGUAAUUCCCUAAUCAUCAUUCUAAUAGAAAGAGAGGAGAAAACUACCUAGGGUUUGAGAAUUCUAAGCUCCAAGGGUAAAUUUAUACUACAUUCUCUCCAUUUGAAGAUAUGGAGAACUAUCUUAACUCUAAUGGGCGCAUGUAUAAUGUUUUUAAUGAUCCCUAUAUUGUAUAUGUAUAUGUGAAUGCUUUUAAACUGAUUAGAAAUCAUGAAUAACGAAACCCCUUUUUAUGAUGAACUUAUGUAUUUACUAUGGUGUUUUCCUUAAACUUGAGAUUUCAUUAAUGUGCAUAUGUUAUUGCUUUGAAGAUUUUGAGACAUGAAUGCCCGUUCUAUGAUAAAAAUUAUGUAUUUAUAAAUUGUUGUGGAUUCUCAAAUAAAUGCAAAAUAUGUACAUGUAUUAUGAAUUUUAAAGUGGAUUUGAGAGCAUAAACUGUAGUCCCCAUUUUCGAUCUUAAGAUUCAUUGUGACUGUGUUGGGGAUGUUUUCAUGAAUGAUGAUAAUUCUUGAGUUUUAAAUGCCUUUUUAACUAUUAUGCAUUGUUAUUUUGCAUGUGUUUGAAGGGGUGUUUCUCAUGCUAAAUGCUCUUGUGUCCUAAUGAAGAAAUGCAUGUGAUUAAUGAAAGGUUGGCUACCAUAUGUUAAAGUCUUAAAAAGAAAGUGUUUUACAUGAAUUUCAUAUGCUUUUUGAAAUGAGUACUCUCAUGUGAUAUUUAAAUCUUUUGGUAGGCAUUAAUAUAUUUUUGAAUGAGAAGGGCUAUGGACAUGAUAUGUUAUGAUAUAAUAUGACUUGUAAAUAUAGGUAUGACGAUACCUAUUAUGGAAUUCCCUUAACAAGAAAGAAGUAAACAUCUUAAGCAAGGAACAUAAUUAUUAAAGGACUAAAAUUAGGCUUAAAGAGAGCUAAAUGGUACCUGAACAAAGUAUGAGCGCAAAGGCUCAUUGUUGGAAAUUGUGUUUUGUCAAUGAGGGAUUAAUGAUAUGUUAUCCUACAUGGGAGGAUAAUUAGGACAUCUCACAUGGGGGGUGCCUACGAUAUGCUCAUAUGGGGGGUAUAUCAAAAACUCUAAUUUUUGUGGUAAACUUUGAUUGGAGGCUUGGCUGUCAAGUCAAUGAAGGACCCAUAUAGCCCACGGAUAAUUAGAAUAUUAGGGUGGAUCAUCUAGCUCAGAAUUAAAGUAAAGAGUUGAGUCUAUGUUUUACGAGGUUGGUUGAAGCUUUUAUGUAUGCCCAUGUACUUUGAUUUCUAUUAUGUUAAAUUGUUUUCAUAAUUCUCUUGUCUAUUUUAUACGAAAUAUAUAUUAUUUUUGGAUUGUUCUACACACCAAACAUUCCAGGUAUUGACCAUCCUCAUAGUGGUUGCAUUAUCUCAUAAUGUAGGUUCUGAUACACAGUCGCGCGGUCCAACUCAACAGUAGAUUACUUUCUGAAAUUCACAGGUAAGCCUCCCUUACUUAAGAAGGUGUUUUAUCCAUAUGUUAUUUUCAUUCAGUUUCAUGGUCCAGCCAUGGCCUUGUCCUGGCUUUGACAGACUUGUGUUUCAUUAAAGGCUUUGUAGAUUGGUUUAGACUGGUUGGGUUUAUGUUUAGAUGAUAUGAUGUAUUUAUGUUUGAUUAUGAUACUUUUAGUACUCUCAUGUGAUAUUUAAAUCUUUUGGUAGGCAUUAAUAUAUUUUUGAAUGAGAAGGGCUAUGGACAUGAUAUGUUAUGAUAUAAUAUGACUUGUAAAUAUAGGUAUGACGAUACCUAUUAUGGAAUUCCCUUAACAAGAAAGAAGUAAACAUCUUAAGCAAGGAACAUAAUUAUUAAAGGACUAAAAUUAGGCUUAAAGAGAGCUAAAUGGUACCUGAACAAAGUAUGAGCGCAAAGGCUCAUUGUUGGAAAUUGUGUUUUGUCAAUGAGGGAUUAAUGAUAUGUUAUCCUACAUGGGAGGAUAAUUAGGACAUCUCACAUGGGGGGUGCCUACGAUAUGCUCAUAUGGGGGGUAUAUCAAAAACUCUAAUUUUUGUGGUAAACUUUGAUUGGAGGCUUGGCUGUCAAGUCAAUGAAGGACCCAUAUAGCCCACGGAUAAUUAGAAUAUUAGGGUGGAUCAUCUAGCUCAGAAUUAAAGUAAAGAGUUGAGUCUAUGUUUUACGAGGUUGGUUGAAGCUUUUAUGUAUGCCCAUGUACUUUGAUUUCUAUUAUGUUAAAUUGUUUUCAUAAUUCUCUUGUCUAUUUUAUACGAAAUAUAUAUUAUUUUUGGAUUGUUCUACACACCAAACAUUCCAGGUAUUGACCAUCCUCAUAGUGGUUGCAUUAUCUCAUAAUGUAGGUUCUGAUACACAGUCGCGCGGUCCAACUCAACAGUAGAUUACUUUCUGAAAUUCACAGGUAAGCCUCCCUUACUUAAGAAGGUGUUUUAUCCAUAUGUUAUUUUCAUUCAGUUUCAUGGUCCAGCCAUGGCCUUGUCCUGGCUUUGACAGACUUGUGUUUCAUUAAAGGCUUUGUAGAUUGGUUUAGACUGGUUGGGUUUAUGUUUAGAUGAUAUGAUGUAUUUAUGUUUGAUUAUGAUACUUUUCAUGCUUCUGUUUAUAUUCCGUAAUUCUAUUUCAUAUGAAUAAUACUUAUGAUAAUAUGAUAAGGGGUUUCUCAAGCCUUCAUGUUUUGGAUGCCCAUCACGGCUAGGGCUCCAGCUCGGGCCAUGAUAAACUUAGUAUUAGUGCUUGGUUUAGGUUCUUAGGGUGUCCGCAAAAUUGUGUUGAGUAUUUUUCUUUUUAUGAGUAUGUAGCGCGCCAUACUUACAAGGAAGAAGAUAUGAGGCACUUUGGAAUAUUUCCCUUUUCUUCAUGUUCUAGUUUGUGUUAUGGAGUUUGAAUGUAUCCUAACAAAUGAAUUUUCUCAUCUCAUAUCAUGCCUCCCCAUAGAUCCAACGAUCAAAACCCCUCAGCCGAACACUCUAUUCCUAUUGGGAUAAAUGUUGAGGAGGUCUGCCCUACUCAUGGGAUACAGACCCAGUAUAGAGAUUGUACUCAAGAAUUUACUACUCCUAUAGGGGUUCCACUAGUUCAUACUAGCCCUCCUAGAGCUCCUCCAAUCAGUAUCAACCAUACCCAGUAUCCAAAGAGAGGUCUCUAAUGUUGAGUUCAAUCAGUCCAUCCAUAUGCUUGAUCAUCUUGUGACUUCGCAGUCUUAUUGGUCUGGAAAUGUGAGUUGUGUAUCCAAAGAGAGAGGUAUCGAAUACUGAGUCCAUCAGUCCAUCCAUAUGCUUGCUCAUCUUGUGGCUUCAUAGUCUCAUUGGUCUGGAAAUGUGAGCUAUGUUCCUAGUCCUUCUGAAAUCACUCGGGUUGGUUAGUUCAUAAGGCUGAACCCACCUUUAUGGGUACCAAGGUUGAGAAAGAUCCUCAAAGGUUUGUAGAUGAGAUGAAGAAUAUAUUUAGAGUCAUGAAUGCCAGUGCUACUAAGGGAUAGAUUUUAUGACUUAUCAGCUGAAAAAUGUGGCUUACUAGUGGUACGAUAAGUGAGAAGAAUUGAGAGUUGAGGAUAUGGAACCUGCAGUAUAGGAAGAGUUUUUGAGUGUUUUUCUAGAUUAGUUCUUUCCCCAUGAAAUGAGGAAAGCUAAGGUUGAGGAAUUUAUUAAUCUGAAGCAGGGAAGGAUGAGUGUCAAAGAAUAUGCAUUAAAAUUCACUCAACUAUCCUGUUAUGCUCCAGAGUUGGUGUGCAACAUGAGAGCUCAUAUAAGGAAGUUCACAUUAGAUCUUCCAAAUGAUUUGGUGUUAGAAUGUAAGGGGUUAGUACUAAAUAAUGAUAUAGAUAUCUCUCGGUUAGUAGUUUUUAUGCAAUAGGUGGAAGAGGAGAAGAAAAAGCCGACAGAAAUAAGGAGAGGCAGGCCAAGAAAGCUAGGUCGGUGGAUCACGAGGUUAGUUAGCAACAGGGUAGAAAAUGGGGCAGGCAGUGGUCCAAGAGGAAAUUUUGAGAAAAUAAUCAGUCAUCAGCUAGUGCGCCUACACGUCGAUCUUCUUGUGAGCAGAGGUUCCAUCUUAAUGGCGGGUUAUAAAGUUAGCAAACUCAGUCUCAAGGGAGUGUGACUCAACCCUCUAGAUCCCAUCCUCAUUGUAACAAUUAUGGAAGAAAUUACCCAGUAAGGUACUAUUUUAGUGAGAAAGUGUGCUAUACUUGUGGUCAGCCUAUCCAUAUUUAGAGAUAUAUCCCCUCAGGGAGGGGGAUAUUUGGGGGAAAUAAGGGCUCAACUGCUACAUCUUCUACCCCAUCUAUUAAGGGGAAUGCUCCUGGAGCAGGCAGGAGUUAUAACUGUUUGUUUUCCCUAUCUACUCACUAGGAUUCAGAGGCUUCACUAGAUGUUAUUAAGGGUACGUUACAGAUCUUCUCUCGUGAUGUCAAUGUGUUGAUUAAUACCGAGUUUAAUCUAUCUUGUGUGACUCCUUAUGUGGCAAUGAAUUUUGGUUUUGAACCCAAAAAUAUUUUUGCAUCCUUCUUUGUCUCCACUCCUGUUGGUGACUCUAUUAUUACUAAAAGAGUUUAGAGAAAUUUUAUAGUGUCUGCUUUACAUCAAGAUACUAAGGUAGACUUGGAAGAACUCCAUAUGGUAUAUUUUGAUAUAAUUCUAAGGAUGGAUUGACUCCAUUCAUGUUAUGCUACAUUAGAUUGUAGGACCAGAAAGGUCACCUUCCUUUCCAUAAUGAGCUAGUUAUAGGAUAGGAAGGGCAUUCUCUUGCACCAAGAGGGAAAUUUAUAUCUUAUCUUAGGGCCCAUAAGAUUAUAUCCAAAGGUUGUUAGUACCAUCUUUUUCUGAUCAAAGAUUCUAGCACUGAAAAUGUUUCCCUCCAGUCUUUUUCCAGUAGUUAAUGAAUUCCCAAAACUCUUUCAUGGUGACCUCCCUGGGAUACCUCUAGAAAGGGAGAUAGAUUUUGGUAUUGACUUAUUACCAGACACUCAGCCUAUCUCCAUUCCUUCGUAUAGGAUGGCUCUUGUAUAAUUGAAAGAAUUGAAAGAGCAGUUGAAAGAUAUUCUCGAUAAAGGUCUCAUUCAUCCGAGUGUCUCUCCCUAGGGUGCUCCUAUACUCUUAGUAUGUAAGAAAGAUGGCUUCCUCUGUAUGUGUAUAAAUUACCAUCAGUCGAAUAAAGUCAUAGUUAAGAAUAAGUACCCUCUUCCCAAAAUUGAUAAUCUUUUUGACCAACUUCAGGGUGCUAGAUGUUUCUCUAAGAUUGACCUUCAUUCAAGUUACCAUCGGUUGAAGGUUUGGGAGGCGGACAUUCCUAAAACCAUUUUUCAAACCCGAUAUAGUUAUUAUGAAUUCUUGGUCCUGUCCUUUGGAGUGAAAAAUGCUCCUGCAACACUUUUAGACCUCAUGAAUACGGUGUUCCGGCAGUUUUUAGACCUAUUAGUCAUAGUUUUCAUUGAUGAUAUUUUUAUUUACUCUAAGAGUGAGGAAGAUAAUGUCAAUCACCUCGCAUCAUCCUUCAGGCCCUUAAGGACCAUGAGUUGUAUGCCAAAUUCUCUAAAUGUGAGUUCUGGAUCAGUACAAUAGCUUUUUUGGGGCAUAUUAUUUCUACUGGGGGAAUUAAGGUCAAUCCCUAGAGGUUGAGGCAGUAAGGAAAUGGACCAGAACCACGACUCCAAUCAAUAUUCGGAGCUUCUUGGGUUUGGAAGUAUAUUAUAGGAGGUUUGUAGAGAGUUUUCAUCUAUAGCCGUCCCGAUUACUAGGUUAACUCAGAAGAAGGUAAAAUUUUUAUGGUCUGGCGCUUGUGAGAAUAGUUUUGAGAGAUUGAAAGACAAGCCGAAUACUGCUCUUGUUUUGACCCUUCUAGAGGGUACGGAGGGUUUUGUUGUUUGUUGUGAUGUGUCCCGAGUGGGAAUUGGUGUAUACUUAUGAAACAUGGUAAGGUGGUGGCCUUUGCAUCAAGGUAAUUGAAAGUCCAUGAGAAAAACUAUCCCACCUAUGAUCUAGAAUUGGCGGCUUUGGUUUGUGCACUUAAAAUUUAGCGUCAUUAUCUUUAUGAGGUGCAUGUAUACAUAUUUACUGAUCUUAAGAGUUUAUAGUAAGUGUUCACCCAGAAGGAGUUGAAUCUUAGGCAGAGGCAGUUGCGUGAAUUGUAGAAAAAUUAUGACAUGAGCCUACACUAUCAUCCAUGUAAAGCUAACGUGGUUGUUGAUGCUCUUAGAAGGUUAUCCAUGGGUAGGACUUCUCAUGUUAAGUAAGAGGAAUAGAAUUUGUUUAAGGAAAUUCAUCAACCUACUAAUUUGGGAGUUCAACUCCUAGACUCCGAGGAUGGAGGGUUAUUUUCCAAGAGAUAACCAAAUUAUCCCUUUGUGCCGAAGUUAAGGAAAAGCAAGCCAUACAUCCCAUAUUGAUGCAGAUUAAGGAAGAUGUUGGUCAGAAAAGGUUAUGGCAUUUGAAAUUGGAGGAUAUGAUAUUUUGAGAUACCAAGGUAGGUUGUGUGUAUCGAAUUUUGAUAGGUUACUAUCACGAUCCGAACCCUGGCCUGGCCAUGAUGGGUAUCUCAAGCCCACCAUGAGACGGAGAUACUUCUCAAAACUUACCUCAACAGCACAAUAAUAAUAUUGAACAAUGGAACACAACCAAGAUACAUAUAUAUAAUAAGGAUAGAUAGAUAAACAAUAUGAAAACGAAGAGCCAAAACGGCAUCCAACCCAUACUUGUCCAUAAAAGCCUUUAAACUAGAAUAUCAAACUAAGACGGUACAUGCCCCUGACCAUGACCAAAAGAAUCCAAAAUGUAAUGCUAAACAAUACUUGGAACAAUAAAAAAAACCAGUGAAAUGAUAGGGCCUUUCGAAAGAUAGGGUCUUACCACUUCACAGCAGAUCCACAGUAUUACUAAAUCACCUAAUGCUGUACUGGAGAAACAGAACACCUUAUGGACCCUACAUCAUGAAAUGAUGUAGAGUCUAGGUACAGUCAGUGGUAUAAGCACUGUCAUGUAACUCAAGAAAAGUGAUAAAAUAAUGCCAAUUCCAUAAAAUAUUCAAAAAUAUAUGCAUUAGAAUUAUAUACAUAUAUAGGAUGCUGGGAUAGGGACAGGGGUCAUGAACACGAGAGUUUAAACCAUUAACCUGAACUCUGGCGCUCGCUCUGUCCUAAAGGCCCCCAUGGUCUACAUAGGUUCAGUUCUCCAUGCUAAAAGGGCCCAGUGUGUGUUAGACGCACAAACCAAGGAGUUUGAAGGAAGGGAUAAAUACACCAAGGCUCUAGCCAUUCCAAAAUAAAAUGUGUGAACCAAGCACAUGUCUAUAUGGACCCUCAUGCCGUCAAACGUGGUUUUCGAUAUUGGUCUCCCCGGGACUACAUCUUUAUAGAGAGCUAAAGAAUUUUCUUUAAGCCCAAAUUAAAAUUGUUUACACAUAAUCCUAGUCAUUAAUCGAGGAGUUUUAUAUUAAGUCAUUUAACACUUGGUAUUAGCAACCAUUAUUCUUGCAAGAUUAUGUAAGUAUGCCAAUCCAAUCCAUGUAACCAUUAGACUCCCAAGUUCCACUUAAAAUCCAAAACAAUGGCCACCAAGGGCCUUUCAAAUCCGUUUUAACCAAUUUUCCAUUUAUGCAAUGCAAUGGGUUCAACAAUAGGUUUAACCAUGCAAUUAUACAUAUUUAAAACCAAGUUUACAAUGUGGGUUGAGGUUAAUUCCUUUACCAAAUUAAAAAGUUAUCAAUUUGGGGAAACCCAUGUUCCCCAUUCCAAUUCCCAUGACAAUACAUCCAUUCAGAUGAAAAACUAUAAAUUUAUAGCAUAAAUCAUCAAUUUAAAACAUGAAAAAAGUAAUUCAAGUGAUAGUAAUCCAAAACCCCUCAACCCAAUUUCAAAUUCAUCAAUUUAAACCAUAUGAAUAAUGAGUAAAUAAAUGCCAUAUUGAAAAAUUAAUGUUUGGGAAUGAGAUACAUACUUGAAAUACACAAGUAAUUGAAGAAAAUUUAAAGUUUGGAGCUCGGAUGAUGAAUUAACUAUAAAACCAUUGAAUGUUCUUAGGUUUUGCAUUUGAGAGAGAAAGAGAAUGAUUUGAUCUUUCAAAACUGAAGGGAAUGGGUUAUUUUAUGUUUAAAGGUCAUAUAAGCGUUAAAAAAAAACCAAAAGUCCCUCACCCCAAGUGUAUAAAACAAAAACUAGGAAAAAUUAAAACAUCAACGUGGCACGACAAUACCACGAAGGGUAGCCUCUAUGCCAUGCCAAUAUUGCGGUGGCUAACCUCCAUGGCACGAUAAUAUUAUUGACCCUUACUGCCUCGAGGUCCCAAAAUGACCCCGAACCCCUUUCAAAAAUUCUUGAAACUUUCUCAAAUUAACCUUUUAACAUUUCUAAACAUAAUUCAAGUAAAAAAUUGACAUUACAAAUAUAGGUGGGUCAAAAAUAAAAUAAUCAAAAUUUUACGGGGUCUUACAUUAUUUACCCCUAGGAUAAUUCAUCCCUGAAUGAUCAUCUAAGACAUUUUUAGCAUAAGAAUAGCAAAAAUACACCAAAGUUAAAUGACAAACUCAGAAAGGGAACAAAAUUCAUACCUCAAGCACUUUCAUCUAACACAAGGAAACAAGAACGGGUACUUGGACUUCAUAUCUUCCUCAGUUUCUCAUAUAGCUUCUUUCACCUUUUAAUUUCUCCAAAGAACUUUUGCUAAAGCUACACCCUUAGUCCUUAAUCUACGAACUUGUCUAUCCAAUAUUUCAAUUAUUACUUUCUUAUAAGACAAUGAAUCUGUGAUACCAACAUCCUCAAUAGGCACUAUCAAAGAAGAAUCACCCACACACUUUUUCAGCAUAGACACAGGAAAAACAGGAUGAAUAGAGGCCAAACUCGCAAGUAAAUCUAAUUCAUAAGAGACAUUACCAACUUUUCUUACAAUCUGGUACGGACUAACAUAAUGAAGACUAAGAUUCCCCUUUUUACCAAACCUCAUUACUCCCUUCAUAGGAGAAACCUUCAAGAACACUAAAUCACUAACCUCUAACUCUAACUCUCUUCGCCUUAAAUUUGCUUAAAACUUUUGGCGACUUUAAGUAGUAUUUAAUAUUUCUCUAAUCACUUUCACCUUUUAUAUGACUUGGACCAAGUGAGGACCAAACAGCCUAGUCUCACAUACCUCAAACCACCCAAUAGGAUACCUAUACCUUUAACUAUAAAGAGCCACAAAGGGAGCCAUUUGAAUGCUAGAAUAAUAACUAUUAUUGUAAGAAAACUCAAUGAGAGGAAAAUGAUUAACACAAAUUUCUUUAAAAUCAAUCACACAGGCACUUAGCAUAUCCGCCAAAGUCUAAAUAGUCCAUUCCACUUGUCUAUCUAUUUGAGGAUGGAAAGCGGAGCUAAGGUUCUCUUUAGUACCUAAACCUUUCUGAAAUAGAUGCCAUAAAUAAGAAGAACAAUGUGUAUGUUGGUUUAAAAUAAUGGACACGGGUGCACAAUGCAACUUUAUUAUAUCCUAUAUCUCUAUACAUGCCACCAGGACUCAAAUAUUCAACCUUGACUUGCUAAAAAACCAUACACUUAGUCACAAAGUUUGCCACACCCCUCUUCAUAUUAUUCCACCAAUAGAUUUCCUUCAAGUCAUGAUAUGUUUUAGUUAAAACCGAAUGCACUGUGCACCUAGACUCAUGAGCCUUAGUCAAAAUUCUUUCACGUAGUCCAUAAACAUGUAGAAGACACAACUUCCCUUGAUACUUUAAGAUGCCAUUGUAACACCUCACAUUUUUUAGCUAGAAACCAAACCAUCGUUCCUACGUGUGUAAGCUAUAAUUCUAUGUUUUUUUAUUUAAAUUCAUGUGUCAUGAUCUUUAUCCUAGUAUAUGUAGUGAUUAUGAGGUGAAAAUUAUUCAUAUAAAUAGCCUAAAGCAAAGUUGAGCUAAGAACCAUUUAUUCAUCAAAAAUUGGAUAUUCGAUUCUACAAGGGUCUACUUUGAACUUGUAUAACUUUUUAUAUAUGUGAAAUUUUUGUAUCUCAAGAUCCACCAAAUUGUAGAUAAUUGAAUUAGCUUUCAAAUGACACCAAUUUCACCUAAAUUUGAUAAUCGAGUGAAAAGUUAUGCCAUUUUUGUGUGAGGCAGUAAGGGGUCGCGAUAGCACCACGACGCGAGGGAUACUUGACCCAACUAGGGAUCGCGAUGUGGGGGAUAUUCCCCCUAUAGUUUUAGCUUCUUAAGGGUUAAUGGUCACUUUAGUCCUUUCCCCUCAACCCCAAAGGACAAUUUAUAUCACUCAAAAGGGCAAUAUUUGCCCCUCUUCUUCAAUAUCAACUCACCAAAAAUACUCCCUUUUCCCAAGAACGAGAUCCAAAAUUCUUUUUCCUUAAAGAUCAAGAACUUAUCCCCAAGAUCAAGAAUUCUAAGAAACGAAUCAAGAUCCGGGUUCCAUCUCUCAAGAUAUGGGUUCCAUUUUUCAAAUUAAACAACCUAAGUUAUGUGGGACUACUCUAAAAAACUUGGGCAUAAGUUUAAACAUUUUUUUAUCAAGAUUAAAUAUCCUGAAUUAUCUUUUAUAAUCAAGUAUUCUACAUGAUUUUAGGAAAGUAUGCAUCAUGGGGUUAUUUUGAUGAGAUUAUAUAUUAUCUUGGAUCACUUUACAUGGA